GAUACAGAAACAUAAAACUCUCUAAAGCAUAGAACACGCAACUAGUGCGAAGCUUGUAACGUUUUCGAUUCAUAGUGAUAUAGAGUUUGUCUCCGGUUUGGAGAGGACUCGCCCAACAUAUUGUUGUGUCGAUUUACUUGUUACAAGAAACAGCCAAGGUCGUUUCUCUACAAGUGGUAUCAGAGCUUAGGCUAACAGAGAUCCUAGUUACAGAGAUUCGAGGGCAAGAUUCAAUAAACAAGCAAGGAGAAUUCUUAUCUGGUGCGGAGAAGAAGACUCAGCUCGUUGGUGAUUGAAGCUUGAAGACUACGGCGUGUUACAGCAACCUGCAAACAAAGGAAAAUAAGUUUACGGGUUAUAGGAGAGAUGGAAGCAAUUUCAAAGAAAUUUGAAGUGGAAAAAUUCGAUGGCAAAGGUGAUUUUGGUCUAUGGAAAUAUAAGAUGCUGUGUCAGCUAGAGAUCUUUGGUUUGGGGUCUGUUCUUAAGGAGAAAACUCCUUCUACGGAUGUUGAAGGUGAAGAACAGAAAGAUGAAAAACCUGAUCCUAAGGAGCAAGACCGGGAAUUGCGUACAAAGAAUCUGAUCAGUUUGUGUCUAUCUGACCUUAUUCUGCGCAAGGUUAUGCAAGAGCCUACAGCACUGGCUAUGUGGAAAGCUCUAGAAGCUGAGUAUCAGACCAAGACAUUACCAAAUCGAAUCUACAUGAAGCAGAGAUAUGCAGGUUUUAGAAUGGAAGAGCACAAGUCCAUUGAGGAAAAUAUGGAUGUGUUUCUGAAACUUGUGGCUGAUCUAGCAAGUCUGGAUAUUAAGAUCAGUGAAGAAGAUCAAGCAAUUCAGAUCUUAACCAGCUUGCCAAAGCAAUACGAGUCUCUCGUUGAUGCAUUAAAAUACGGCAGCGGCAAAGAAAUUUUAACGGUUCGUGAUGUUACAAGCUCAGCUUAUUCUAAGGAAGUAGAAUUAAGAGAGAAGGGACUUCUCAACAAGUCCAAAGGUAACUCGGAGGGGCUAUUUGCUGGCGACAACAGAGGCAGAGGGGAGAAGAAGAGCGAUAAAACUUGGAGAGCUAGAUCUAAAAGCAAUAACAGAUCAAAAUCAAGACCUAAGUUCUCUAAAGAAUGUUGGACGUGUGGCAAGGAAGGACAUUUUAAAAAGCAGUGUCCAGAAAGAAAGAAGCCAUCAAAUUCGGUCAACAUAGCAGAAGAGAAGGAGGAACCAUUGGUAUUAGUGGCUAGCCAGCAAGCUACUAAGGACGAGUGGGUACUUGAUUCUGGCUGUACAUUCCAUAUCACUCCAAAUAAAGAUGUCUUAUUUGACCUUGAAGACAUAGAAGGAGGAAAGGUUUUGAUGGGAAAUAAUUCUAUCAGCGAGAUUAAAGGGAUCGGGAAGAUCAGGAUCAUGAAUAAUGAUGGAUCGAGCGUGAUUCUCAGUGAUGUUCGUUACAUGCCUACAAUGGGCAGAAACCUUAUCUCCUACGGUUUAUUGGAGAAGAUGGGAUGCAGAUACGAAGGCAAAGACUUCAUGGUGCAGUUUUACAAAGGAGAUAAGAAGGUUAUUUCUGGAAAAUACUGUGAUGGUCUGUACUACUUACAAGGGACAGUAUUGGAUGGUGAAGCUGCAGUCGCAAGGCCUGAUAUCGAUUUGACUAAAAGGUGGCACUCUAGGCUUGGACAUAUGAGUCUAAAGGGCAUGAAUAUUUUAGUUAAGGACGGAUAUUUAAACGCAAAGGAUGUGAAGACGUUAGAGUUUUGCGAGAAUUGCGUUUUGGGCAAAGCACACAAGCUAAGCUUUCCAAAAGGCAAGCACACGACUAAGGAAGUCCUAGAGUACAUCCAUUCAGAUUUAUGGGGUUCACCUUCGGUGGUAGAGAGUCUCGGAGGAUGUUUCUACUUUGUUACAUUCAUUGAUGAUUUUUCUAGGAAAGUUUGGAUCUAUUUCCUAAAAUCAAAAAAUGAAGUGUUUCAAAACUUCAAGGAAUGGAAAACAUGCGUGGAAACUGAGACAGGAAAGAAGGUGAAGUGUCUUAGGACGGAUAACGGAUUAGAGUUCUGCAAUACACAGAUGGACACAUUGUGUAAGGAAGCAGGGAUUAAAAGACACAGAACAUGCGUCUAUACUCCACAGCAAAACGGAGUAUCAGAACGCAUGAACCGUACGAUUAUGGAGAAGGUGAGAUGUAUGUUGACAGAGGCAGGCUUAGAGCAAAAGUUCUGGGCGGAAGCAGCUUCUACAGCUGUCUACUUAAUCAACCGAUCUCCCAGUACAGCUAUUAACUUCAAACUACCGGCAGAGGUGUGGUCUGGAACCAAAACAGACUUAAAUCAUCUAAGGAAGUUCGGGUGUACAGCUUAUGUUCACGUGACUCAAGUCAAAACCAGUCCAAGAGCGAUGAAAGGAGUUUUCAUGGGAUAUCCAGACGGGACUAAAGGUUAUCGAGUUUGGUUACCAGAAGAACUAAGAUGUACAGUGAGCAGAAACGUGAUUUUCAAUGAGGAAGAGAUGUUUAAAGACAUUAAAGGAGUCAGCGAGAAGAAAAGAAAAACGAAAAAUGUAACGUUCAAUCCUGUGCUGAUUCAAGGACCUUCAAACACAACUACAGACACUGAAACAGAGGAUACAGUUCAAGGUGGAGUUUCUCCAGCAUCAGAAAACUCGGAACCUGAAUCUUCAAGCUCAGAAAGCGAAGAAGAAGUUGUGGGAACUCAACAGGAAAAUCUAGACAACUACAUUCUUGCUAGAGAUAGAAUCAGGAGAGAAGUAAAGAAACCUUCUAGGUUUGAUGAUUCAGAUUGCGUGGCUUAUGCUCUAGCUACAGCAGAAGAAAUAAAUAAGGAUGAGCCGAAAUCCUAUUUGGAAGCAAGAAGGAGUAAGAGCUGGAAGUUGUUGGGGUCAAAAUCGGUCACGACGGAAUCAAUGUCUGAAAGUCCGUAAAAAUCAGCAUAACCGUUUUUACGAAAAGUAAUCUUCGUAAAGAUAUCUUUACGAACAGCCUUGCAGUAAAAUAUCGUCCAAAUCUCAAUCGAACCACUAAAUACCGAUUGUCCGAAGGCAACGGACAUGUAUCCAAAUCGGCCGCGGACAAGCUCGAGUAUGGAAAUCAGACCGCGGACAAGCCAAGCUCGAUCGAUACGCGGCAACCAAGCAUGCACACAGCUCGGUCGCUACGUAGCGACCGAGCUCGAGCCAAGCUCGGUCGCUACAUAGCGACCGAGCAUCCGUCUCGCUCGGUCGCUACGUAGCGACCGAGCGAUCGUCCCGCUCGGUCGCUACGUAGCGACCGAGCUCGAGCCAAAGCUCGGUCGCUACGUAGCGACCGAGCGAUCGUCCCGCUCGGUCGCUACGUAGCGACCGAGCUCAGCCAAGCUCGGUCGCUACGUAGCGACCGAGCGCUCGUCCCGCUCGGUCGCUACGAAGCGACCGGGCUCGAGCCAAAGUUCGGUCGCUGUGUAGCGAUUGAACCUUUCCGAAUGUCAAUACGACACCAGUUCUUGCAUUCUCGUCAAAACCUUCGAAUGCUAUCUCCCGAAGACCGUAGCAAGCUCAGUCCAUGUUUCCCGCCAUUCUAAUUCAUCGAUCAAACUUCGCGGAUUAGAAACCGCGGAAAACUCGUAGUAAACGUGUCGAGUCGGAAGACGGCCCAAAGGGACCUAAAACACGACUCGAGGCCCAUCCUACGAUUUUCCUAAUCAAAAGCCCGUAAACCACAGCCUGGUUUACGCUUGGUCUACAAGGAAGGAUAAAUGUCAAGUUUCCGCGGAUAAAUACGGAAGUUUUGAAGAUAAUUGUGAAGAUCGGGAAAAAUGAAAUAUCUCCAUUUUUAUGCUAUGACGGCUUAAGGGCAGAAGAGUAAAAGCGUAAACCGACCUUGGAGCUAGUAUAUAAGGAGUCCUAGGCGAGGAGCAAGAGGGAGAACUUUUUAGAUUCGGAAUUCUCUGCACUUAGAAACUUUAGGCUUAUUCUCGACAAGUUCGGUUUCUAUGACUGGCACUCAAUUACUAGACGAAUUCGCCCAGGCAGUUCGAUCUCUUGUCCAGCUCUAUCAAUUGAACUACGUUCGGCUUGAUCCUCGAAAGGGGUACGUAGGCAGCCUUUAACAAGGUUCAGUCCGAAAUCAAUCUAAGCCUUUUAGAUAUCUUUUUCGUCCUUUGUUAUCGAGCUGCGACUCAACUAGGAUUAGGGUUUUAUGUUGCUAGAACUAGGUAACUCGCUGACGGCCCCUGCGGCCAAAGCCUUUGUAUUCUCUUGUAAUGAUCGCAACGCUCUUACGCGGACUCGAAAUAAGAUCUACUGUUUUCUCUAAACUCGUUUGUUAUCUUUUCAUGAUUUCCGCAUAUAUUCGAUCACUUGUCGUUGGCUCUCGCAGAGAUCCGGGACCUCUGGGAAAUUAGGGUUUUCCUAGUUUCCUUAUUUAAACGGAAAUCGACAGUGCGAAUUUCGGUUCCCACAGUUUGGCGCUAGAAGGAGGGGGGGUUACGGAUUACUCUUACUCAUGGCCACAAAACGCUUGAUCGAAACGAUGUUUGGAUAUAUGAAAGACAAACUCGCAGCACUGACUGCUCCUAUGGCCAACGCUUACGCAAACGCCGUAGUUUUCAACAAAAUCGAAAACUUAGUCGCGACCUUCCGCCACAGGAAGAGCACUAAAACAAGCUCGCGAUUCCUCCCUGUAAACAAGAAGGGAAACGAUAAAUCUUAUCAAAACCCCGUAAACAAAUCUCGAUGCAUAAGGGUUUUACCAAAACACGUUUUCCGAAAACAUUUCGGAAGGAUAAAACUUGUUCUCCCAAAAAAACCGCUGAAAAACCCCUACGUUAAUCGCGGAAAAAGGAAACACAACAAAACGAUUACACAGCUCGGUCGCUACGUAGCGACCGAGCACGCACACUGCUCGGUCGUUACGUAGCGACCGAGCACGCACACGCUGCUCGGUCGCUACGUAGCGACCGAACACACACGCUGCUCGGUCGCUACGUAGCGACCAAGCUCAUACGCUGCUCGGUCGCUACGUAGCGACCGAGCACUCACACGGCUUGGUCGCUACGUAGCGACCGAGCAUGCACGCUGCUCGGUCGCUACGUAGCGACCGAGCACACACGCUGCUCGGUCGCUACGUAGCGACCGAGCACGAACACGCUGCUCGGUCGCUACGUAGCGACCGAGCACGCACACUGCUCGGUCGCUACGUAGCGACCGAGCACGCACACGCUGGUCGGUCGCUACGUAGCGACCGAGCACACACACUGCUCGGUCGCUACGUAGUGACCAAGCUCAAGCCAACUCUCCACUCGCUACAUAGCGACCUGUAAGGCCUCAGAAAGGUCCUCCUUUGGGUUCUCUUUUGAAUCCUCGUCGAAACGCUUUUCGUUUCGUCUCAAUCGGAGUUUCCGUUGAGAUUUUACGACGAACACAAGUGGGAAUCUUCUCGGCUUGCUUCCACUCGCUACGUAGCGACCUGUCAGACUGUCAGUCGCUACGUAGCGACCUGUAAGGCCUCAGAAAGGUCCUUCUUUGGGUUCUCUUUUGAAUCCUCGUCGAAACGCUUUUCGUUUCGUCUCAAUCGGAGUUUCCGUUGAGAUUUUACGACGAACACAAGUGGGAUUCUUCUCGGCUUGCUUCCACUCGCUACGUAGCGACCUGUCAGACUGUCAGUCGCUACGUAGCGACCUGUAAGGCCUCAGAAAGGUCCUUCUUUGGGUUCUCUUUUGAAUCCUCGUCGAAACGCUUUUCGUUUCGUCUCAAUCGGAGUUUCCGUUGAGAUUUUACGACGAAAACAAGUAGGACGCUUCUCGGCUUGCUUCCAUUCGCUACUUAGCGACCUGUCAGACUGUCAGUCGCUACGUAGCGACCUGUAAGUCCUCAAAGGGUUCUUCCUUUGCGUUCUCCUUUGAAUCCUCUUCGAAAUGCUUUUUGUUUCGUCUCAAUCGGAGUUUCCGUUGAGAUUUUACGACAAAAACAAGUAGGACGCUUCUUGGCUUGCUUCCAUUCGCUACGUAGCGACCUGUGAGACUGUCAAUCGCUACGUAGCGACCUGUGAGUCCUCAAAGGGUUCUUCCUUUGCGUUCUCCUUUGAAUCCUCUUCAAAAUGCUUUUCGUUUCGUUUCAAUCGGAGUUUCCGUUGAGAUUUUACGACGAAAACAAGUGGGACUCGUCUCGGCUCCCUUCCACUCGCUAUAGCGACCGAGAUGACAUCCUCACUCGCUAUAGCAACCUGUCAGGCCUCAAAGGGGUCCUCCUUUGCGUUCUCCUUUGAAUUCUCAUCGAAACGCUUUUGGUUUCGUCUCAAUCGGAGUUUCCGUUGAGAUUUUACGACAAAAACAAGUAAACCUCAUCCUAAACUCCUUGGCUUGUUUCUGCUCACCCUACCUCCAUCUUUGCGUUCACUUUCGAAUCUCGAUCGAAACGUCUCUUGUUUCGCCUCGAUUGAAGUUACCAUUGAGACUUUACGAUAUAAAAAAAAAAAAAAACCGCAAAGACCUAUUUUCUCGCAUGGAUUCAGAUUAAUCGUAUAAAACGGCAAUGGUUAACUUAACACCUUAGCCGCCUUAACUAUACGAUUACGUUGGACCUUUUUACAAAAAUCGACGUCUUAUCUAAGGAGAAGAUAACAGUCAAGUUCGGAAGAUAAAUGUCAAGUUUCAAAGGGUAAACACCAAUAUCGGAAAUGGCGAACAUACACGAGAAUAGGAAACGGAAAUGAGCACGCAAAACUGAGAAGGGAUAAAACUGCAUCUUCGAGAGAACUAAGGUAUUUUCGACUUGAAAUUUUUGAAAUCAGACUUGGAAUUUUCGUAGGAAAUUACUUUGAGGCUGCCAUAGAACUUUAGGGAACGUAAAACCUAGGCGGAUAGUCUAGCGAACUAAGUUUUAAGCGAUUUUUCCUGUCUCGAUAUAUUGUCCCAUAAUUGUUCAUCCAAAUCUUGCAAACCGAUCUAAACUCUCCGAAAGUCGAGAAAUGAUCGCCACGCAUAUCAAGCUCGCUUCCUAAAGAGAGAAAAAGUUAGAGACAUGAACGUCGUCUUAAAACCGAUUCGUUUCUGGCAAUUUUCUCGGAACCGACAUAUCCCAAGUCGUCAACGUGGAAACAACCAAAUCACAGUCCAAGCGUCGUCUAUAAAUCGUCCCGAAUUAUCGAUCAUUCCAAACAUCAGGAGAGGAAACGUACACAACCCUUCAAAGUAUCGGUUCAACCGUUUUUCUUUCGUAAAAAAAAAAGGGGAGUAGGUACGUAUACUAUACUCGUAUACUCCCAAACUUCAAAAAACUUCUGCAAAUCGUCAAGAAUAGGCAAACGACAAUCUUAAUAUUCGUCUAAACGCUAGCAACAUAUCCAGACGAUCAUGAACAUAAUCUCAAAAACUAUACAUCAUUUCUUGUCGCAAUCAUGCGUACAGAAAACUUGUACCAAUAUCAAACUGAAACUCGACGAUUAGCCAAAGUAUUGAAGCCUUUUCCGGCUUCAGAAAGCCAGUUUCGUUUUAAACUUAGCGGCGAGAAAUCUUCAAUCACCAAAGCAUUUCUUUCAGUUUCCGUUGUACCAAGUAAGUCACGGAAAAGUAUCGAAAACAUUUGCGACGAAGAAAACUCGAGAAUAUAUGUAGCAUCGUGCACAUUAAAAGAAGCACUUUCCUCCCGAUGGUUAGCUAGAUCCACUUCUGGUUGACCAAUUCUUUCAAGAAACAAAUGUGUCAUGAGAAUCCUCUCGAAAAACCUAUGAAAAACGUUCUGCGACUAGAUCGUAUUGAAAUAAACUUCGGUAAUACUCCAUGGGUAACGCCAAGCAACCUUCACCUAAGAUCAAAAUCAAAGCGGGAACGUUUCUCGUAGAACCCGCAGAAACAAUGCUACUUUGACAUAUGUAUACAUAUCACUGAUUUACGACCUUCGUAAAAUCGGUUAUAUGAUAUGAUAAAUUAUCGUAUAGCCCACAAUCGGAAAUCAUAUGAUAAAUUCUUCAUAACGAAACUAAGUCCUAACAACUAAACGGUUAACGGAAAAUCUAAACUUUUCGAAAAUUGACCAAGUUCAAUACGCUCCACAAUUCACUUUAAGCCCGCAACGUUUUAACCACAAUACGCGGCAUGUAAGGAAAAAUUCGUAACAAAGCUUCUAGAGCUAUAUGAAACAUCCUAAAAAAUGCACGAAAUACAUCUCGGAAGGCCAACUCUUCACAAAGCACAAUGAAGGAAAACACUUGUUCCCAUGGACAAAUUUACACGACACCUCAGUCAUAAUUCCUCGAUCGCAAACAAAACUAUUAGCAUCCGAACAGGAACAACAAUUUUUGGCUGCGAACAUUCUUAGUCAAACCAGAAUGUUUCUCAAACACAGGGCUAAUACUAAACCCUCGCAACAUCGCGAAAUAUCUUCAAAGCCCGCGAACAUUUCAAGCACGAAACGUGGCAUACGAAAGAAUAACAAAUCUUCAGCAUCGCGAGACGUCGCGGACGCCUGAAGAUUAGUUCUUCGACGAAAUUUCCUUCCUCGAUAAAAACACCUUCAUGGAAGACCAGACAGUCAUACGCACUAACAUCUUCUCAAAACAUAUUCUUCGCGAAGACUCAAAAUAGUAAUUUUUACCAUUAAGUUUGUUGCUGAUCACAACAAACUCUUAACGUCCUAAACAGACUUAGCCAUCUCGUAGAAGAUGACUCUCUUACAUCCGACACAAGGAUAAUAGCGCUAUAAAAGAAAUCCGAAAAUUUUGGUCCAGCACUUCCGGUCUCCGGAGAGAUGCUCGAUUCCAACCAUACAAGUCGUAUAAGCCGAGAACCUAUCGCGGACUUUAAAUCGGUAUGGAAUCAGGAUGAAACUGAAACGGGAUACGUAAGUCGAAUUAGUCAUCGCACCCUCUAAAACCAGGAGUAAACCUAGGUCUUGCCCUAAACCCAGCGCACUGGUCUCUAACAUCUCUAGGCAUAGUAUCAAACACCCUGAUACGAGAUCCCAAAAUUUGUCUCUUUGCCAAUAUUCGAACGUCUUCAGAAAAUCCCGCAAGUUUACACACUGCGGAAAACUCUCGAAACAGAUUAUGGAUAUGGCAAUUCACACAGAGUUAGAUUACGAGACGACAACUCGUAGUCUUCCCUCUACACCCAUACAAAUGCCAUCGGCAGCAACACGCCUUAUAACCGCUACAUAAAAACUAGACCAUAAAGGUCCUACUGGAAAACUAGUCAUAAGAACCUUAACUCCAAGAUGAACUACGAAAGGCUUGAUCCCUUCAACAAGGGUACGUAGGCAGCCGUCAUAAGGCGCAGCCCCAAUCUUAUCGCGUUUUCUACUUUUAGGAGAGCGAGAAGAUCACUUACCACAGACCUUUUCAACCAUUAAUUCCGCCUAACUCACCUACCUUGCCUAACUUGCCAAGCCACUCGCUAGAACCUCACGCUAGAAGCUCAUGAUUCUAACGAGCUGGGGGGCUAACUGUUGGGGUCAAAAUCGGUCACGACGGAAUCAAUGUCUGAAAGUCCGUAAAAAUCAGCAUAACCGUUUUUACGAAAAGUAAUCUUCGUAAAGAUAUCUUUACGAACAGCCUUGCAGUAAAAUAUCGUCCAAAUCUCAAUCGAACCACUAAAUACCGAUUGUCCGAAGGCAACGGACAUGUAUCCAAAUCGGCCGCGGACAAGCUCGAGUAUGGAAAUCAGACCGCGGACAAGCCAAGCUCGACCGAUACGCGGCAACCAAGCAUGCACACAGCUCGGUCGCUACGUAGCGACCGAGCUCGAGCCAAGCUCGGUCGCUACGUAGCGACCGAGCCCAGCCAAGCUCGGUCGCUACGUAGCGACCGAGCGAUCGUCCCGCUCGGUCGCUACGUAGCGACCGAGCUCGAGCCAAAGCUCGGUCGCUACGUAGCGACCGAGCGAUCGUCCCGCUCGGUCGCUACGUAGCGACCGAGCGAUCAUCCCGCUCGGUCGCUACGUAGCGACCGAGCUCGAGCCAAAUCUCGGUCGCUACGUAGCGACCGAGCGAUCGUCCCGCUCGGUCGCUACGUAGCGACCGAGCUCGAGCCAAAGCUCGGUCACUACGUAGCGACCGAGCGAUCGUCCCGCUCGGUCGCUACGUAGCGACCGAGCUCAGCCAAGCUCGGUCGCUACGUAGCGACCGAGCGCUCGUCCCGCUCGGUCGCUACGAAGCGACCGGGCUCGAGCCAAAGUUCGGUCGCUGUGUAGCGAUUGAACCUUUCCGAACGUCAAUACGACACCAGUUCUUGCAUUCUCGUCAAAACCUUCGAAUGCUAUCUCCCGAAGACCGUAGCAAGCUCAGUCCAUGUUUCCCGCCAUUCUAAUUCAUCGAUCAAACUUCGCGGAUUAGAAACCGCGGAAAACUCGUAGUAAACGUGUCGAGUCGGAAGACGGCCCAAAGGGACCUAAAACACGACUCGAGGCCCAUCCUACGAUUUUUCUAAUCAAAAGCCCGUAAACCACAGCCUGGUUUACGCUUGGUCUACAAGGAAGGAUAAAUGUCAAGUUUCCGCGGAUAAAUACGGAAGUUUUGAAGAUAAUUGUGAAGAUCGGGAAAAAUGAAAUAUCUCCAUUUUUAUGCUAUGACGGCUUAAGGGCAGAAGAGUAAAAGCGUAAACCGACCUUGGAGCUAGUAUAUAAGGAGUCCUAGGCGAGGAGCAAGAGGGAGAACUUUUUAGAUUCAGAAUUCUCUGCACUUAGAAACUUUAGGCUUAUUCUCGACAAGUUCGGUUUCUAUGACUGGCACUCAAUUACUAGACGAAUUCGCCCAGGCAGUUCGAUCUCUUGUCCAGCUCUAUCAAUUGAACUACGUUCGGCUUGAUCCUCGAAAGGGGUACGUAGGCAGCCUUUAACAAGGUUCAGUCCGAAAUCAAUCUAAGCCUUUUAGAUAUCUUUUUCGUCCUUUGUUAUCGAGCUGCGACUCAACUAGGAUUAGGGUUUUAUGUUGCUAGAACUAGGUAACUCGCUGACGGCCCCUGCGGCCAAAGCCUUUGUAUUCUCUUGUAAUGAUCGCAACGCUCUUACGCGGACUCGAAAUAAGAUCUACUGUUUUCUCUAAACUCGUUUGUUAUCUUUUCAUGAUUUCCGCAUAUAUUCGAUCACUUGUCGUUGGCUCUCGCAGAGAUCCGGGACCUCUGGGAAAUUAGGGUUUUCCUAGUUUCCUUAUUUAAACGGAAAUCGACAGUGCGAAUUUCGGUUCCCACAGAAGUUAUGGAACGAGGGAAUGCAAGAAGAGAUGGAUUCGUUGAAAAAAAAUCAGACUUGGAAGCUGGUUGAGAAACCAGAGAAAAAGAAGAUUAUUGGCAGCAAGUGGGUUUUCAAGCUGAAAGAAGGCAUUCCUGGAGUAGAGAAGCCGAGAUACAAAGCUAGAUUAGUAGCUAAAGGGUUUUCACAAGUUGAAGGGAUCGACUACACAGAGGUGUUUGCACCAGUGGUGAAACACGUGUCGAUUAGAAUUAUGCUGUCACUUGUUGCAAAUUAUGAUCUUGAUUUGGAACAACUAGACGUGAAAACGGCUUUCCUGUACGGAACGUUAGACGAGGAGAUAUAUAUGGCACAGCCAGAAGGUUUCGUUGAGGAGGGAAAAGAAGAUCAAGUUUGUCUCCUGUUGAAAUCACUUUACGGAUUAAAACAAUCACCAAGACAGUGGAAUAGGAGAUUUGAUAGUUUCAUGAAGCAACAAGGCUUCGAAAGAAGUGCAUAUGAUCCUUGUGUCUACAUGAAAGGUUCAGACUUAUCUCAUAUGGUUUAUCUCUUGAUCUAUGUUGAUGACAUGCUCAUAGCAUCUAAGGAUUCUAAAGAAAUUAAAAGAAUCAAAGAUAGCUUGAAGAGAGAGUUUGAGAUGAAGGACCUUGGAGCAGCUUCAAGAAUACUUGGAAUGGAUAUUAUUAGAGACAGGAAGAAAGGAACUCUAAAACUAUCGCAAGGGAAGUAUCUACAGAAGGUGCUGGAAACUUUUAACAUGGCAGAGAGCAAAGCUGUGGUUACUCCUAUCGGACCACAAUUCAAGCUUAAAAGUUUGACACAAAAAGAAGAGCACGAGGAAGCAAGGUUCAUGAAUGUGAUCCCAUACGCAUCAGCCGUUGGAAGUUUAAUGUAUGCAAUGGUGGGAUCUAGACCAGACUUAUGUUUCGCAGUGGGCUUAAUCAGCCGUUAUAUGAGCAAGCCAGGAAGAAUACACUGGGAAGCUGUUAAGUGGGUGAUGAGAUAUCUUAAAGGAGCUCUAGAUUCGGAUCUAUUGUUUACUAAAGGAGAAGAUUUCAAAGUACGAGGAUUCUGUGACGCAGACUACGCAACCGAUUUGGACAGAAGAAGAUCCGUGACAGGAUAUGUGUUUCAAGUCGGAGGCAACACAAUAAGCUGGAGAUCAGGUCUCCAACAUAUUGUCGCACUAUCAACGACAGAAUCAGAAUACAUGGCAUUAGCCGAAGCUUUUAAAGAAGCAUUAUGGCUUAAGGGGUUUGUUAGUGAAUUGGGAUUCAAGCAAGAUGAUGUGAGAGUGUUUUCAGAUUCACAGAGUGCUAUACACUUAGCUAAGAAUGGAGGAUUCCAUGAAAGGACUAAGCAUAUAGAUACUAGACUACACUUUAUGAGAGACGUAAUUGAGGCUGGCGAUGUUACGGUUCACAAGAUUCACACAUCUAUCAACCCUGCAGAUUUUCUAACUAAGUGUGUACCUGGACAGAAGUUCGAGACAUGCUUGGAGAUCCUCAAGGUUCUGCCUUAGAAGGUCUCGCGUGGCUGCAGGUGACAAUGCUGUCGAGUUGAUCACCUCGCGGAAAGGCCACAAAAGAAAAUAUCAGUUUCAGGAAAAGUAAACUGAUGGUUCGACAGGGUUAUUAUAAAGCUCGGAAAGAAGAUGAAUUUGAAUGUAGAAUAUUACCUUCAAAUAAUGACGGGUGUAGACAGGAGCUGUCUAUGCAAGGAAUCUGAAAAAAUUAUUCAGGAAAUACUAGUCAAAGAAUUGUUUUAUGCAGAGAUUAAGCUUCAAACAGAAGCUGGAAAAAUCAUUAUAAAGAGAUGAAUCAGAAGCUCUACCUGAAGACGUGGGGUUGUAGCAAGGAAACGCCUGCAACACAGUUGUGAACAAAAGUUAUUAAUUCACAAGUUCAAAGCUCUUAAAGGAAUUGAAGCAACAAUUCUAAUUUGAUUACCUUACGGAAGUAACGAUGGUGAAGAGACGUCAACACCAUGAGCUGUAACAUUAAACAAGGAGAUAUGUUUAAUUAUUCAGCAAAAGAAUCUUUCGUUACAGGUUUCUAGGAAAGCUUAAAAGACACGUAUGUAUACAGGAAGGAAAGUCAAAACAAAAGAGGAUACUUUUUUGGUCUUUGGCAAAGUUCUGGUUCGUUUUUUUCCGAAGGUGGCGUGAGGAGGAGUUAAGUGGUUUUGCCAUUUGAUAAUCACAAAGCUACAACAGAUUCAUCAAGGCACGAGCUGGAAAAAGAAAUUGAGAUCAAAGGUUAAAGCUUUGUUCAAAUGUCUAAGGAAAAAGACAAAGAGGAGCAAAAGGAACCUGAGACGUCAAUGGCGGAAGCGGUGACAGCUAACGCCGGUGAAGACGAGCGGCGGUGAAGUCGGGAUCUUGUCUUGGUCACGGGGAAUCGAAGGAGAGAGAGAUUACAGCAGGGGCGAGAUAGAGAGAAGCAAGGAUCGGAGAGAAGCAUGCAUCUCCGGUGACGACGGCGUCGAGGAACAGACGAUCGUCCGAGAAAGACGAAGCGGUGAGCUCGUCGAAGCUUCUGGUCGCCAAAAGAGAGAGAGAGAGACGGAGAAGACGAUGAGUGAGGCCAAAGAGUCAAGGUGGAGAAUGUGAGGCUUGUGUCUCUUGGGCCAUCUGGUGGGCUGCUUAUGGGCUUCGGUUUUAGACCUGAAACAAGACAUAAAGAAUAUGGGUUAAGUCUAAGUAUUCCUUAUAGCUUUAGGAUAUAUGUUAUUCCUUAUACAACAAGGAUUAACAUGAUUAGGUCUAGUAUAAAUAGAGGUCUCUGCUCAAAGUUGUAAGAUACAGAAACAUAAAACUCUCUAAAGCAUAGAACACGCAACUAGUGCGAAGCUUGUAACGUUUUCGAUUCAUAGUGAUAUAGAGUUUGUCUCCGGUUUGGAGAGGACUCGCCCAACAUAUUGUUGUGUCGAUUUACUUGUUACAAGAAACAGCCAAGGUCGUUUCUCUACACUAGCUAGUCAAAGUUAAAUCUACAUCCACCGAGCUUUGAAAUCGUCAAACGAUCUCCUGGAAGAAGAUUUUUGAGCCAAAAUGUCAGACUUUGGUUUUGUCAGGACUACAACAGAAAACAGAGAAUCAAUGAAUACCAAUUGUUUGUAUUGUUACUAUGUUUUGUGGAGAAUUUGUUAAGUCUUUACGGAAAAAUAAUUAGAUUUUAAAAAAUAAUUUAUUACGGCUAUUCUAAAUAUGUCAUAUUUAAAAUCAUCUGAAUAAAUGUAGUAAUUAUUUGUAGGAAUGUUUAAAACUAAAGAAAUUGAUGAUUUGAAAAAUCUAUAAAUUUUUAAAAAAUUUUAGGGCAAUUCUCAUAAAUAGACCAUUUUCAAGUUUUGGUCACAAAAAUAGACUACAAGGAGGAAAAUGACCAAAAUGUUUCAUUUAAUAGGUAAAAAGACACUAAUACCCUAGAUAUAUAAAAAAAUAAAAAAAAAUAAAAAAAAAUUAUAGUUUUAGAUUAUAUGUUUUCAAAUUCAGACUUUUUAUAAUUUUUUUUUGAAUUUUUAUUUCGAAAUUUUUUGUAAAUUUUUUUUUCAAAUUUUCUUUUUGUAAUUCGAAAAUACUUUUUGAAACUAUUUUUAAAAUUUUUAUUUUAAAAUUUUUAAUAUUUAUUUUCUAUUUUAUAAAAUUUUAAACCUCAAACUCAAAUCCCCACCCCUUAACUCUAAACCAUAAGGUUUGGAUUAGUUAACCCUAGGGGUAUAAGUGUAUAUUUACCUCUUUAAUGAAAGAUUUUGAUUACUAGAGUCUAUAUUUGUGAUAGAAACUUUUCAGUGCUAUCCUAUGACAUUUUCCUAAAUUUUACUUAAUUUUAUUUUUUUUUCCUUGAAAUUUUACUUAAUUUUACUUAUUUUUUCUUUCAAGUUCAAUCGCUUACGGUGCGUCAAAUUCUCAGGUCCUCAUCACUAUGCUGAAGACCAAGGAAUCAAAGAAAUUGCUUUUUGGGAUACUGUUUGACAUCUAUCACUUUAGUAAUGUCUUUGAUACCAUCUCAUUUCGACUAUUCCCCGUUUAGAGAACUUUGAAGCUGAUUUAGUGGCAAAAUCAGCACUUGUUGUAGCAGACCCUCCUUCCUUCAGUGAGGCUAACUCUUUCUAGAUUAAUAUCAGUAAUCAGUAAUGUUUGACUAAAAAAUAACUAGUCAAUGAGCGCAUAAGGAAAUGGUGACUCAAUCUCAGCAGAACAUAGCAUUGCCACCUUCUCAAAGCAACCCAUAGGAUAUGUUAUUCCUUCGACAUGUUUAAGACAUGGAUACGCAUUAUCCCCUUUAUGCUCAUCUUGUGCAUUGAAGCUCUGAUCUCCCUCCUAAACGGAGAAAAGUGAAAAUCAUAUUAUGGGGUUUACUAGUUAUCAAGGUAGUCCCCAGAUCUUACAUCUUCCUUUUGCGGAUGACAAUCUAUUAUUAUUUUGCAAGACGGAAAAGGGACAGUGUUUGGUAACAAAGUGGAUCAUAAUUUAAAAAAUAUAUUAAAAGAGUGCUCGACAUUACUUAGGACUACCAUAAAAAAUUGAGCUUCUAAGAUGAAAGUUUCUUUCUUUGUACAACAUCUUCUAAAUGGUCAUGUUAACGAGUGGUUGGCAAGAAUACUUUUGAAGAGAUACAAAGAGGUAUAAAUUAAAUAUGUGGCACAAGCAGUUCUGCAAUACAUUAUGUCGAGUUUUUUUUGUUACUACAAGACAUUGUGGAGAAAUUAAAAAAGUGCAAUCUUAAAAUUCUGGUGAAGUUCAAGACAAAACAAUUGAGGCUCUAUUGGAUUGCAUUGGAUAAAUUUGUGUUCCACAUGAUAAAAAUAGGCUUGGAAUUCAAUACUUGCAUGACUUUAAUGUGGUGUUACUUGCAAAACAGUAAUAUAGAUUAAUACAUUUUUUAAAUUCCUUACUUUCGCGGUACUUAGAUGAUGUUAUUCCAACCGAUCUUGUCCUUUAGAGGACUGUGAGGUUUACUCGCAUUCUUAUGGCUGGCGCAGUAUUAUGGCAACGAGACGACUCUUGAAUUCAUGCCUAUGGAAAAUUAUCGGGGCAUGCCUCAACACUAGUGUGGUGAACGAACCGUGGCUUCUAGACACAAAUACACACCCACUGAAGGCUUCUGAUCGAGUGACUUACAGACACCUACAGCUAAUAGUUCAUUCCUUUAUUAGGCAUGAUACCAGGGAAUGGAAUACUCCCCUCUUACGAGUUUUCUUCAACUCUGAAGAUAAACCUCUGAUCCUCGGGUUGAGACUUAGUUCUAUGAGGUCCAGGGAUGAUUACACAUGGAACCAUACGAAAUAUGAAGUGCAUUUAUAUAAAUCUGGGUAUGAUUUGCUACAAAAGACCAAGCUACAAAGUGCUUAGACUCAAGUUUUGAACCAAGCAUUACUGGCUUACAUAUCCAUGUGUGUAGAGUCGAAAGAUGAAACACUUUAUGUGUCAAGAUUUCACAAGAUGUAUAUUGAUGACUAAAUUGCUAGAUUUUAGGAUUUUCGGUACUGACAUUAUAUUUCCUAUAUGCAGUGGACCAAAGGAAUCUAUAGAUCAUUUUCUUUUUUGAUUUCCUCCUGCCUUUGAGUUUUAUCAAAUUAUCUGUCUGUUUCAGAUUUCUUCAUGAGUACCUAUGUCUACCAAACAUGGAUUUCUUAUUUUGUAGGAUACAUAUUGAUACCUUCAUUUGGAUCAUUUGGAAGCAAAAUAUGACGAAGUGUUUAAUGGCAAGGAUGUUUAGCUAGUUGACACCCUCCAUCUAGCCUUUCUUGAAACAAAAGUUGGAGAAAAACGAACAUCAAAGAAGUCAAAGAGGACACACAUGUUUCACCUUUUUUGGUUAUAGGUUCAACACCCUAUGUGGAAAACCAUGAUUGGCCCCGACAUGCCAAAUUGAUGUCUCAUGGGUCAAUCAUGGUUCAGCCAAUGGACUAAGGUGGAUCCAUAGUGUAAUCAAAUGGGAGUUAAACGGUUUAGACUCUUAUAAGUCUUUCGUCUCUUUAUACUAUAGAUGGAAAAUUUACUUUGGGCGAUAUUAUGCUUACGAAAUUUGCAUAUUAUUAUGAUAUGAAUUGCUUAGAUUCGUGGACAUGGUUGUUAACCCAAUCAACUGGCCAAUCUUUAUCUUCCAACUAGUCUAAUUUCACAUUCUACAAAACAAAUUUUGAUUUCAACAAUUCUCACAUCCUCAUGUUUAGGAAUACGAGUGUAAGUUCUCUUGCCAAGAAGGCGAGAAAUAGUAGUGUCUUCUUUUCCAUAUAGAUUAAAACGGAUCGAAAAGGAUGGUUCUAAAAAAAUAAUCUCGAUUAUCUAUUAUUUUUAUAAUAUGAAUGUUGACAAAAAAAAAAUCAUGAAAACCAGUGAUGAAUAUUAUGAUGAUUAAGCGUAUGUCAUUUUCAAAUUUACUUAAAACUUGUAGUGUCUUAUCUUGUUUUUUUUUAAAGUGAGUUAACAUUUGACAGCUGCAUUCAUUUUCAUUGAAUUUGUUUUCAAAAAUACCAAAUCGAUAACCAUAUCUUUAUUUGAGAUACUAAAAUAAAUGAGAUAUAUGUUUGUUUAACUGAUUUUUAUUUUUUAAUAAUUACAUAUAAACAAAUAUUAAAAUUUAAUUUAAUUAGAUAUUUUUAAAAUAUAUAACCAUAUUUGAAUAACUCGAAAAGAUAAAAAGAAACUGAAAAUUUGAAAUGAGAAAAGAGAGAAAAAAAUAUCAAAAGAAACAGCCAAUCAGAUACGAAAACGUGUGUUGCUGACUCUAACACAAAUGGUGUGAAUGAAAAUAUAAAAAUAUAUCGAAGAGGGGAAAAUCGCAUAAAAAACCUUGAAAGUGUCACUUACUAGCACUUUAAACGUUGAAGUUUUUUCGCUAGCAUUUUUAACCUUCAAAGUGAUAUUUUUAUCAUAAAAAACCUCCAAACAAGAAAAAUGACCGGUUGAACAGGUUAAAAACAGUUUUUUUUUCAAAAAAUAAUUAUUUAAUGAAUAAAAUAAACAAAAAAUUAAUAAAAAUCGAAAAAUUUAACAAAAAACUCACAAAUUAAAAAAUGAGAAAAAUAAAUAAAUAUUUAAAAAUUAAAUAAAAAAUAACAAAAAAUUCAAAAAAUAAAUAAGAUCAAAUUAAAAUGGAGAAAAAUAAAAAAAUCAUAAAUUUAAAAAAAAAUGAAAUUUUUUGAAACUGUUUUUUAAAUUUUUUAGUAUUUAUUUUUUAUUUUAUAUAAUUUUAAACCCUAAUUCCAAAACCUCACCCCUUAACUCUAAACCCUAAAGUUUGGAUUAAUUAACGCAAGGGGUAUAAGUGUAUAUUUACCUCUUUAAUGAAACUUGUUUUUGUGACUUUGAGCCUUGAAUACUAGUUUGAGAACAAAAACUUGGUUUGGUGUUAUCUUAGUCUUUUUUUUUUUUAUCAACACAUAUCUCCAAUGAUAAUUUCCAACAUUAUAUUUGAAAAUGAAAAAAAAAAACUUUUUGAAUUUUCAAUUUUUUGAAAUUUAUUAUUAUUUUUUAUGUAUUUUAAUUUGAUUUUAUUUAUUUUUUAAUUUUUAGUUAUUUUUAUUUAAUUUUCUAAAUCUUUAUUUAUUUUUCUCACUUUUUUUUAAUUUAUGAGUUUUUUGUUAAAUUUUUCGAUUUUAUUAUUAUUUUUGUUUAUUUAUUAAUUAAAUAAUUAUUUUUUGAAAAAAAACAUGUUUUUAACCUGUUCAGCAGGUCAUUUUUCUUCUUUGGAGGUUUUUUAUGAUAAAAAUGUCACUUUGAAGGUUUACUGAAAAAACUUCAAGGUUUAAAGUGCUACUAAGAGACACUUUCAAAGUUUUUUAUGCGAUUUUCCCUAUGGAAGAGAGAAAAGCCGAAACCUUUUUUUUUUCUCUCGUCUCCAAUUUUCUCAGCUUCUGCUGGAUCUCUCCAGCAGACACGAUCCUUCCUUGGAGAGAUUCGUACGGUAAAAGUGCUCUUCUCUUCCUUUCUAUUUCGAUUUGAUUUAUCGGGUUUGGGUCUCGGCUUUCGAUUCCAAUUUCGAUUUCCCCUUUUGUCAAUUGAUUAGGGACUGAUUGAUCAACCAAGGCUUCUCGGGCAAUCAGGUGAAUAGAAGUGAGAUUAGGCUAUGUGGGUUUUGUAUGUUUUACAGAUUUGCUAUGAAAGUUCUCAACUUUUGAGCUCAUUAUUUAAAAGGUUCAUUUCUAAGAAGGAAGGUAGUGUUGGAUGAGAAUGAGAUUAAACUAUGUGUGUUUGUAUAUUUUACGAAUUAAAAAUUAUUUGUUGUAAAGUUCUUAGCUUUUACGCUGAUAUAAAUGUUAAUUGAAGUUAUUGUAACGAAAAAUUUCUUUUUCCUACGUGGUACUGAUGAUGUCUGUUUUGAAGUGCAGAAAUGGACCACGACGAGACAGGAUGCCAAAGCCCACCUGAAGGUCCCAAGCUAUGCAUCAACAACUGCGGUUUCUUCGGAAGCUCUGCCACAAUGAACAUGUGUUCCAAGUGUCACAAGGCUAUCCUGUUUCAACAGGAACAGGGGGCUAGGUUUGCAUCUGCAGUGUCUGGUUGUACAUCUUCAUCCAGCAACAUCUUAAAGGAAACCUUUGCUGCUACCGCGCUGGUUGAUGCUGAAACCAAAUCCGUUGAGCCGGUGGCCGUCUCUUUACAGCCAUCUUCUGUCCAAUUCGUCGUCGCAGAGGUAGUAGCUCCAGAAGCCUCUGCAGCAAAACCAAAGGAAGGACCAAGCCGAUGUGCUACUUGCAAUAAACGGGUUGGUUUGACUGGAUUCAAAUGUCGCUGUGGUGACCUCUUCUGUGGGACGCACCGUUAUGCAGACAUACACAACUGCUCCUUCAAUUACCAUGCCGCUGCGCAAGAAGCUAUAGCUAAAGCAAACCCGGUUGUGAAGGCAGAAAAGCUUGACAAAAUCUGAAGAACUCAAAACUCAAACACCAAAGUGAUAGACUACGACCUCCUUAGGAGCAUUUAGAAUUGGAAAUGAAGGUUUAGAAUUUUACAUAUUUAUUAUUAUUGCCUACUAAGGUGUUUACUCCUAUAAGAGGGAGACAUUUGAUUCUAAUAAAAUCAUCCAUUAAGAGAUCAAAGAAACGGAGUUGUCUCCUCUAAAUCUAAUAAACGAGGAGUUUGUCAGCUUCUUGAAUAAAUAGCAUAUUGAUAGAUACUGCCCAGAGGCGUCUAUCACAAAGUUCCCUUUCUCCUAUCUGCGCCUGAUUCAAGGUGUCCCUCAUGUUAACUAAGGUUUAUAAAGUAUACUUCCAAAUAUAAACCAUUACUAGAUCCAAGCGUGGGUUUUUUGGAUUAUAUUAUAAUACAAAGUCUUAUUAUAUCAAAAAAAUAUAAUUUUGAACAGUUAUAUAAUUUAUGAAUUAGUUUAUUUGAGACUUUAUAUGUACAUUUUUACGUAAAUUUCUUUUAGGCAUGAGAAUUAUAUCCGGAUAAAAAAAACAAACUGAAUCGACCCGAAAAUAUAGGUUUAGUUCAGGUCCAGAGAAGAUAACCUAUUGGGUUUUUGGACCUGUAAGUCUUUGUUUGAGUCAAUGUACUAUUCUAGACCCGAUCAUAAAUAUGUUGUGUUUAUUAGAUAUAUUUGGAUAUUUCGAAUAUGUUUCCGGUAUUAUGAAUAUUUUUUUUAAGUUUUGGUUUACGAUUAUAGUUUUUGAUUUCACGUAAAUUUUCAAAUUUAAAAAAAAAAUUGGGUAUUUUUUAAGUUCAUCGUGUCAGAUUUUGAAUAAGAUUUUGAAUUUUUAGGUAUUUGAAUUUUUUUGGUAUUCGUUAGGAAUUUCAAAUAUUUUUUCAGAUUUUUUAGAUAUUUUGAUAUUUUUUUUAGGAUCCUAAAUACCCGAACAUAUGUGGACCCAUUAUGUCCAUAUGAAGUCUAACAACCUUUUGAUAUAGAUUUUUAACGUUAUUGUACAAAAACAUGGUUGAUAAAAUAUUUUUCUGAGUAAAAGUAUCAUAAGGAAUAAUAUUAGGAUCUGUUAAAAAUAUUUAAAAUAUUGUAUGGUUAGAAUGAUUAAUGGUAUUACUAAAAAAAAAGUUAUACAUGACUCCAACAACUUUUUUAUAUUAGAUUUUUAAGAUUAUUUCUCUUUUAAUAGUAUUGAUUCGUUUUUAAAUGAAAAGUAUAUAAAAGUAUAAUAUCUAGACCAAUAAUUUUCAAAAUCGUAAAUAAUCAAUACUGAUAUCGUGAAGUCGGGUUAAUUUUAACAGAACCAAUGAAUUUAUUUUGUGAAGGUAACAUGAAAUAUUCAGAAAAUUCAUUUUUAAAUAUGAAAAUAUCUAUCAAAACUAUAGACGGUUGAAAGUUUAGCAUAUGAUAUGAGAUUUUAGUAGAAACGUUUAUAUAUGAUAUGAUUACUUUAUUAUAAAGUAAAGAUGAAGUUAGAAUGUACACAUAUAUGUCAUGUAACCUCUCUUGAUUUAAAUCAUAUAUUAUAUGAUAAAAAUGAUAAUAUAAAACAUUAGUUUCAAUGCUUUUACGAUUAAAAAUCAAAAUGGUAAAUAUAGUAAUAAUAGUGAUUAAAAUUUAGGAGUGAAAUUUGAAUAAAUAAAGGAAUUGAAUAAAUUAUUAUUAGAGAAAUAUAUGGUAACAUAUUGUUAGUCUAAAUUUAAGGUAAGACAAAAAAAAAUAAUAAGAUAAAUGAAAGGGUCCAAACAACUUUUAUAGGUAGAUUUUUUAAGACUCCUUCCCUUUUAAUAGUAUUGACUAGAUUUUGAUCCGCGCUUCGAAAGCGCGGAUUUUUUAAAACUAUAAACAUAGUUUUAUAUGAAUUAGUAUUUCGGAUUGUUGUACAUUAUUAUGUUACGAAAUCAUAUUAUAUUGAAGCAGAUAAUCUUAAAAAAAUAUAAAUUAGGUUAUUUAGUUUUUUGUAUAUACAUUUUUAUGUAACUCUUUCUAAGUCUGUGCAUUUUAUCUGAUCCAAAACAACUGAGAUCUACCCGAAAAUAUAGGUUCGGUUCGGGUCCAUGGGAAAGGUACCUAUUGGUUAUUUUAUAACACCCGUAGGUUUUGACUUUGUUCCAAUCAGACAUGAAACUCGAUCGGAUACCAAAAGUACUCAGAUUAUUUUUGUAUAUUAGGUAUGUUUGGGCAUUUCAUAUAUCUUUUGGUAUUACGAAUAUUCUUUUAAGUUUCAGGUUUGUGUUUCUGGUUAUAGUUUCAGGGUUUACGUAGAAUUUCAAAAUUUUAAGAACAUAUUUCGCGUAAUCAGAUUAAAUUUUAGGCAUUUUUGGUUUCGCAGAUCAGAUUUUGAGUUAAAUCGGGACUUUUCGAGUAUUUGAAUAUAUUUCGGGUAUUUACUGAUUUUCAUGUAUUUUUUGGAUUUCAUAUAUUUGCAGGUUUACUCGUACUUGGGGUCCUAGAUAUCCAAACCUACCAGGAUCCACUAUAUACCUGAAAAUUAUAUGUAUUUUUAUCUGGAUCCACUACAAACCUACCUAGAUCCACUAUAUACUUGAAAAUUAUAUGUAUUUUACGACUAUUUAAAUUAUGGAUCCAAACCAACUCAUACCCGAAAGAAACCGAUUCAAAUCUAAACCAAAAAAAAAAUUGACAUCACCAAAAAAUUAUUAUAUUUUAGAUUCUCAAUAAAUAUAGCUUAAAACAUUUAUAACAUUUAUAAUAUUUUUGAUGCUUAAUAUAUGAGAGUAAUGAUAAUAGCUCCUUAUUAAAUGGGAAGAAAUGCUAUAAUAGCUAUCGGGAUUUAUCACAUUUACCGUACAUGAUAUAUAUAGAAGUUAGAUGAAAAUAUGGAACGUAUAAGUUAUGAUCUUUUACGAAUCGGGAUAUGUUGUUACGCAAAAGACUUAAAAAUAUCUUCUAGGAUAUUAAACACUAAUUCUUAACUUGACUGUAUACAUAUUCCACAAACAUUAGAAUACUAUGAUAAUUAAUAUAUAUAUAUAUAUAUCAGUAUGUAUAGUAAACCGGUUUGGGUAUUAUCAACAUAUACUAUGUUAUAAAUAUGUUUAUUCUAAAAUUAAUAAUAUGUUUGGUUUAAACAUAUUCGUUCGUGAAUGGGGAUGUUCUUAUAUAUGGCUUGAAUCUUAAUUUCAAAAUUAAAUUGGAAGUCAGUUCGAUCCAAAACGGAAUUGACGUUUUAUCAUAUGUUACAACACAUCACUUGUACAAUUAGGAAUUAUAUAUUACAAAUUUAUAAGUGCUACAAAAAUGUCAUUUUAUCAUAGUAUAUUAUCGAUAAUAUAAACCUCAAACUAUAUGUAAAUAGUGUUCAGGAAAGCUUUAAAUUCAUUAAAGUAUUUCAUGGUGUUUUCAAUUUCGUAUAUAGGUGUUGUGAUAAUAUACGUAUGUAAUAUAUAUGGUUUGAGUAAACCACUAAAUUUGAUAUGUAUCUCAUGUUACCUUAUAUUGUUAGAGAAAUAUUAGGUAAGACCAAAAAAUAAUUAACUAAUAAAUAGGUCCAACAACUUUAUAUAAGUAAAUUUUUUCAGAAUAAUUUUCUUUUAAUAGUAUAGAUACAUAGUUUAAAACAAAGUACAAGAACAACGUUAUAAAUAUCAAAUUCUGAAUAAUAUAUUUGCUCAUUUUGACACAACCAAAUACACAUAAUAAUAAAAAACAUUUGUACGAGUCAAACGCUAGAUAUAUUGUUCGAUCACCACAUAAACACAAUGGUGAUCGUUUUAUUUUACAGAAAACAAACCCCAAAAUGUUCACCAGGACAUAAAACUACGUUUUUACCAUACAAUGAAAAAACGAUUUUAGGAAUCAUAGGAAACCAGAACAAUUUAAAACCGAAUGACUUCCUAAAAUGUCUAUAUACAUAUAUUUUAUCAAAAAGUCACUUAAUGCAGGAACAAAACAUCUCUUCUCUGUACAAAAUUUUCCUCCUACGUAUCCCCUUCCGUGAUGAGAGCUACAACUACUGCUUAUACGUUCACCUACCUGAAAAGAAAAGUCCAGGUAAGUGAAAAAAAAAACUCAAAUAAUCCAGGAAGGCAUAUUAUUAACUGAAAACACACAAGCUAUGUUAAAUUAUUAGAUGACCAAAAUAUGAAAACGGGAAGUGGUUGUUGGUCUCAGAUGAAACAGAAAGCGAGCUAUAGACAAGAAACACUUUAGUACACUAACAGAUGACGAUGAUAGAGAAGUAAGUUCAUACUUGUAUUUUCUGGUCCUGUUCAAUUGAUUCCCUUCAGGUUGAGGAGCUUUUUCCACCACAUAAGAAGCAAUCAAGGUAUCCAGUUUUACCAACCAGAGAGCAAUCGCAGAAGUUGUUCGAGGCAUAGAAGGGAAGCUAGUUAUAAUUUCUCCCUCCUCCUCCUCACCAAAGUGCCAUAACCAAUCUUCAUUGAUUGCUCCAACAAAGUCCCCAAUCACCUUCAGACCAUGAUUUAGCAACAAGAGGUAAGUUAGAGAACAAUCAAUUUCGGACUAAAAUAAGGAAAAAGGGAGCUUUGCAUAAUAAAAAUGAAAACCUGCGUAAUUUCAGACAACGUUGAGCUUCGUCGAAGCCUUUUUGCCCAUAACCUAUGAGCUGACUUUUUCCAUGCACCAAUCAAGGCAUCUUCGGGCAUUGCAGACUGAAAAAUGUUAACCAAGAAAGGGAGCAGUUUCUUAACACAAACCAAGAAAGACGGAAAAGAUUAAAAAUAGUAAAGCAAAAACGACUAUCUCGACAGACCUCAAUGGCAUACACUGCAGCCUUUAGUGAUUGCAACUGGGAAGAACGAACUUUGUGAUCUGGAAAUGAAUCACUACUCUCUUCAUUCUUCCUGCUGCAUGUGGCUUCAUGAAUCGCAUAUCUUUCUUCAAGAUCUAUAUCAAGCUCAAAGGUAGCAUGGCAAAUCUUGCAGUGCUUCUCAUCUCUCCAAUACAAAUCAUGACAACUCUUACACCUAGUAAGCGAAUCAAGGUAGGAUCUUCGGCUGUGUUUAACAACAUUGAGAUUAAGAUAAUAUUUAUCCCAUAUCCAUUCAUCAAACUCCUGAACAAGGCUCCAUAAUAGGCUGUUGCCCCGCUUCUCAAAUACUAUAGCUGCUUGUUGAUCAUUGGCAAUCUCAUUGAGACAUAGGUUGUUGUUGUCUAUAUCAGAAACCGGUGAAGAAGAACUGUCCUCUCUGACUACAUGGUCAAUUCUUCUUAACAUGGCUUGACAGAGAAAACUUUCUCGUUUCUCCAAUGACUCAAUAAGCCGAGCUUCCCGUCUACCCCUAUCGUCCAACACUGACAACAGUGCCCGCAAAGCCUGCACCAAGCCAAAAAAUAGGGAAAUGUUAGGCAAGGAAUCAAUCCAACUUACACAAUACAAGUUUUCAUUUAAUUUGUGCACAAUGACAUCACCUCCUUGUGGCUGAUAACUUCCCAGUGACCAUCUUCAGAAGAUUCAAAGUAGACACACCUAUGACCAGGGUCAUUCGCGUUGCAUGGGCCUAAGAAAAGCCAGUACCUGUUGAACCUACGGUCAGAACCAAGGUAUACAGAUUGCAUAGGGUGAACAUUGUCUCCAGCGAGCUUUGCAAAAUCAGCCCCCACAAUUGAUGAUGAAUCAACUGGAUGAGAAUCAGACGGUUUAGAUAGCUUUUCGAUUCGCUCUCCUCCAUGGACCCAUGAUACGCGUGGAUGAUUAGAGGAUGAUGCUCUCUUGAUUUUUCCACCAGAACCAUGACUAUAGAUACUAGGGGCACAGUCAACCAUAGCUCUGGGUAAAUCCUCCAUUCUAAUAGUGGAACCAGAACUAAGAAGAUCAAUCAAAGCGAUGAAAACAUCUAACUUCUCUUCAAUGCUUAAGUCUGAAUAUUCCCCCUCCAUUAGCCCCAACAACCAUGCUUCUCCAGGAUGGCUUUCAUCAAUCUCACUGCAUACUUCCAACACCUGCUUCCGCCUUUUCCUACACUUGGCUUUUCGAAAUACAAAACUUUCUGAAACACGCCCCAACUCAUCACCAGAUUCAUCAUCAUCAACACUUCCAGACUCGCCCGAAUCAGACUCAUGGUCCUCAGAGAAACAAUUAACACGUGCACGAUAUGUAGAUUCAGAUAUUUUUUCGAAAAGUGUAAUAUCACUUGCCAGCGUUGAACAUAUUGAACGCUCUCGUUCUUCUUCUGAUGCAGUUGCAAGAUUCAGCGCAGCAACCUAUAACAUUAACCAGCAGCCUAUUCUAUUAGAUAUAAUAAUCUUAGGAUUUACUAACAAGAAGCUGAUAAUAAUUUCAGAAAAAACUACCUCUACUGCUGCAUUUGCUAACUCGGAUAUUUUCAAGCCAUUUUUGCCUCCUUGCUCGUUAAGCAUUCUAAAUAAUUCACCCUUUAAUGUUCCAAGACGGAGGCCAUACUUUUUCAUGAGUCUCCUUUCCUACAGGAGGUAACAUCAACCAAUAAUGCGUCAGAAAAUUAAAGAAAAAACCUAUAAACGACAUAGAACAUGCACAGGAGGAUAUAAAAGAAAAUUGAGCAAGAACCUUCAGUAUUCCACACGCAACUAACCCAUCUUCAAGAAUAAACAAAGCAUGCUAGUAUAUGGAACUUUGAUACGAAUGAAAAGGACAAGAGAUGUAGCAUUUGUAGGCAUUUCAUGUGAUGAACUAUAUUUUCGGUGCCAAGCAAAUAGAGUAGACAGAUGGUUGUUUCAACGAAUCAAAAGGGUUGCACGAAAUCAGCACCUUACUUAGUUCCUCUGAUUGACCAGCAGCCCGCUUUACAGAACCAAAACCAGCUGCAACCAAUAUCUGACGCAAUAUCUCCGCCCAUGUAAGAGAAUUUAAUGAAUCCUUCCACAUAUCAAGAAUAAGAAUUUGGCUCUCCACCUAAAAAAAAAAUAUCAUGGAGAAUGUCAAAACCUGUCUCUCAAACGGAAGUAUGCCAAGGAAAAAAAUAGAUAGCUCCACAUACCGACUGCAGCAGGGCUAGAAACUUGCAUGAUAUACUCAAGGUUGAAAAAGAUCCCCUUUGCAGCUCGGUUUCAACAUCAAGCAGAAGCAACUUCAGCAGGGAAAGAUGAAUUUUACCAAGGAGCAAGGAGUCCUGAAAGAGGAAAUGCAAUAUGUUAUUUUAAGAAACAGUUUCCUUCAGCAACAUAAGAGAUUUGACUAUUUGUUAUUAUCAAAUAAGAGAGAGCACCUUAUCAUGAAAUGCCCGUGUGAACUCGUCGAUAGUGAAGGGACAUAUAUCAAGAGUUACUGAAUAAGUAUACAGGAAAUGGACAACCUGUCAACACAUAUGUAGUACUAGGUCAGCUCCAAGAAAUGUAAUUUUAAGAAGAAAUCAAUCACGAAGUGCACACCUUAAAAAGUUUCUUGACAGACUCUGGAGAAGAAUUCCAUGGAUGCAAAGCAAAAGGCAGCCUCAUGCCAACAGAACUUGGGGGAAACUUGGGCAAUAAAUCUGGAAACAAACAACAAAAUAGAUGUAAAAAAAGGUACUUGAGAACGAAAACUCACUCUCCCUAGGAUUGAACCAAGACACAUACCUUUGCAUAGAAAACAAGAUCCACUAGUAGCAGUAUGGCAUGAACAAGUUAACGGAGGAUUCACUAGCCCUUCCUGUCUCUCCAAUUCCUCGUCAUCAACUAGUAUCGACAUUGUUUGACAGGUUUCUUUAAAUACCUCCCCGAGCUCACAUUUCUCACUAAAUCCCACCGUCUCAUCUUUGUUUAAUUCUUCGGUGGUCUGCAGCAAGCAAGCAAGAGUCAAUCAAAUCAUAUUUGUUGGCUUAUUGAAUCUAAGCUACCUCUGUAUUUAUAGAAUUCCUCUUCUUUUCCGUCGGCUUCUUCUUCUUCUUCUGCUUCUGCUUCUGAAGAAAGCAAAACAAUUGCAAUAAACAAUAAGUUCAAAAAGGCAAUAAAAGAGGUAAAAACAAGUAGUACCAGUAUAGAUGCUAAUUGUGUUUUGGUCUUCUUGGGAUUGCUUUGAGCUAAGGUUGCUCUUUCGUGGCUAUUUGGAUUCAUAACACGCCACGCUGUCAUCAAACCCUUGCCAAUACCAUAUUGUUUCUUCUUUACAACAACGCAAUCAUCUUGACUAGUGUGCUUCUCGGAAACCUAAAUAAAAGAAAAAUAAAUAAAGAUCAAAGAGUAACUAACCUUUCUCUUUUGCAAUAAUGAAAGAUGAUUCCACUAACCUUUCUCUUUCUCCCCACUCUCUGUUGAUCAAGAGAUGAUGAUGAAGGAGGAAGAUGGUCAAAUUGAAAACCAAGUGAGGGGCCGUCUUUUCUAAAAACCUUAGCCAAAAUGUACUGUGAGGUCAACAGCUUUUGACAAUUGAUCUUCCGAAGAGCAGAGCGAGGAAUCUUCGCCCUCACCGCCGCCGCCACGGAGGAUUUCUUUCUACUUGUUCUUCUCCUCUCAUCCAUUUUCUCUGCAUUCAUCACAUGUAAGGUAGACACGAACUGCCCCUGUUCAAACACGGGGGAGAUACGACUGCGCCGGUAAGAGGACCGCCGCGAUUUCGGAUCGACUCGCUCUGAUCUUCACCUUCUGUAUCAGAAAAAUCUGAUGCUACUUUUGUUUAGAUAUAUCUUUAGAAAUGAGAUUUUGUGGAGGGUUUUAGGGUUUUGGAGGAGAUAGAAAUGAAUACAAAAUGACUCUUUCACCCUUCUUUAAACCUUUUACAAAAAAAAUAAUAAUAAUAAGUAUAACAAAUUUGACGUUCGUGCCCGGGUAAAGUAAAGAGUGAGAGAUUGGAACAGCCACUGCACUAACUAAAUUCUGGCUAACCAGACUAACUCUUUUUAGUAAUUAACCUUAAACCUAUAAAAAAAAUUUCAAAAACUCCCCACAAUUAAUUCACGUUUAAUCUCCGAUUAACUGGUUCAACGCUUGGUAUCAAAAUAAAAAGCUUCCAGAACUUGAAGUUAAGCUCGCGAUUUCCUCUUCGUAUCCAAUAAAAUUUAAAAAAAAUUGAGAACUCUGAUGUUCGUCAAUCAAAACCAGGCGCAUGACACUCGACGCAUUCGUCAACGUCAAAUCAUCCCCUUAAUAAAUAAAUAAAAAAUCCAAAUAUCUCCCGAAAUAUAUUUACACCAAAAAAGUAUCAAAAUAAAAUAAAAAGAUAAAUGAUAAAUAUGUUUGUUUUAAGGGCAAUUGCAAUAAUAGCACUUUUUGAAGUUUCUGUCUCAAAAAUAGCACUAGAAGGAGAAACUCACAAAAAUAACAUUCAUUAAAGGGUAAAAUAUCUCUAAUACCCUUGAUUUAAAAUUAAAUAAAUACAUAAAAAUAAAUAAAAAUAAAUAAAAUAAAAAUAAAAAAAGAAAAAAAAAUAAAUUAUUUUUAUAGUUUCAGAUUAUAUGUUUUCAGAUUCGAAAUUUUUAUAAAUUUUUUUUUGAAAUUUUUUUUGAAUUUUUUUUUAUUUUUUUUUCAAAUUUUCUUUUUAUAAUUAAAAAAUACUUUUUGAAAUUGUUUUUAAAAUUUUAUUUUUUAUUUUAGUAUUUAUUUUUUAUAAAAUUUUAAACUCUAAUUCCAAAACCCCAUCCCUUAACUCUAAACCCUAAGGUUUGGAUUAAUUAACCCAAGGGGUAUAAGUGUAUAUUUACCUCUUUAAUGAAACCUAUUUUUGUGACUUUGAACCUUGAGUGCUACUUUGGGAACAAAAACUUAGUUUGGUGCUAUUCUAGUCUUUUUCUCAUGUUUUAACUGAUUUAUCUUUUUAAAUAAUUAUAUAUUAAUAAAAUAUUAAAAUUGAAUUUAAAUAUCUAACCAUAUUUUAAUAACUAAAAAAAAUUGAGAAUUUGAAAUGAACAAAAAGAGAAAAAAAAAAUCAAAGAAUCAGACAAUUAGAUACAUACACUUAUAUAGCCGACUCUUACAUAAACGGUGUGAAUAAAAUGUAAAACAUCUCUAAAAAAAUAUCGAAGAAAGAAAGCCCAAAUAGCCGAAACUUUUUUCUUUCUUCCUUUUUAUUUUUAUUUGAUAUCGUUAUAUCGGGUUAGGGUCUCGAUUUUAUUUUCCAAUUUUGAUUUGCCCUUUUGUGUUUUUUUUUUCUGUCGACUUAUUGAUGCAGAGAAAUAUUUAGAUAUAUUCCAAAUAUUUUUAUUAUCUAGUUUAUACUUAUUUUAAUAUUUAUCUUAAUUAGUUAGAAUUAUCUUAAAAAUUUUUAAUAAUUUUAUAGUUAUUUAGUUUUCAUAUAAAUAGGCAUCUUAGACUAAAUAAAAAUCUUUGUAAUUAUAGUAGCUUCUGCUACCUCAGGUAGUAUCAGAGUUGGUAUUUUGGUUUCUUAAUGUUGAAGGGAAACAUUUAUUUUUCGCAAAAGAAAAUUUGUUUUCUGAAAGUGAAAACACCGUUUAUAUCAAUGUUGUUGGCGAUCCAAUAUUCGAUGUCUAUGAUGAUGUUGUUCUGAAAGAGAAAGACGCUCAUGUUAAAAAUUAUAUUUGUGACGAUGAUGAAAACAAUUUCAUCAAAAUUGCAAGGAUCAGCGAUGGGCAUGUGGUGGCUGUCUCGGAAGAUGGAACUACUACCAAGAAUUUCCAUAUCAUAUCGACGAAAUAAGACGUCAUGUAUCAGUGUUUUUAAAUCUGAACCGAACUGGCGAUCAGACCAGGUUAAACCAUGAACCAAAAAUAAUCUAAAAACCCUUAUCGAACCGUCAAAAAUCCAGAAACCGACGGCUCAAUUAACCAGCCAAACCCCGGUUCGUAUAUAAGCCAAAAUUUGUUAUUAAUUUUUCUUUUUUUAAAGUAAAAAUAAGAUUUAUCAAAGAUUAAUAAAGUAUAGUCUCUCGUCUUUUUGUUUUGUCUUCUUUAGAACUCAUAAAUUACAAGAUUCACAAAGUUUAAUAUUCACGUCAAGAUAUUGUUUUGUCUACUUCUCAUUUUUUAAAAAAAAAUUAUUUCAUGAUCACUUAUUUUGAAGACUUUAAAUCAUUGAAACAUUUUCGUUUUUGAAAUUUGUAUUUCAAAAUAUAACUUUUACCUAAUGUGUAUAUAAUUUUUUUUAAAGGUGAUGAAGAUGUAGAGUGAUAAGAUCUACGAAUAAAGUUUAAAUGUGCUUUCCAUAUUGUUUUAUGAUUUUAAUUUUUUUUUUUGUUUUUCUACACAUUAUGACUAUUUAAACAUUUUAUUUGAUAUGAUAUAUUUUUUUAAAAAAAUAUGCAUAUUAUUUAUAAAAUAUCAUUAAAUUUAGUUUAAUCUAAAUAAAUUCGAUCGAACCCGGUUCAGAUCCGGUCGAAUUACAAUGAGCCAUGACCCAAAACAAUUCCGGUUCGCUUGCCGGUCCAGUUUUAAAAACACUGUCACGUAUAUAUUCAACAGCACUAGAAGCCAAUCAGAUGUGUUUCCUUGGGGUUUUGGAGUAAAAAAGGAGGUUUCAUGCAAAUUAUGGAAAUUUUGGCUAAAGGCAAUACAUGUCGUAUAAUUUGUUUGGAGAUGAAUAAAUAAGAAGGUGAAGAGAUACAAAUGGAAGAGAUGCAAAAUAAUAACAUUUCAUGUGAAGAUUUCAAAUCUGGUUUUGGGGUUGAAGAUCACAGUUAAGAUUCAAGGACAAAUCUUCUCUAACCCGGAAAGAAUGAUACAGAGAGAUAUUUGGAUAUAUUCUACAUAUUUUUAUUAUCUAGUUUACAAUUAUUUUAGUAUUUAUAUUAAUUAGUUAGAAUUAUCUUAAGAAUUUUUAAUAGUUUUUUAUUGUUAUUUAAUUUUCAUAUCAAUAGAGGUCUUAGACCAUACGCAACGCGGGUUGUUAGGUAUUUCUUAGCGCUAAUCCUUAGGGAAAUUUGGAAUAAAAACGAUUAUUAAAUUAGGUUAAGCUAAGAAAGAAUCCUUACCUAAGGAUUUUUCGGCUUUGGUCCUAGAUGAGCUGGCAACACCUGAUUCGUGCGGAGAAGCGUUGUGUUUCGUAUAGCGAAAGUCAAACUUUCAUUUACGCGACUCGAUCUGAAUAAAAAACCUCUACAUCUCUCCAGGCGAAGGCAAAGGCGAUUCGUCGAUCCGCGUCGUUGAAGGUAAAGCCGACCGUUUAAACUCAUUAUUUUUUCUUAUGGAGUUGAUGCAUGUUGAUUUCAUCAGUUUUUAGGGAUCCGAUUGGGGGAUUUGAAUAGCUUUCGGCCUUGAAAUCGAAUUGGGGAUUUAAUUCGAAUUAGGGUUUCCAUCUGGGUUUGCUUUUCUCUUCUUUUCGAUAAGCUUCUUUGUUGUUUCGUCGCGAUUACGGGUUCGGGUUUGAGUGUAAAUCGAUUUAGGGUUUUAUAAAUCGAUUUAGGGUUUUCUAAUUUGGGGAUUUUGAUUCGAUUAUAUUUUUUUGUUCUUGUAGGUUCUAAAUGGAGGAAGAAAUGCGAGAUAUGAAAGCACACAAAGCAUACUACAACAUGCUUCAUUUCGUUUCAGAAGCCCAACAUGGAAUUCCCAAGUUGUGCCCCCGUGGAUCUAUCACGAAGGAGUUCGUCGACGAAGAGGAUUCAUAUGACUACCUCCCCGGGAAAAGAUACUUCAUCUGCAAAGACUACCAGGUUCAAAAUGUUCUGUCUCUUUAUACUCCAUAUUGAUUUUCUGUUUGAUUAAUCAUUUAAUGUUUUCGCAGAAUGACGGGAUGCAUUUCAGGCAACCAUGGGUUAUGGGUGUGCAACAAGAGUUUGAGAGGCUCAAACAUCGCAUGAUGGAGCAGGAGAAGCUUCAGCUAGAGUGCGAGGCGCUUAAGGUUAGUUUAUAAGUUAAUGUUCAUUGGUGUUUGUACAAUCUUUCUAACACAUUGUUUGUUUUCUGUGAUGUCUCUUCAGUACCAGGUUAAGAUGCUUCUUCAGCGUGUGUCUGAACUUGAGAAAGUCCGCUGAGGUUAGUGUUUUGAACUGUGUCUCCUUGUAGUUUAAUUUUGAGAACAAAGUAGGAUAGUGCAUGUGUCUCCUUGUAGUUUGAGUUCAAAGUAGGACCGUCUGUGUGUAACUUUGUUGAAACUAGGAUCGUGCGUGUUUCUCCUUGCAGUUUGAAAACAAACUAGGAUUGUACUGGUUAACGUUCUAGUUUGAAACUAAACUUAACUUCGUAGUUUAAAUGCACACCAAACCACCACUAAAUUAUUCCUUAACUGCUUCUUUUAGACUAAAACAUUAAUUUUAUUGUCGUGAGCUGUUUUGAUAUGACAGUUUCCUACUAGGCUUCAAUGCUGUUAAUGUAGAAUCCUUUAUUUAAUCCUCUGUGUUUCUACUAGAGAAACACAGACUUCUUCCUAAAUGGCAAAUAACAAUGGUUAUGUUAACUUAUUAGCGAGCCAAGGGUCAAUUGACUUUGGCUCAUCACAACCUUUUUUCUUUACCGGUCAAAGUAGUGAUGAGUCUAGUGUCAAAGAGAGGAGAAAGUGGACACCGAAGGAGGAUUUAAUCCUCAUAGGUGCGUGGCUCAACACCAGCAAAGACCCAAUAGUGAGCAACGAACAAAAAGCUGGUGCCUUCUGGAAGAGAAUUGUAGAGUACUACAAUUCUAGUCCUCUCCUGGUUGGGACUAUCCCACGAGAACUUGGGCAAUGCAAGCAAAGAUGGGCUCGGAUCGACGAUUUGGUAUGUAAGUUUGCUGGCUGCUACGACAUGGCACUGAGGGAGCAGACAAGCGGGCAAAAUGACAACGAUGUGAUGAAGUCUGCCUUGGAUAUCUUCCACAGUGACCAGAACCAGAAGUUCAACUUGGAACACGCGUGGAGGGAGCUUAGGCAUGAUGUGAAAUGGUGCUCCACCAACCUUGAGAAAGAAAAGCGCAAACCAGUGGAUCCUGUUGCGAACGAAGGGUCAGUGCCAGAGCCAGAAGAGAGACCAAUUGGAGUGAAGGCUGCGAAGGCUGCUAAAAAGAGAAAGAAAACUGGAAAAGAAGAAGAAUUGGCAAAGCUUGAGAAUUUGUUGGAAAUAAAAAAACAAAUCUCAAAGGAAAGUUUGCUAGAGAGUUUGCUUGCAAAGCCCGAGCCUCUCUCUGAGAUGGAAUCAGCUCUCAAAAUAAAACUUAUGUCUGCUUUGUUGUAGGGUUUGUUAGCUCUAACCUUAGUUUGCCUAUGUCUACUUUACAAUGUGUGCAUUAGACUAGUUUACGAUGUUUGCAUUAGACUAGCUUAGAUGUUUGCAUUAGACUACUUUACGAUGAUAACCUCUGCUUACACACGUGAUUUUGCUCUGUUUCAGGUGAAGUACAAGACCAUGUGCUUGUUGAAGACAAAAGCUGGUAUCUCUUCUCUCUUCAGUCACGGGUGGUUUGUCUCUUUCUCCUUGUAUUUCGAUGUGAACCAAGUCACGGGUGUAUUUGUAUCUUUCUCUUUGUAUUUUCAUGUGAACCAAGUCGUGUACCAUGUUGCCUUUAUAAGUCUGUUUAUGUGAACGAAGUCCUUUGUGCUUCUUCUUCCUUGUAUUGUCUCAAACCGGAUGUAAUGAUGUUUUAGUGUAUUCUAUUUCCUUUGCUCUUCUUCUCCUUGUACAACCUACUUACAAACGAAAUACUCAACCUUCAAAAACUUAAGCAAACUUAAGCAAACGAACCAAGUCGUUGUUGCCAAUCUCCACACGCCUUGAUCGCUGAGACGAGACGUUCAUCCUCUCAUCCCACGACAUAAAACCAUCCUCUCAUCACACGCCUUGUUUCUGUAAGCAUUAGUUUUUGAAAUAGUUUUGCGAAGUAGAAGCCUGUUUACGGUUUACGGUUUGGUCUCCAAUUCAAUUUAUGGGCAUUAUGGUUUUCGAAAUAAGCACAAAGAAGGAUAGUGUGGUUAUUUCCCCUGAGAAAUCACUAUACUAUUUAAUUAAACUCACUUCCACAAAAGUUUUAUUUAUUUAUUUGAUAUAUGUAAAAUUCUACUUUUUACAAGUGAGUGUAUUACGUGACUAAUUAACCCUUUCCUAAUACUAUUAUAUAACAAUUAUCAGCUGAUGACUUUAGUAAUAUAAAUUACGAUUAAUGCAAUUCAAAAAAAUAAUACCAAAAGAAAGUUUAUAAUAAAUAAGUUUAAUAUAAUGUUAAGAGUUCUAAAACGUGUGCCUUGAAAAAUCAGUUUUGAAAGAAGGAUAGGCAAAUAUGGCAGAUGAAGUCGACCGAAGACUCGAUGCGGCUGUCAAUGAGGCUUUUGAUGAAUAUUUUGAAGACACAUACAACAGCAUCAUGGAGAAUCGAACAAAUAAAAAGAAGAAACGUGCAUAUGUCGAACAAAACCGCGAAGCGGGCCACAACCGUCUAUGGAAUGACUAUUUUAGUGAAAAUCCGUCAUUUCCAGAAAAUUUAUUCAGACGUCGUUUUCGCAUGAACAAGCAAGUAUUCAUGCGUAUUAUCGACACCCUCUCAGCAAAUGUUCCAUUCUUUCAGCAAAGGAGAGAUGCAGUCGGACGGUUGGGUCUAUCUACACUACAAAAGUGUACGGCGGUUAUUCGUAUGCUUGCUUAUGGCUGUGCGGCUGACGCCGUCGACGAGUAUCUCCGACUCGGUGAAAGCACCGCACUUUCAUGUUUAACCCAUUUCACAGAUGCUGUAAUUCUAUUAUUUGGAGAAGAAUAUCUACGGAGACCCAAUCCUGAGGAUCUUCAACGUUUACUCAAUAUUGGAGAGAUCCGCGGCUUUCCGGGGAUGAUUGGAAGCAUCGACUGUAUGCAUUGGGAGUGGAAAAAUUGCCCAACCGCUUGGAAAGGACAAUACACACGUGGAUCAGGAAAGCCGACACUUGUUUUGGAGGCUGUGGCGUCACAAGAUCUUUGGAUAUGGCACGCUUAUUUCGGUUCUCCAGGUACCUUAAAUGAUAUUAACGUCCUUGAUCGAUCACCUGUAUUUGAUGACAUUUAUCAAGGUCGAGCUCCAAGGGUAACGUACAUAGUCAACGGACACCAGUAUGAUUUGGCGUACUACCUCACGGACGGUAUAUAUCCAAAAUGGUCAACAUUUAUCCAAUCUAUCACACUCCCUCAAGGUCCUAAAGCAGAGUUAUUUGCUAAAGUUCAAGAAGCUACCCGAAAAAAUGUGGAGCGUGCUUUUGGUGUAUUGCAAGCUCGAUUUGCGAUAGUGAAAAACCCGGCGCUGUCAUUGGACAAGGAAAAAAUAGGGAAGAUUAUGAGAGCAUAUAUCAUACUGCAUAAUAUGAUUGUCGAAAAUGAACGGGGUGGAUACACUCUGUACGAUACAUCUGAAUUUGAAGAAGGAGACUCGAGCAGAAGUUCACAUGUUGAGCAUAUUAACAACAUGCCUACCCAUUUCGGUAAUAUGCUUGGUCUACGGAAUCAUGUUCGAGAUAGGCGUACACACAAAGCAUUGAAAAAUGAUUUAAUCGAAAAUAUUUGGAACAAGUUUGGUGAUGAUGAAGAUGUAUAAUUAUCGUAUGUUUGCUUUUAAUCAUUGAAUAAAAAAAAUUUUAAAUUAAUUUUUUUUUAAAUUUAAUAAUUUUAAAUUCUUAAAGACUUCAUUUUGAGUAACACCAUUGGGCAUACAUUUUAGACUCAAAUCCUUAACUAUUCAAAAAACAAAAAAAAAAUACUAUUAUAAUCCUAAGGACUCCAAUGGUGGGUAACACCAUUGGAGUUGCUCUUAUAUGCUUAUGAGACGGGAAACAUAAUGGAUAGAUUCUCGAACUAGAAAUCCUUCUUGCGGAUUCGAAGUAAGGGAAUACACAGACCUAGAAGAUGAUCGUAAGGAUAGAAAGAUCACCUCGAAGAAUUGUGGUUUCUUCGGAAGCGCUUCCACAAUGAACAUGUGUUCCAAGUGUCAAAACCGAAGGAAGGACCAACCCGAUGUGCUACUUGCAAGAAACGGGUUGGUCUGACUGGAUUCAAAUGUCGCAGUGGUGACCUCUUCUGCGGGACACACCGCUAUGCAGACAUACAUAACUGCUCCUUCAAUUACCAUGUCGCUGUGCAAGAACCUAUAGCUAAAGCAAAUCCAGUUGUGAAGGCAGAGAAGCUUGACAAAAUCUGAAAAACUCAAACACCAAAGUUUCCUUCGUCCUGUCUGUCUGGUCCAAGGUCGUUGCUUAUAUACAUGGUCCAAGAACGAAAGCGUGUUUUGCUCUUUAGCUUCUUUCAUUCUCUCUACAAUAUUUGUGGUGUGAAACUUUCUAUUAUCUUUGUUUGCAAGCAGAGAAGUAUGCUCUUAAAGAAUAUGCUUUGAUGUGUUUUUUUUUCUUAUGAUUUAUGAGCACUAUGGUUUGUUUAUGUUUCAUCAUUUAGGUAUGUAUCAUAAUGAGACUGUAUCUGUAGCUAUAUAUUGAAUCUUUUCUUUAAAAGUGUGUGCUUGUCUUACGUUGGAGGUUUUAGGUCAGACUCUCGUUCAUUUUCAUUUAUCUGUUUGGUGAGCUAUGGAAGUGCUGUGAAGUCAUUAACUUUAACAUCUGGCUAACUGCCCCGAUGAAGAUUCAGGAGCUUAGCUUUCCCCGGUUUAUGAUGACCAAUGUGCAUAACCGGAUAGAUCGGUUCACCCUCGCCACAUACUACCAAAACACUGAACCAAAAACUUGUGAAUUUGUCACCCGUGCGCUGUAGUAGAUAUAUUAUUCUUUAUAUCUAUAUACUACAUGAUGACCUGUGUGUAUGCACUGGGUGAAAGUUUAAUACAAUACUGCUGGCAAAUGUAAACAAUAAAUUCACAUAACCUGCCUAUUUUAUGUAUAAAAACAUAUGGAUAAUAUGGAAAUUUUAUUGAUGAAUAGUAUGGACAAAAAAAAGGGGUUGGUUUUGGAUUUGACUUGAAAAAGUGGGUUGGUUUUGAAAAACACCCAAUUAAUAAACGAAGCAACCGUAGACUAAGUUAUGCAUUCAACGUUAAAUCUUUAUUUUCAUGUGAAUAAAAACAUAACAAAAUCCAAAUGUAUUCAAGAUAGAUAGAGAAAACAUGUUGAAAGCUACUCAUUCUAAUAAAAAAGUAGGAAAUCAUGAAGUACAUUAACGUUGACAUCAACUAAAACCAUCUCACUGAGACCACCACCAGCCGAAUAUUGUUUCCACAGGAUAACCUUCACUUUGAUUUUUCACUUUGAUUUUCCACAUUGAUUUGAACGGUUUCAAGUCAAAAACGGCAGUGAAAGAUGCCAAAGUUCAGCACACUAAGGCUUGAGAAUUUAGCUUGUUUUGGUUUCUUGUUUCUUUUCCGUUACCCGUAAGGCCAUAACUAACCCCAAAAAAAAGGUAAAGUUAACAAACGUGCCAUGAGAGCAGUGCUGGCCCUGGGCCCAAGUUGAUGAAGUAUGAGCUUCCGGCCACCAAUUUAUAUGUACUAAACCAGUCACAAAAUUAAUAAAAACUUGUGUAGUCGAGAGGUUGAAACAGCAUUUAUCUUGCCAAGGGGACAAGGGUUUGAAUCUUUCCUGGUCUAAAUCACAGUUUUUGGCCACUUUUUUUAUUUUUAGCUAGUAGCCUCAAAUACACUAGGACCAGCUCUGCAUGAGAGUGUGUCUGCCUCUGCGAGUGCCCUAAAGCCACGUGCAUGAAUUGUCCUAUGCUCUUUUCAUUCUUAGUUUUUUUUUUGUGUAAAUGUUAAGAUUUAUAUCAGUUUUUUUCAGUUUUUAAGUUGUGAAAAACCACUUAUUACAAGAAAGACAAAAUACAAGAAAACAAAGAGAGCAAAGAGAGAAUUUCAAAGGGAAGAACAUUAAGGCGGCCGGCCGGAAUGGUUCAUUCUUAGUUUCGACUGAUUUUGGCUAUAUUAGACAACCACUCACUCAGGGCCGGGCCUAGUUACAAGCCCAUCAAGCAUUUGCUUGAGGGCUGAUCACUAUAAAAAUAUUUUUGGGGCCAACUUUUCUAAUAAUUAGGUAGCAGAGAUGGUGCAAGAAGCUAUAAUAUGAGACCCCUCUAUGGGUGCCCUGGGUUCGAAUGCUGAGUAGUGCGAUUCUGGGCCAAUUUUUUUUCUCGCUUCUAGUUUGCCAAAUGUCAGGCACGGCCCUGCACUCACUACACUGUCACGGGAAAGAUCUACUAGGUUUUCUUAUAACAAUUCUAUUCUUCUUCUUUUUGUCAACUUGUGAUAACAAUUCUAUUAUAUAUUACACGUUUUCUUAAUACAAAAUUUGAAUCUCGAGAUAUAUUAUAACUUUCAAUAGGUUUAAUUAUAUAUGAAAACAGAGAAAUAACUCUAGAAUAGUUCAUCAUAUAUAUAUACUAGUAGUAUUCCGGCGCUACGCGCCGGUUUUGUAUGUUUUAUUCUUACGUAAAUUUACAAUUCAUUUUAUGGCCUUAUUAAAGAAAAUAUGUUCAAAAAUAUGAAAAUAAAACUAUAUUAAAAGAAAAUGAUAUUUUUCGGAUUCAUUUGAUAGUGGUUAGCGAUAGUGUAUUACUUUGUUUUGAAGUUACUUAUUUCAAAGUGGAAUAGCAUAAGUAGUUGUGACUAAUCAAUUCAAUAAAAAUAAAAUAAAUAGCUGGUAAUCGUAACAAAGUUUAUUUAGUUGAAAUUUAAACAUAAAGUAAAGUUGAUGUUUUAUUUAGAAAACAUAUUUAUACUGCUAAGUACCAUAUGGACAUUAUAUAGAAAAAACGGCAUUUGAAAUUUUAUUUUAAAGACUAAUAUGAAUUUAAACGUGUGUAAUGAAGUUUUAUUCAUAUAUUCUUCUUAUUUUUAUAUAUAAGGAUUAAGGAUUGUUGUUUAUUUUUAGAAUUAAUCGUUUGAGUAUUUUUUUUAUUUUAAAGUAGUUUUGUUUCAAUUUUCUGUCAAAUAUUUGUUCUUACAUUGUCCAUUAUAAUUAUUGUAAUAUUUUGACGUAUGUUUAUUUGAUUUAUGGGAACUUAACCUCAUCAUCUUAUGCGGUUAGUAAUUUUUCUCAACAAUAAAGUUGAAGUGGGACAACCAAAGGUAAGCAGCUUAUUGAUUUGGGCUACCAAAAUAAUGUCAUAAAAUCUCAUUAUCGACUCUUGAUAUUCCAAUAACUUGUACAUCAUACUCUGCGACUCUUCAACCCAAAUAAAGAGACAUAUAUUGCAACUUUGUAGCAUAGACAAAAGAAAAACUCUUAAAAGUGACAGAUAAAUCGUGAGCUACCUUCAUGCUUCUAACACAGCUCGAGAUGUCAGAACACUUCUUUGUCACAUCUAGUGAACAACUUUCUUUGUUGUUCAAAAAAAAAAAAGUGAACAACUUUCUUUUGAAAGUUUGCAAACCAGGCCUGAAACGAUAGAUAAUACCAACAAUUUCAUCUAUAUUUGUAAUUUGUUUCCAAUAUGAGGCUUUUAUUGAUGAUAUUAUAAGCAAAAGCAUUCGUCGUGCUAUAGGUAGUGACUCGUACCGAAAGAUCUCAUGUGAUUCGCUUGGCUUUUGAUUUGAGUACGGUCAGCUCAUAAUCUUACGACCCGUUAAAGGUUUGCAAUCCAGGCAAGCAAUGAAAAAUAAAACAUCAAAAACCCAUAAAGGGUUAGGUUUUUAUCUAAAUUGACAGACAACAGAACUCAAGAAACUGAUGAAAUAGAAAGUAGGAAGGAUCGGAAGCGGCAUAGUAUACAGAGGAGAAAAAUAAGUUUGAGUUUCGAAAUCAGAAAGUGGAUUUUGAUGCGUGCACCUUGUCACCGUGGGUGAGCAGCGAAUAUAUAGUGAGUAAGUGACAGAGGAGAAUCUGAAGCGAAGGUCGGCAUGGAGCUGUUACUGUGUUUGAAUGAUGAAUAAUUGAAAGAAGAGUGGGGAAUAAGGACAUUCGAACUUGAACUUUUGCUUGCAGUAAUUUUUUUCUUUUUCUAAUUUGUUUUUGUUUUCCUUACAAACCAUUCCAAUCAUGAACCCGGACAUAACCGAAAUCAAUGGUAAUCUUAACUGAAAUAGAAACAAAACCUAACUAAAAUUAAACGGGAGCUAACCGGAGACCAGGAACCCUAAAGAGCAAACGACGAAGCCGUCGUGUAAGGAUAGUCGCCAAAAGAAACCUUCAGCGGCAUAGGACCACCACCAAGAGGCGAGGCGAGGCGAGGCGAGACUCGAGCAUCCACCUUCAAAGAUAGACCGGAGCAGACCAGAAAAGCUUCUACCACAAACAUAGAGAAGCACGACAUAACCACCGAAACAUCUGACAGAGAGAGAGAGAGAGAGCCGAGAAAAACUACAUCGGCGAGAAGGAGGCAGAAAAGGGAGAGAAAAAAGCUUGAUUUGGUAAACUAUCUUACAACUGGGCCAGUAUGUUUCCUAGAAGCCCAAACCCAAAAUCUUCAACAAAUGAAAGCGUGACAGGUGUCAUCAAAAAGCCCCAAGGAAAGAAAAAAGUCUACUUUAUAGUAUAAGAUAUAUAUAUUAAAAGCAGCUGUAUGCGUUCAAAAAAAGUAAAAAAGAAUCUAAAUCAGUUGUAACUUUUAUCUUGAAUAGUUGUAAUUAGUAAUUAUCAAAAUGUAGAUACAAGGUCAUGUCUAAUGAAACAAAACCCAAACCAUUAGAGUUAUUAUGGAGCCAGAAGAUGAUAGAUACCCUUAUUCUUGGAUUAUCUUAUAUAUUUGGAAGGCGAGUAAUGACAAGUUAUUCAGAGGUAUAGAAAGGGACCCAUUGGAGUUAGUCAAAUAUGCAGAGAGUGAAUGUCAAGCAUAGUACAAUACAAAGGAUAUUAUAAAUGUUCUUCCACGGGCGCAAAUUGUUGAAGAAACACAAGCUUUAAGCUUGGGUAAUAUUUGUACGGUGGAUGGUUCAUGGACCUCCACAGAUCAAUUCAGUGGAAUUGGAUGAGUUUGGAAGGAUAGCAUAGAAAGAUCCAACUUAUGCAGACACGAAACUUAAUUGGUAUAAACGUGAAAUAGAUUUAUAAAUCUAUUUCACGUUUGGAAUCUAUUUCAAUGGAAUUGGAUGGGUUUGGAUUUAUAAAUCUAUUUUACGUUUGGAAUCCUAAAAAUAAGUAUUGUUAGUGUCAUUUUCUUGAGUUUGUAAAUAUAUUUUACGUUUAUAACUCACAUAUUAAGAAAAAAGAAUUAACCAUCUUUUAAUAUAUUUUUUACAAAAUGCAAAAUGAAUUUUAUUUACUAAGUAUAUUUGCCGGGAAAUGCUCUCGUCUAAACCGCAGGACUCAAAACGCAAUGGUUUAAAUGUGUUUGUGUAACAUUUAUAGAAGAGACGUAAUGACAAUAUGAGCUGAUAUUUAUAACUGAAAAUUUCUAAAAUGGGUUCGCUAACCUAACCGAUGGAAUUAGAUAUACGUGAAUCUGUAACAUCCUGAGUUGUGAUAUAUGGAAAGGCUUAAGAGGAUUGAUUUGACUACCUAUGUCACCAAAGUUGACUUACAUUUUAUGUCACAUAUCCGUUUAGAACUCCAGACUUAAUCACGUUUGGGCUGGAGUAGUGAAAGGAUGAGUGACCUAUCGGGAAGUGAUUUGCGAUACCGUGCGAGUGAGGUCAAAACACGAGGAAAGAUCGGGUGGUGAUUACAUGGCCAGUAAACAAUGAUUUCGAGUUUUCAGAAAAAUUAAUGCACCGAUUGUUGGAAUGGGAUGGGAUCCACGGGCCGAGUGAGCAGACGUGGAUGGCCCAUUAGCCGUGGGUGGUCGGAGCGUUAUAAGUGGUAUCAAAGCCAGGUUAGCCAUCUCGGUUCUGGUCCGAAAGCUGUCUUGAGACAUGUCGUGGGGUGCAACGAGAACGUUGCGUUCUUUGAAAGGGGGUGAAUUGUGACAUCAUGAGUUGUGAUAUAUGGAAAGGCUUAAGAUGAUUGAUUUGGCUACCUAUGUCACUAAAGUUGACUUACCUUUUCCAUCACACAUCCGUUUAUAACUCCAAAGUUAAGCGUGCUUAGACUGGAGUAGUGAGAGGAUGGGUAACCUAUGGGAUCGUGAUACCGUGCGAGUGAGGUCAAAAGUGGAAACAUCGGGUGGUGAUUGUAGGGUCAGUAAACAAUGAUUUCGAACUUUCAGAAAAAUUAAUGCACCGACUGUUGGAACAGGAUGAAGCCUACGGAUCGAGUGAACGGAUGUGGAUGGCCCAUUACCCGUGGACGGUCGGAGCGUUAUAGAAUCAUUGUUGAUGAAAGAUUCCGAAAUUUUUAUGUCGACUAUAUUUUUGGUUUUGCAUUUUUAUAUGGAACAAAGGUGAUAGUGAAGUAGCCAAAAAGUAACUUAUACGUUGCUGGUAUAUCUCAAUAAAUACCAACAAAAAUGGUUAGUUACAUAAAGAGAUUUAUAAUUUGUCUUAGAGCAUCAACAACCAUUGGGACCUCAUUAAGUAAACAAAUUAUUAAUAUUUUAUUUUAAUUAAAUGAAGUAAUUAAUUUUUAUUUAUCUUUUUGAAUUUAAAAUAAUAUAAAAGUGACACAUGAGUCUGUAGGUUAUAAAGUCGUUGAAAUAUAUAAGUUUAGAACUUUUUCUGACACUUUUCCUAAUUUUUUCUUAUUAAUUGAUUAUUUUUAAUUUUAGAAACUUAUGUCAAAAACCUCCGUUGAAAGUGUUCGAAUAGGGUAGAAAAUAAAUAAAUUGGACUGAAAACAAUUAAAUUAAAAGGGGCCAAAAGAAGAUUUGGAAAGGCAAAUCUAAUGUCAUUACAUGAACCCGUACUUGGUGGCCAAAGAAGAAGAAGAAGAAGCAAAGUUAACCUAACCGGUAUCACAGCAUGAUUACUUCUAGCGGGUCUGCAUGUGCGCGUGUUCUAAAGCCACGUCCUAGGUUGCAGUUGUCCUUUGCUUUUUUCUUUCUUAGGCAGAAACUCAGUUGAGUUUCUUCAUUAAUGCUUUAUCAUUUUUUUUAAAAAAAAUGAUUAAAAAUAAAAUAAACAUACCAAUAAUUUGUCAAUAGCCAUUAAAAUCUGAGUUCUUCAUUAAUGCUUUAUCAUUUUUUUUAAAAAAAAUUGAUUAAAAAUAAAAUAACAUACCAAUAAUUUGUCAAUAGCCAUUAAAAUAUUGUCAUUUGCAGGGUCGGUCCUGAAUCAUGUUAGGUGAAACAUUUGCAAUAGGUUCUCAAUUUUUUUAAAAAAAAUUACAUAUAAAUAAGCUUUCAAAAAAAAUUUUAAACCUCUAAAUUUGUAAAAAAAAAGAAAAAUUACAUAGAAACAGUCACAUGUUCCAAAAUCUCAGGACCGGCCUUGAUCAUUUGUCUUUAGAAUUUCUCAAAAACUUUUUAAAAAUCUUUCCCAAUAAAGAUGAAUCUUCAUUUCUCUCCGUUUUAUUCUCUUUUGUUUUUUUCUUGUUUCUUUUAUUCACCAGAUACCCUAGGGAUACUGUCUUUUUUUUUCUUUGAACUUACCCUAGGGAUACUGUCACUGCGCUUGUCCUUAAUUUCGUCUGAUUUCAGCUCAAUAACACAACCACUCACUGUCACGGGGAGAUAUUUGCGCGUUUUCUUACUACCAAAUGUGAAUCUCGAGAUUUUUUUCCCAAAACUUUCUAAAAGUUAGCAACUUAUCUAGAAAUUAGAUAUAUUAAAAACAGCUAUAUACGUUCAAAAAGGUAGAAAUAAUCUAAAUUAGUCGUAAGUUUUAUCUAGAAUAAUUUUUAUUAGUAAAUAUUAUCACAAUUUUUUUCUCAAAAAAAAAAAUAUUAUCACAAUGUAGAUACAGGGCCAUGUCUAACGAAACAAAACCCAAACAAAAAACAUGUCUAAAACCUCUUGAUAAUGUAAACUUUUAGGGGUCCAUUUUCUAACUUUUAUACAGUACAGUAUAUCCUAUAAAUAAAUAUUGUUAACCACCUUUAAUACAUUUUACAAAAUACAUAUUUUUUUUUCUGAACGAAACAUAUAAUUUUUAUUACUAUACAUAUUUUUACCACAAAAAGUAUUAUGUUUUUUUUUCUGCAAUCAUCUUAGGCUUCCAAAACCCUAGGAACAGACAUAUAAAAUGCCAAUGAACGUACCAAUCACAACAAACUCAACCUUGUAAAUGGCCGGAGAAAUGCUCUCGCCUACACCUCAGGAGUCAAAACGCAACCGUUUAAAACCGCAUAUCAUGGUGUUUCCAUAUCCAGCACAAGGCCACUUGCUUCCUCUUCUGGACUUAACCCAUCAACUCUGUCUUCUUGGCAACGUCACUGUCUCAAUCAUCGUCACACCUAAAAACCUUCCUCACCUCUCCCCUCUUCUCUCCGCUCAUCCAUCCGCCGUCUCCGCCGUCACUCUACCUCUCCCUCACAGUCCUUCCGGCGUUGAGAACGUCAAAGACCUUGGCUGUACUCCUCAUAUCAUGGCUUCUCUUCGUCAGCUUCGAGAGCCUAUCAUCAAGUGGUUACGUUCUCAUCCAAAUCCUCCCGUUGCUCUCAUCUCUGACUUCUUCCUCGGAUGGACCAACGAUCUCGGUGUUCCUCGCUUUGCUUUCUUCAGUUCUGGAGCGUUCUUUGCUUCGCUUGUACAUUAUGUCUCCGACAAGCGUCAUCUCUAUGACCAAACUGAGCCUGUCUGUAUCUCGGAUCUUCCUCGCUCCCCUGUUCUUAAGACAGAGCAUCUACCGUUAACCCCGCAAUCUCCCUUGUCGCGAGAUGUUAAUAUCGUUAGAGACAUGACCAUGAACUUCUCUAGCCAUGGUUGUAUUUUCAAUUCUUGCAACUGUCUGGAAGAGGAGUACAUGGAGUAUUUGAAGCUGAAAGUGGGUCAUAACCGGGUUUUUGGUGUUGGUCCGGUUUCUUCUGUCGGUUUAGGCAAGGGAAAAUCAGAACUCAAUGUAGACGUGAAGACCUUGUUUAGUUGGCUUGACGGAUGUCCGGAUGGAUCUGUGCUUUACAUAUGUUUUGGAAGUCAAAAAGUGUUGAGUAAAGAGCAAUGUGAUGCUUUGGCGCUUGGUCUUGAAAAGAGCAUGACCCGGUUCGUUUGGGUGGCUAAGACAGACCCGAUACCCGAUGGGUUUGAGGAUCGGGUCGCCGGUAGAGGAAUGAUUAUUAUCGGGUGGGCUCCUCAGGUGGCUGUGUUGAGUCACGUGGCCGUUGGUGGGUUUUUAAGCCAUUGUGGAUGGAACUCGGUGCUGGAAGCGGUAGCCAGCGGAACAACGAUCUUGGCUUGGCCUAUGGAAGCAGAUCAGUUUGUGGAUGCCAAGUUGCUGGUGGAGUAUACAGGUGUAGCUGUUAGUGUCUGUGAAGGGGGUAAGACUGUGCCGAACCCACAUGAGUUAGGUCGGGUCAUAGCUGAAACAAUGGGUGAGCAAGGACGUGAGGUACGUGCUCGGGCCAAGGAGAUGGGAAAGAAGGCACGUGCUGCGACAGAAGUAAGAGGAAGCUCUACUAUUGAUUUGGAAAGACUUGUCAAAGAACUGGACUCUCUAUAAAGAUAUGAUUGCAAUGAUUAAAACGGUUUAUGGAAAUAAAAAAAGUGUUUUAUUGUUAAAGCAUCAUAUCUUCUUAGUUAAGACUAAGAGCAUCUCCAAUGGUGUUAUAAUCAUUGGAGUCCUUAUGAUUAUUAAACUAAUUUUUUUUUAGAAUAGUUAAGGACUCUAAUCAAAAUAGUAUGUCUAAUGGUGUUUUCCAAUUUGAAGCUCUUAGCAAUAAAAAAUAUUAAAUUUAAUAACAUGCAAAAUUUAAAAUUUUAUUUAUUACAUGAUUAAAUAUUAAGAUACAAUAAUUAUUAAUCUUUAUCACCAAAUUUGUUCCAAAUGUUUUCAAUUAAAUCAUUUUUCAAUUGUUCAUAUAUACGCCUAUCGCGAACAUGAAUCUGAACGCCAAGCAUAUUACCGAGAUUUGAAGGCAUGUCGGUACUAUAAGACAUAUCCACCCGUGAACUUCUGGUGACGUCUCCUUCUUCAAAUUCAGAUGUAUCGUACCGAGUGUAUCCAUCACGUUCAUUUUCGACUAUCAUAUUGUGUAGUAUGAUAUAUGCUCUCAUAAUCUUCUCUAUCUUUUCCUUGUCCCAUGAAAGAGCCGGGUGUUUUCACAAUCGCAAAUCGACCUUGCAAUACUCCAAAAGUCCACUCCACAUCUUUUCGGGUUGCUUCUUGAACUUUAGCAAAUAACUCAGCUUUAGGACCUUGAGGAAGUGAGAUUGAUUGGAUAAAUGUUGACCAUUUUGGAUAUAUACUGUCUGUGAGGUAGUACGCCAAAUUAUACAUGUGACUAUACAUGAGGUUAACAAAACCAGUAUUGCUAUCCAUGGUUAGAGAAUGGUCUGUGUUACUUUACUAGGAACACAGAGCCUUAAGCAAGCGAUUUUUAACUAAGAAAUAUUUAAAUCCAAUAAAAGCUGAGCAGUUAGGAAGGUAGAAAGCAAUUCAUUAGCAUUUAACACCAAUCUAAUCUGACUAAGUAGAAUGGUCUGAGAACUCUACUAGCAACACAGAGCCUUCGGGAACCGAUUUAUAACUAAGUAACAAUUAAAAAAAUCAAAUCUGAGGAGUUAGGAAGGUAGAAAGUAAUUUAGUAGCAUUUAACACUAAUCAAAUUUGACCAGUUGGAAAGUUUUACAGUAAAUGAGUUUUAGCAUUUAUAACAUUUUCACUUUCAUUUUCAGUUAUUCCCGACUUUAAACAUUUUGAAUCAUAAUAUAGUUAUUCACAUACAACUACUAUAUGUUCAAUAUAGUUAUACAUACAACUACUAUAUGUUUUUUUUAUUAUUCAAAGAAAUGAGACUAGGAAGUAGUUUCUACAUACCUUACAGACACUCGCGAGGUCAGAGACAUGCCGUUUUAAGUCUUUGAAGCUCCUCCUGAACAGAUAGGAGAUUAAAAAGUCAAGUUUUUUUAAAAAUGAAGAAACAUCGAUCAAAAGCAGAAGGAGAGAAACUAACCAGGCAGAAACAUGACGACCAAACCUAUUAAAACUAAUACACAAACCAUUAGACAAACAACCAAUUCAAAUCCAUUUGUAGCCCCUGAUUUCUUCUUAGAUAACUCACAGACUGUAUUCUCUAGCUUAACCAGCUUCUGCUUGCUCUCAUUACCUUGAUCCUUAAGCUGCCUAAGUUGUGUCUGAAAGUCACUCAUCUCCUCCAUAACCGCCACAUCCCACCAUUUCCAAACAUGGCAGUCUCCAUCAGCAACAUUCUCACAUGUGAAGUACCUUUUGCCUGGAUCUUUUCUAGUGUAAGAUGUUGCAACAACAGGCUCACCACCACAGUAGCAUGUCUUCGGGAUUCCAUCAUCAGCCUCAGGUUGAGGUGGGUACUGAACCGGAACCUGAAUAUUGUAGCUACUCUCAGCUUCAUCCGCGUACAUAUCAGCUUCUGCUUGAAGGAGGCAGGUUAAACCUAUGUCAUACUCGUCUGAUGAAGAAGGCUGGCUGUAGCUAUAAUCUUGUCCCAUGUUUCGUUAACCUGAAAGAAAUUGACAAGGUUAAUAUUAGACAUGAAAAUUUAAGAACUUGUUCUCCUAUACGAUCUCAAACCCAGAUGAUUCAGUCAUGCCGUUAAACCACAAUAAUCACAGAGCCAAAGCACAUAAUCACAACUUUAAGAAAGAAUCGGAAACCCUAAGCUCAACAGAGUCAUAGAUCCCCAAAUCGAUUGAAACCAAAAUCGUUUGAAACCAAAAUCGUUUUGAAACCCUAACUACAAACGAAAAGAUCCCCAAAUCUAUUGAAACCCAUUUCGUUUUCAAACCCUAAUUUCACACGAAAAGAUCCCCAAAUCGAUUGAAAACCCAAAACCGAACCCUAAUUUGCGAGGAAAACAACAUGCAACCUAAUCUAAAUCCAUAAAUCAACAAGAGAAGGCUUCGAUUUACCAUGAUUAUCCGAGAACAAUUGUUUUUUCUCGCCUUUGUCGGAUUUGUCGCCAAGAGAAAUCAACAAGAGCACAAUCGCCUUUCUCGCCGAGAGGAAAGCUUUUUUUCUCGCCUUCGUCUCCUUUCUCCCCAAGAGAAAUCAAGAACUGCACAAUCGCCUCUUUGUCGCCGAGAGCAAAUUUUUUUUCUCUUGUUGAGUCGAGAAUGAAAUGUUUUUCUCUCCAAACGAAACACAACACUCUCCCCACCCAAUGCCAAGCCGCCACGUCUAUAAGGAUUUGGUCCUUAAAAUCCUUAUUUACGGACCAAUCCUUAGUUAACUAAGUUUUUAUAUUGUUAUUAUAUUGCUAAUAACCUAGUAUUAAGAGUUAAGGAUUCCUCUUCAUUCCCCGUUGCGGGUGCUCUAAGAGCAUGUCAAACAAUAGGCUUUAAGUGAGUAUCUUAGAAAUAAAAUAAUUACAAAAAAAGGAAAGUAGAUGAAAGAUGAAAAGAAAAGUUCUCAAAACAUAACUUAGACCAUCUCCAAUGGAAGUUCUUUCCAUUGGGAUUCUUAAUAUAUGUAUUAUGUAUAUAUAUAUGUAUGUAUAUAUUAUAUAUGUGUAAAUAAUUGUGGGGUCCACAAUUAUUGUGGAACUCCAUAAAUAAAGGUUAUUAAGACCAUUUUUAAUCGAAGUAUUUAAAGGGGUCCUUAGGGGGAUUUAAAGGACUUGGACCCCACAAAAGCAUAAGAGUCGGUUACAAAAGUAAUGAAUUAAGGAUGGAUAUUGGUUAGUUUCUUGUACUGUUUGCGAGCCCCACUGCCACGUGGUGGUCCGCGAUUAGUUUUCUUUUUAAUUUUUUUUAAUCAGAUAAAACAAAAAAAAGAAUUUUUUUUUUAAGAAACCUCCUAACAAUUUCAGCUAUAAUCAUGCCCUAAGGAUUCUUAAAACUCUCUUUUAAGAACCCUUAUCUAUUUGGUUCCACAAAAAUUAUAGACCCUACAGUUAGUUAUACAUAUAUAAUAUAUACAUAACACAUAUAUUAAGAACUCCAAUGGAAAGAACCCUCAUUGGAGAUGCUCUUAUAACACCCAUUUUAGAUACUUUGAGAGACAUGUGUUUUUUUUUAUAUACAUUAAGCAUUUUAAAAUAUAACAAGUUGUAAUUAAUAAACAAAUUACAAUAAAAUAUUAAUAUUCAUUUGAUGAAAACUCCUUUUGAGAAACUGCACGGAUAAGGAUGCUCUAAGAGUCUAUCUAAAAUGUACAUUACUUGAUUUGUAGAAAUAAACAAGACACUUUCUAGAUUCAAGAUAAGCCCUCAAACUGUGAAACACCUGUGUCAUCUAAGAAGCCGAUACAGAAUGUACUGCCACAACUUCAAAGAACCAUAUAUUUUAGUCUCCAUUUUGCUCAUUUCUUUGUUUGGCUUAUUGACUAAAAUGUCUUAUGCAAUGCAGCCAAUGCUUCUAUUUAUGGUCGAGUUGAGUACUGUAAACAGAGGAAGAAAGUAUUGAGAAUGUUCUGAGUCUUAUUCAACAACGUGAGUCUUACAUAUAUACGAGACCAGAGAAUCUUAACAUCCAAGAUUUCAUCUCAUCUGAUAUCUACUCGUGCUUAUCUACCAGAUUACAACAAUGACUUAUCCCACAAGUAUCGUUAACUACUUGGUACACUUAACCAACACUUAACCAUCUCACUUAACCAUCUCUAACACUCCCCCUCAAGUUGGUGCAUGGAGAUUUCGAACACCCAACUUGGUCAUAAGAUACUGGAAUGCAGGAGCUCCCAAAGCCUUAGUCAUUAUGUCUGCAAGCUGCUCAGUAGUACGGACAUGACGCGUCACAAUUGUUCCAUCUUGCACUGCAUCUCUAACACUGUGACAGUCAGCCUCGAUAUGUUUUGUUCUCUCAUGGAACACAGGAUUUGCUGCAAUGUAUAUUGCCGCCUUGCUAUCGCAGAACAGCUCCAUCGCUUCCUGGUGUGUGAUUCCCAAGUCUUUCAACAAUCUCUUUAGCCACUUCAGCUCUCGUAGUGUUACUGCCAUCGACCUGUACUCUGCUUCAGCCGAUGAGUGUGAGACCGUGUUUUGUUUCUUGGUCUUCCAAGAGAUGGGUGAAUCACCCAACAGAACGAUGAAUGAAGAUAGAGACCGUCGAGUAGUCGGGCAGGCAGCCCAGUCCGAGUCACAGAACGCUCGCAGGCGCAGAUUACUUGAUGCUUUCAGCAUGAUGCCUUGACCAGGACAUCCUUUAAGGUAUCUCAACACUCGAACGACCGCAUCCCAAUGAGCUUCACGCGGCUUGUGCAUGACCUGGGAGAGCACAUGGAUCGAAUAGCUAAGCUCCGGUCUGGUUAUGGCCAAAUAAACCAAUUUACCAACAAAACGUCGAAACCUCUCCGGGUUCUUGUAUGCUGGACCUUUGUCAGACAGGAGCUUGUGGUUCUGUUCCAUAGGCGUAGAAACCGGUUUACAUCCAAGCAGUCCAGCCUCUGCCACAAUGUCCAAUGCAUACUUUCUUUGUGUCAGAAACAUGCCUUGCAGACCCCUUGCUAUCUCGAUUCCAAGGAAAUACUUUGCUUUCCCCAGGUCUUUCAUCUUGAAACACUUGCUUAAAUACGCUUUGAACUUAACCAUCAUACUCAAGCUGUUUCCUGCAAUGAUCAAGUCAUCUACAUAUACUAACACCCGUAGUGAACUAUCUCCUUUGAUGAAUGUGAAGAGAGAGUAGUCUGAGUACGACUGCUUGAAACCAAACCGCUUCAAUGCUGCAGUGAGCUUCGCAAACCAGCACCUCGGGGACUGCUUAAGGCCAUAUAGUGAUUUGCGUAAGCGACAAACCUUACCCGGCUCGUCUGUGUUGAACCCUGGAGGCAUCUGCAUAUAGACUUCUUCUUUCAAGUCUCCAUGGAGGAAUGCGUUAUGGACGUCCAUCUGAUGCACCUCCCAGUUCUUAGACGCUGCAACCUCAAGCAAUGUACGCACCGUAGUCAGCUUUGCCACGGGUGCGAAUGUCUCGUAGUAAUCCUCGCCUUCUCUCUGUCUGUUUCCACACACGACAAGUCUAGCCUUGGGUCUCUCUACCGUACCGUCAGCGUUGAACUUGUAUUUGUAUAGCCACAUACAGGCAAGAGCUUUCUUUCCCUUAGGAAGGUCAGUUACGUCCCAUGUUCUUUGACCCUCAAGAGCCACAACUUCAGUAGACAUGGCGUUAUUCCAACGAGGGUCCUGCACGGCCUCUUUGAAACUCUUUGGUUCUCUCUCCGCUGAUAUAGCUGCGAGAAAAACUUGAUGUUUCGAUGAAAACACUGCGUCAGAGACAUAUGCCGAUAUGGGAUAUGAGGACGUACCUUUGACCGAUUUGGAAGACCGAGAUGGAGUUGCAAUUGGAACGGGAGUAUGUUUAUCGAGGAGACAUUGCGAGUUGUAAGCGACGUAGUCUCGAAGUCUCACGUUUGGUUGAGGGACACGAUGUCCUCUACCAAGAGCUGAUUCUACUUGAACCUUUUCUUGGUUUGGUUCUGAUGUUGCGACUGUGACAUCUGUAGGUGACACAUCAGAUGUUGCAGCCUUACUGGCAGCUCUGUCUACUGUUACGCCUUCAGUUGUGACUGAGACCGCGACUCCAUCAGCGACUGCUUCUUCACUUCUCACCUCACCUGCGGCGCUUGCCGUAGGAUCAUCACUCCCCCUGGGUUCCACGACUGGUAGAUCACAGUCAUCAUCACCUAAGUCAUUAACAAUUGGAGAGAUGGCGGCAGCAGGGGACUCUCCUGUCUCUUCCUCAUAUGGGAAUGUGUUCUCAGAGAACACUACGUCUCUAGAGACAAAGAAUUCAUGGCUUUCCAGAUCAUAUAGCUUCCAACCUCGUUUUCCAAAUGGAUAUCCCACAAACAGACAUCUCCUGCUCCUUUCCUUGAACUUAUCUUUGUCUCUCGAUGCUUUGUGCGCAAAGCACAGACACCCGAACACCUUUAUGUCUUCAUACACUGGCGGUUUGCCAUACAAGCACUCAUAUGGUGACUUUCCAUCGAGUAAACUAGAAGGCGUACGGUUGAUGACAUGGGCUGCUGCGAGUACACUUUCGCCCCAGAACUCUGUGGGAAGGUUUGCCUGAAACAGCAGAGAUCUAGCCACGUUGAGAAUGUGUCGAUGCUUCCGUUCGACUCUCCCAUUCUGCUGAGGAGUGGCUACGCAUGAUGUCUGAUGUAUAAUCCCAUUAGCGGUGAAAUAUUGUGACAAGCACAUGAACUCUGUGCCAUUGUCGCUUCUCACCUUCUGUACUGACCGUCCGAACUGCUUGUGAACCAACGUACAGAAAUUAGGCAAGACUGUUUUGACUUCUGUUUUCUCAAGGAGCAAAUGUAUCCAGACUGCUCGCGAGUAGUCGUCUACAAUGGUGAGGAAGUACACUGCUCCGCAAGAGGAUUGUUUACGAUAGGGACCCCACAAGUCAGUGUGUAUUAAUUCGAAUGCAACAGAAGCUUUAUUAGAUGACUCGGAAAACACCCCACGAGUCUGUUUAGAUUUGAAACAAAUAUCACAACCACCAAAUUUCUCUUUAUUGUCUAAAACACCAGAAAUAAAAGGUAAAUUUCCUAGAACACCGAAAGCUGGAUGUCCCAAUCUCCGAUGCCACAAAGUCUUGUCUUCAGCAGCUUUGACUCUGUAUCCUCGGACCAUGGUGACAUCUCGAUAAACAUAUAUUCCAUCCCGUUCUUCACCGGCUCCAAUCAGGGUCCUCGUAAAACGGUCCUGCAAUAUACAAAGAGUGUCAGUGAAAACAGCAAGACAACCCGUUUGUUUUAACAGUUUGGCGACAGAGAGUAGCGUGCAAUUCAAGUUAGACACAUAUAGAACGUUUCGCAGAAUGAGCUUAUCAGAAAGCUUAAGCGAACCACUCUUCGAAGCUUUCACUUGACUCCCAUCGGCGAAGUUAACCGGACAUGACACUAUGUCUACUACAUCAGUCAACAAUCUUAUCUCACCGGUCAUAUGGUGAGAUGCUCCAGUGUCUAGAAUCACCUCACCAGUUUGACGCUUACCAUUCAGUUUGUCUGGUAUUGGCGUCGACUUCUUCAGUUCAAGUAGCGCGGUCAGAGAGGCCCACUGCUCGUGAGUGAGUGAUGGUACUCCUGAUCCAGAUGCCGCUAGAGCUACGUUGGAACGAGGCUGUUGUUGCUGACUCCUUCCACCUCGUCCUCUUCCUUUGCCACGACCUCCUCGAUCACCACCUUGGUUUCUUUCUGUCCACCAAUCCGGGAAGCCGACGAGUUGCCAGCAAUCCUUCUUGUCGUGACCAGAUCUCCCACAGUGUGUGCAUACAACAGGACCUCCACGACUGCGAGCAACCGCCGCAAUCAGUCCAUUCAUACUUGAGCUAUCGCUCGCGCUUCCUUCCGUUGUAGAUAGGAAACCCACUGCAUCUUGUUUACUCUCAACACGAGAUGUCAAGAGGCGUCUCUCCUCUCUCACAACUCUCUGAUACACUGAGUUGAGAUCAGGCAAAGGCUCCAUACUAAUGAUGUUGGUACAGACGUUACCGAACCUAGCAUCGUCCAACCCCAUCAAGAACAUAUGAACUUUCUCUUCUUCAUACUCUGAAACAAACUUCUCAGAGGCUCCACACGUACAGUUGGGAAUGGGCUUGUAACUGAGAAGCUCCUCCCACUUCAAUACAAGGCGACCAAAGUAGUCCAUGACGCUGGCACCACCUUGCUUGCACGCCGCCAACUCCGCUCGUAACUGAUGCACACGCACCGCAUUACCAACAGAAAAUCUUUUCUUCAAAUCUCCCCACAUCUUGUAUGCAGAAGGCGUGAAGGUGACCGUUGAUCUGAUUUCAGGUGAGAUAGACGCCCUUAUCCAACCCACAAUCAUGGAAUUCACAGUCUUCCACGACUCUGCUUCGGUAGGCUUCUCGACCUCACUCGGCAUAGUCAAGGUGCCGUCAAUGAAACCGAUCUUACGUUUGGCACGUAAAGCGUUCUCCAACUCCGACGACCAUUCGGCAUAAUUCUCUCCUGUCAACGAGACCGGAGAGAUGGAUACUCCAGGAUUAUCCGCUGGUGCGAGAAAGUAUGGAGACAACAUGGCUCUCUCAGUACUGCUACUCCCUUCGUACUUUGCUACAUCUUUUGACAUGAUGUCGCUCUUUCUCAAUAAAAUUCUUCCGAAGGAUCUUUAGUUUAGUUAAGCUCUGAUACCAUGUAAACAGAGGAAGAAAUUAUUGAGAAUGUUCUGAGUCUUAUUCAACAACGUGAGUCUUACAUAUAUACGAGACCGAGAAUCUUAACAUCCAAGAUUUCAUCUCAUCUGAUAUCUACUCGUGCUUAUCUACCAGAUUACAACAAUGACUUAUUCCACAAGUAUCGUUAACUACUUGGUACACUUAACCAACACUUAACCAUCUCACUUAACCAUCUCUAACAAGUACCUAUAUAAUUGCAGGAUAGCUACAUAAUUGCAUGAAUUAUGAAAACAAGAAGUAAUAACUACAUUAAUUUAACAAAAAGACCAUUUUAAUAAUGUGGAUAAAUUUGCUGUUUUUUUUCUUGAAUAACGAAAAGCUGACUCAUCCCACUAAUAUAAUAAAAUUAAAUCAAGAUUUUGUCGAGAUUCAAAAAAUUCAUUUCGUCUCUUUCUAGAUCUUGUUUAUAUUCUCCGCUAACUCUGAAUCAAAAUAAUCUCUACAGCUAUAAGUGCUUACAUAGUUUUUAUUCAACAAUAUUUAUUGUAGCAUCCUGUAACAUGCAUAAUUCAUUGUCACUUCAAACUCGUUGAAAGACAAGAACUCGGUAAGAACAUGGUAAUUAUAAAAACCCUAAUUAAUCUUGUGCUGAUUUUAAGAUUGUGAAUAUCCUUGCUUUGAGUUAGUUAUUCUCUAUUUAUAACCGACACUUUUCUUUUUCCCAUCAAGUUGACGUAUUUCCUUGACCGUCUCUCUCUCAGAUGAGUCGAGUUCAGUUUAAUACACAAGUCUUGCCUAGAGAUAUAAUCAAUCCAUCUUCAACACUAUAAAAUAUGCCGAAGUCAAAAAAUAUCUAUGAUUUUCUUUCCUUUUUCUAAGAUUUUAUUUAUAUUUUGCAUGUUAAACUCUUAAGUUGUGGAAGCCCCCUUAAUCUAGUAGUUUGACUAAUGGUUCAUUAAUACUUCUACACCAUGAGGUUUGAGAUUCAAACCCCAGAAACGCAAAUUAUGCACAGAUUAUGAAGAAAAAAAUUUACAAGAGAUCUUUAACAUGGUGCAAGGCGUAUUAUCGAACAUGGAUCUCAUAGGGCGGUUCGGAGUGAUGCAGUCAGACGUGCAUUCUCAUAUGAUGGUAGAAUUGUUGGCUGUAGAAUUAUCUAUGUAAUAUUUCUCAUCGUUGUAAUAGCAUAACUAAUCAGACAAAAAAACUUUGGGUUUAUUUUCAGAAAACUGAAACAAAUAAAAUUUUUUAACUCCAGAGGUUAAAUAUAUAUAACAUUGUGAACAACAGAACAAACCAAACCCAAAAUAAUAAUAAGAAAACAAUCAACAGAACUAGAAAUCCAACGGAUAGUGUAAGGGGUGGACCACACCUUCAAUCAAGCAUGUUUUUCGUAGCUUCUGAAAUUCGCAUGCACUUCUUCGUAACGCUGGGUGAGAUAUGUCGAACAUUUGAUCGCUGGAUAUCUAUUCAUUAAAUACAGCCAUAAAGAUAAUUAAGACACUAUGAGUGGUAGAAGGUCUGAAUAUAACAAGGAUAAAAUGUUAAAGCCUUAAUUACUUGGGAAGGUUGCUUUCGGACUGGCACGUAGGAAGACACUCUAUUAUGCAGUCGUGAUUCGGUUCCAGGAAAAAUGGAAUCUGUGAAGGUAAAGAUUAGAUGCAAUAUUAUUGUUAAUUUUAAUUAUUUGCUUAACCCAAAUCUAAAGAAGUUCAACACAAAAUGUUUUGAGAAAAUGAUAAUAAUUAAACACUGAUAAAACAUUAAUGUAAACUGGAUAUUAGUAAAAGACUUACGGAAUAUCGAUUCUGAUCAUUUAAAAUAACCCUAUGCAUCGUGGAUCUUUAACGUUUAGAAAAGAAGCUUGUUAGACAAAUGUCAGCUAGAAAAAUUUACUUGGAGUUUACAAAGAAUAUAUAUGACAUAUUGAGAAUAUAUAACCUAUGCCCAAAGAGGAAAAUAUUACCUGAAAAGACCAUUGCUCCAACACUGCAUCAUAUCACCAAGAUUCACAACAAGUGCUCUGUAGACAAAAAAGCAAACUAUAUCAGUCCCCCCAAAACUGUAAAUAAGGAACAAUACAAGUUCAUCACUGAAGAAAUAUAUGUUUAACAAGGGUAUAGAGGAAAUUAAGCAUUAUCAUGUUGUACCCUUCAAUCGACGGUACAUAUUCCCACUUCUGAGGCUUAGCGUUUCUAUCCUUGCAUAUCUGCCACAAAUUAUACAAUUGCUUCAAAAGUACAUGUGUAGAAAAUAGAAUGUGAUUUCGAUUUUUUUUUCUCAGAGCAAUGUAAAGAAGAUAUCUCAAUUGAUACUUUGUAUAUUGGUGAUUCUCUGUAAUUAUAGCUUUCCAUUCUAGGAUCAUCUAUGCUUGUAUAUAAGUGUAGUGUACAUCUCAAUAAUAAUCAUCCUUCACAUCUUAUAAGCAAUACCUGGAGUCCCAAUACACCAUCGGUUGCUAUGAGCGUCAUCAUUCCGUAAUCCGAAUGUGCUCCAGUUCCAUAUAUUCCCUUUGAGGGAUCCGAUUUUCCUAAGAAGUAUUAAUAUCAUUGAGAGGUUGGCAUAUAUACAAUGCUUAGGCAACUUCUUAAGGCUUUCUUUGAAAUAUAUAUCACCUUCAUAGUGAAGCAAGCGCAAAGUUGAUACAUAUGUGACAACUUAUUUGAACAAGAGGUGAACGCUGUGACUCGGCCAAUUCAAUCUCUGGCUUAGACAGAUGUUUCUCUUCUCCUACGCAGAAAUAAGCUGCUCUUUGUAAAGGUCUCUUGGCAAGAGGUGAACGCUGUGACUCAGACAAUUGAGGUUUCGAAUGGUGACCAUCGUCCCGCCCGCUCCGUAGUUAAUAGUAAUAAAAAUCUUUAUAUAUACUAUAUAUAUACAUUUUUAUAAUUGUUAAAACCGCAUCGCAGUUGAACCGUUUGUCUCGCACCGCUCAAACCGCAGUCACCAUUUAGAGCCUGAAUAAGUACUUGUAUUGUUAUAGUUGCAAUCAUCAAGAUGACCAACAAAAUGAUCUCCCAUGAGGCCACCAUAUAUAAGAAGACAAAACAAAACUAUCAAAUGUUACAAAGUGUUUUUCCUAAAUAAUAUUAAUCUUAUCCUCUAGCAACAUCUGCUUCUCUAGUUUUCAACUCUUCGAGUAGCUUCUUCAGACUACUACACCAUUUCCUCUGUCUCACGCGUUGAGAAGCUUUUCUUCUCUACUUGUCUCUCCUGGUUCAGCCUCAACAGAUGUAGUAACUGGCAUCGUCAUGAUUUUAACAGGUUUCCCGAGUUUGGUUUUGUCUUCCACAGCUGCAAGCUGAAGAGCUUUUUCACAGACAGGGAAACAUUGAUCGUCCCAUGACUCCAGUAUAACACCAGAACCGAUACAAGCAGUUCCUUCAUAGAAGGCAGCAAACUGUCCAGCAGCUAGGCCUUGGUCAUCUUCAUCAAGAUGUACAACCGCAACAUCUCCUUCCGCUUCCAUUUCAAAGCUGCAGCUGUAGAAGCCAGGCCCAUGCCUCACCUAUAAACUCAACUUAUCAGUGCCAAGUAGCCAUUGUUUGUAAAAAAGUAACCGAUCAUAUCCUUUUCUUUACCUUGCAACGAAGCUGGCUAACAUUGCCUGAAGGUUUCCCACUAAGCCACCUUAAGGAUCCAACACGGAAAACCCUCCUUCUCUUGUCGAUUGAGUAGUAAUCUCUCGAGACAAACACUACAUUGUUCUUGGUGUCCUUUUCAACAACAUACCAUGGUCCACCGGGUAAACGCAGGCCUUGACGCUGUCCAAUAGUGUAAAACCAAAAUCCCCGAUGCUUACCGAGAAAGUCACCAGUUUCAGCUUCUAAUAUAAUCCCUUCCUUCUCUCCUAUGUGUCUUCCAACAAAGUCGCUGAACUUUAUCUAUUACAGAACACCAUAUUUCACAUGUUUCAAGCUUGCACUAAGGAUAAAGCUGUUGUGAACCAGAAGAAGAACAAUUACCUUCCCAAGGAAACAUAUUCCUUGUGAAUCUUUUCUGUCUUUGUUUGGCAAAUCAAAUUGUGUGGCUAGUUUCCGAACUUCGUCCUAUGCAUCAGAUAACAAAGGCAGGCAAGCAUGAAGAUAACCACUAAUAAAACAAAUUGUUUUUUUCAUACGUUUCAAAAUGGCUGAGAGGUUUGAAUACCUUCUUUACGCAACCAAGUGGGAACAGGAGUCGCUUAAGCUGGGUUUGAGAGAGAUGUGAGAGGAAGUAGGUCUGAUCUUUCACCUAUAAACAAAAGCAAUGUACCUAAGAAGCAUUAGUAGCAUGCAAAUGCAACAUAAGUAACAUUCUCUCUAAAACAUGCUGAUCAGAAAACUAAAGGCAGAUUAAGUGAUGAGUGUUUGUGGAAGUACCAUGUCUUGUGAUAGUUGCAAAACAGAUGGACCAGCAGGAGGAUGGGCAACUUUAGCAUAAUGACCUGAAGCUACGUAAUCAUACUCCAUAUCACUGAUUGCAUCCAUGAAUGCCCCUAUUAAGAUAAAGCUGAUUAGUCAAAGUAGCACACACACUUCAACUAAAAGCACAAGUCUUUUCAUGAGCUUACCAAACUUGAUUCUAGUAUUACACAGAACAUCCGGGUUAGGUGUACGCCCACAUUUGUACUCCUCAAUAAUGUAAGAAACCUGACAUGUCAUCAGAAAACCUAAACCAUUAGGCUACUCUAAAUAAAAAAGAAGAAGCAAUGAAACAAAAAAGAACUUACAACUCUUUCCCAGUAUUCAUCUGUUAAAUGCACAACCUCUAAAGGUACACCAACCUGUAAAAAUGACACCACAAGAAGCAUUAAACAUCCUCUUUUCAUUGCUCUAAGUAUAUAAAGUAUGAACCUUUUCUAAUAAAACAUAAUAUAAAAAUCAAGAACAUAGUCACAGUCAGGAACAAGUACCUGCUCACAGACAUGCUUUGCGUAUUUCAAGUCGUCUUCCCAGGGGCACUGGUUCCAGAAAUUCUCAAAGCCUUCCUACAGAACAUUAGAAACAUCACAAACCCCCAUGUUUCUAGACAGAGACAUGAGAUGAAGAAGCAGACACAGACCUGGAACCAGAUUUUGAGGUAGAAAGCGGUACAGGAGUGUCCAGCGGCGUGGAGGAGGCGGAGGGCGACGCUGCUAUCGACGCCGCCGCUGAGGAGGACGGCUACACGAAGGGGCUUCUCAGGGACGGAACAUGAGAGGUAGUGGUCGGAGAGAGACGCGUGGUUGCGGCGGGAGGAACGGAGAGGCGUAAUCGGAUGAGGAGAAUGAAAGGGAGAGGAGGAGGAGGAGAAGGGAAAGACGUGAAAGAGGACUGAGAGAGAAGAAGAAAGGGGAGGAAGGCGAAACAGCGACGGUGACGGAGACAGUAAAGGCUUCAUAACCGUCGAGAACAUCGGGAAUCGAUGAGUUCUAGCCGGACGGUUGGUUGUCUCAGCCGCUCUAUUUUGCAAAAUUAUAUCCCCUACCUAUAUUCGAAAUGAUUUUGCCAAAUGUUUUUUCUACAAUUAAUUUCACUAAACAAAUGUGACAACAUUAAUAAAAUUAAUGACAUAUCUUAUAUCUUAAUAUGACAUGAACAAUUAUAUUUAACAUUAAUUUUAUAUUUUUUAGUAAACUUUUUAAAACAUAAAAAAAUAACUCAUAUAUUAUAUUUAAUGUCAAUUUAUAUUUUUAGAAUAUGAGAAUAAUUCAUAAAUCAUCAUUAAAAUAGAUAUAUUCAAAUAUGGCAGUAUAAAUUUUGAAAUAUAAUUUUAUUAUAUAUUUUUAAAUUAUACAAUUUUAUUACUAAAAAUUUCAAAAAUGUAUACAAAUUUUUUAGAAAAUAAUAAAAAUUUAAUCGUAAAAUCAUUAUUUUCUUAUAUAUUUACAAAUUUUAUAAAUAUUAUUUAAUUUUAAUUUUUGGUAAUUAUGCAACUUUUACAAAUUUAUUUAAUAUAUUUCAUUAAAAUAAAUAGAUAGAAAAUCUAUCUAAGAUUAUAAUUUCAAAUAUAUACAUGCAUAUUCUUAAAUAUAAUUUUUAUGUUUAAUUAAAUCAAAUUUAUAUUAAAAUAUUGAUAAGAAAAAUAAAAUUUACAAUAUUAAUAAAAUUUAUUUUAAAAUAUAAUUUAUAUUAAUCUGUUAAAAAGUCUUUUAAAAUUUUUUACUGCACAUGGUGCAGCAAGACACCUAGUAAGUUAUAAACACAACAAUGUCAUUACAUUACUAUUUUUGACUCUAUGCUAAAUUUAUUCAAUAUUUACAAAUUGUUAUAAUUUGUCUAAUUUGCCCAAAAAUACAUUUUUAUUAAGAGGAGUUAGUGGUGUUAGAUAUAUAAUAUGAUUGCUAGAAUUUUUAGAAAGGAGAAUCGGAAAAAAGAAACAUUUUCAAUUUUUAUUUGUCACAAUAAAAUUUUGAUGCUUUUGGUUAUUUUGGACAGGUUUUACUCUUUUCUAAUGAAAAAAUAGUAAACUAAAUUUUAAAAAUAUAAAAAAAAAAUGAAAAACAUUGGAAACUUAAGUAUGACUAUGUAUAUGUUAAUUUUUUUUUAAAUACUGGAAUCAUAUUUUAUUUUAUGUUCUAGCUACUCAUAGAAUAUUCAUUAUAAUCAUCUACUUGUUUAGAAAUCGGAUACUAAAUAUUAUACAUAGAUUUAUCCUGGAUAUAUAACGCAAACAAAACUUUCUUGUAUAUUCUAUUUUAGUUAGAAUUUGUUAGCUUAUAUUCUAUCAAAAUGUUGUUAGUCUACCUAUAGCUUUAUUACAACUUAUAGCCACGAUCCUAUAAUUUGUCUUUUCUUGUCUAUGUGUCAUAACAUGUUUUGGUUUUUACUUUAUGUACACCUUCGGAAGAAUAAACUUUACACCUUCUCUACAUUGUUCUGCACAACAUAGGAUACAUAUUAUAACCAAAUCACGAAAAUAUAAAAACUUCUAUAUUUCGGUUAAUAUCUUUCUUAAAUAUACACAAAAUCCAGACAAAAUCUACCUUAAAUUUCGUACUGUAUCUUUUCUUCCAGGUCAAAAAAUCAUUAAAACUGCUCUUUCUUUCAUUCAAACCCGAGUCAUUCAAGAAAAAACUACACACUUACCACUAGACCACACAUGAUUCACGUUGCUUUGAUAUGUAUAUUAGGGUUUAUAUACUAUCAAGUAUAAUAAAAAUCUUAAAAUUAAUCAUUGAUUAAUCCACGAUUAAUUUAUGAGUUAUUGUAUAUAUUGAAUUUUCAUAUAACACAGUCAAAAGUGCACAUUUGGAAGUUUGAGACGAAAUCAUAAGGAUAUUUCUAUAAAUUUGGAAGAUUGGGGAAAACAUUAAAACAACAGAAAAUUCAGAGACCAAUGCUGAAAAAUAAGAAUACUGGCUAGUCUAGAUUCAUAAUUGAAAGUUUUGGAAUUAAUUCUAGGAGGUUGACAAAAAAAAGGAAUUAAUUCUAGGAGCAAUAUGUACAAACAUAAAAUUAUGGGACAAACUCGUGAUUAGUCAAAAAUUUGAGGAUCUCUUGCAAAAUUACCCAAACCGGCCAUUGUUGCUCUUUGACAAGCUUUCCUUCGAUCGGCGACGGUAACUGAUGAUUCCCACGUAACGGAGAUAGUGGAGUGAGGUAGAGAGCACGACGAGAUUGGAGCCUUCGGAUACGAAACGGAGGAGUGACGUCACGAGUUGAUGUCGUGGCGUGGAGGAAGCUUGGUUGCAGCGAUUGAACAGAGCAUGACCACGAAUUCGACGAGACGAAGUCGACACAGAGCAGAGCACAGUGGUGAGGAGCUAAAGAAAACGAUUAGAGGUCGGGAUGAGCCAUACCUCUUUCGUGGAUUUCUUUUUUUUUCUUCUGUUUUUACUUUUUUUUUCCUUUUUAAUAAAAUAUAAAUCAAUUACUAAAUAUUAAUAUUAAUUAGGUUUAUUGAAAGGUAUAAUGGUAUUAAAAAAAUAAAAAUCUCCAUUAUCUAAAUAAUCUUCUAUGAAUCAUAUUGGGACAUAUUUAAGUUGAGAAUGUCUCUUUUUCCCAAUUUUUCCAAUUUUAAAAUCUAGUGCUAUUGAUUUAUAAAUUUUUAAAAUUUUUACUAAAAUCUAAUGUUAUUGGUUUGAUAAUUUUAUAAUUCCAUACAAAAUUUUUUGUUAUUCAGAACGUUUGAAUUUUAGCGAUUCUAUAAAUCUAUUAAAAUUAGUUAUUAAAGUUAGUGUUAUCGAGAUAAUAUUCUUAACUAUUUAACUCAUCAAGCAAAAUUUUGAGAAUAAACAUAUAUCCAUGAGAUUCUUAAAAUUAUUAUAGCAAUUUAUUUCUUAAAUUUUCACAAUAUACAAAAUUCUCUACAACUCUUUCCAAAUUUAAUAAAUCUCACAAUUUUUAAAAUCAACAAAUUCUACAUAAAUCUAAUAUGGAUCAAACACCCCCUAAACAUCGAGGACUAUACUCAAUUUUCAAUUUUCAUGCAAGACUAGUAAUUUUUCUCACAAAAUACUAUAUCUGCAAAAACUUGUAAAAACAAGAAAAAUAUAAUAAAAUGAUGAAGUUAUGUAAAGAAAUCACAAACCAUUUGAAAGUUAUAAUAAGCUUUACGAUUUUUAAUUGAUAUUUUCCUAAAUGCAAAAUUUGUCCCCAUUACAAGAAAAACAAAAUUAUUCUCGACUGUUAGUUAAAACUUAAAACACGUUCCACCUUCCAUCUAGACGCCUCGGCUUCCCAGUCUCUCCCUCUCUUUCAACCAUUUAUUUUUCAGAACCAAUUUUCCUACUCCUUGAUCAUUAGCAUUUCAUCACCUGAUUCUUUUUCACUGUAAUUUAUUUGAAAAACAGUGUGUUUACAUCCUCCAGACUCCUAGAAAUAAACAAAACAAAAAAUGAGUUUUUAAUUUGCCGGGACUUUUUUUUUUUUGGUUGUCUUGGUUUAUAAUUUGCUGGGAAAUUAUUUUCGUAAAAAUAGAAAAAGUGAAGACACAUUAUUGACCUCUCUUGGUUCAGACAAAAAGGUGUGUUCUUCUCUUCUUACGUUACAUUUGUCUUUCCUCGUCCAUAAUCACAUGUUUAGUUCUUACGCAUUUUGGAUUCGAGUUAAUUUCCCAAAUACUUUUCUUUUUAUCCGAAAAAUCAUAGAAAUUUCGUAAGAUUGUUGGGUAGUUUUAUGUCACUUGUCGAAUUUUAUUCUUUGGUAAUUGACGUUAACCAAACUUUCAUUGAUAGAAGAUUUGUUGUAACAAAAUUUCUCUUCAUUAAUUUUUUUCUUCUUCUUGUUCAUAUUCUCUUUCAUUUAUUUUCUCUAUUUAAAGAUGUGGAAAAAGUCUGUCUUUGAUUAAAGAUAGCUUGUUCUUGGAACCCUCUAGGUUUGUGGACACAAGACAAGAAUCAAUACUACAUUGGAGUUUGAAGUCUAAAGGUAUAUGCAAUGUGUGGUUAGCCUUGAAAAUUGAACUCCCUCUAUUAUUAUGAGGGGCAUCUAAUGAAAUGUCACCUAUUUAACCGAGAAUCAUUUACUUUUGCUAGAUUCUGUGUCCACACACACAUUUUAUGUACUUGUGAAACUCAGAACACACAAAUAAAGUUCAGUAACAUCUCUUAACGAUGUCUGAAGAUGUUGGCUUCAACAAAGAAACUCCUUGUGAUUAUCCAAGAAACCCUCUUUGCAUCUUCCUAAGUGAUUUCAGGUAAUAAAUAGUUUUUUUACUUUGUAAAAUUUUGUUUUCUUUGCGUGAUCAAGAAUAAACUUGAAACUGGGAUGUUCUUUGAUGUAUCAGAUCAGUUUUGAAAUUUGAUGAGCUCGGUUUGGAGAUAGCAAGAAUAGCUUUACCUGCAGCACUUGCCUUAACAGCUGAUCCUAUAGCAUCUCUUGUGGAUACAGCCUUCAUAGGCCAAAUAGGUAUUAACAACAACCACAAAAAAAAGUCUUUAUCAUUUGAUAGUUUUGUUUAAUCUUUGGUUUCUUGUUUUGGUGAUGAUUUACAGGUCCUGUAGAGCUUGCUGCAGUUGGAGUUUCAAUUGCUUUGUUCAACCAAGUUUCAAGGAUCGCUAUCUUCCCACUAGUUAGCAUCACAACUUCUUUUGUAGCAGAGGAAGAUGCUUGUAGUUCUCAGGAAAACACAGUCCAAGAUCAUAAAGAAUGUAUUGAAACUGGUAUUAACAACACAAAGGAGGAAACUCAAGAACUUAUUCCUGAAAUUAAUAAAGGUAUAUAUAAAAAUAUUCUCUGCAACAUCGUCACUCCUUCUAUUAUUUGAUUUCUUGAAAGUUCUAAUCACUAGUUUGUUUUAUCUUUCUUUCAGAUUCCUUGCCAGAUGAAUCUAAAAUCAGUAGCAGUAUCUUUAGUGUUAGUAAAUCCCCAGUCAAGAAAAGAAACAUACCAUCAGCUUCAUCUGCUUUAAUCAUUGGAGCCAUUCUUGGCCUUCUUCAAGCUGCGUUUCUUAUAUCCACAGCCAGACCUCUCUUGAGUUUCAUGGGAGUUAAACACGUACAGAAUCGAUCGUUCAGGCUUAAUAUAAUUAUAUAUGAAUGUUAUGAGACAAAUCUUUAGAACUUGUUUUUUAAUAUUUACAGGAUUCUCCAAUGUUGGGACCUGCUCAAAGAUAUUUAUCUCUAAGAUCGCUUGGUGCACCUGCUGUUCUUCUCUCACUUGCGACACAAGGUGUAUUCCGAGGAUUUAAAGACACAACAACUCCAUUAUACGCAACUGGUAAGUGGUAACAUGACUUAUCUUUAUUAUGAUCAAAAUUUCUUGUCACAUAACAAACCUGAUGAUGAUGAUCAACUUUUAUUUUGUAUUAAUCUCUUCCACAGUGAUUGGAGAUGCCACAAAUAUAAUACUAGACCCGAUCUUCAUAUUCGUUUUUCGUCUAGGCGUUACAGGAGCAGCCACUGCUCAUGUCCUAUCCCAGUGAGUUUAGUUUCACAUUUUUGAGGCUAUUUUUCUUUUUAAAUAUACUUUUUCUGUAAGGCUUGUUUAUAUGUUCAUUUUCAGAUACCUUAUGUGUGGAAUACUCUUGUGGAAAUUGAUGGGUCAAGUUGAUAUCUUUAACUUGAGUACCAAACAUCUUCAGUUCUCUAGGUUCAUGAAAAAUGGUAUUGUAAAUACUUGUUGAUCGUAUUGCAUAUAAUUGAACUUUGUAAUAAGCAUGCCUAUUUUAAUGUAAUAAACAUGUUUAGCUUUGUUUGAACUAAAAUUAUCAGGUUUUAAAAAUAAAAUAUGUUCAUUUUGUUUGAUUCCUAUCGUGUUAUACUACUCACUUUGAUAAUAUAGUGAAACCUCUGAUGAAAAACAUGUUUUCUUUGUGUUUUUUUUUCUCUCUCAGGCUUUCUUUUACUUAUGAGAGUAAUAGCGGUGACAUUCUGUGUAACCCUUUCUGCAUCACUAGCUGCGCGAGAAGGAUCCAUUUCUAUGGCAGCUUUCCAGGUUUGCUUGCAGGUUUGGUUAGCAACUUCACUUCUUGCAGAUGGGUUUGCUGUAGCUGGCCAGGUUUAGCCCUUGAGAUCUCUCUCUCUAUCUCCUCAUUCAAUAUUUUUUGUUCUAUGUUUUAACAAAUGUGUCUUUAUAUAAGGCAAUACUAGCGAGUGCGUUUGCCAAAAAGGACUACAAAAGAGCUGCAGCUACCGCCUCCCGUGUACUGCAGGUACAUUCUUAGGAUCUAAGAAAUACAAAAGUAAACCAAAAACUAAAGGAAUGAAUCUUGUGACAGUUGGGACUGGUUCUUGGGUUUCUACUAGCGGUUAUACUUGGAGCAGGCUUGCAUUUUGGAGCAAGACUAUUCACCAAAGAUGAUAAAGUCUUGCACCUCAUUAGCAUAGGACUUCCGGUGAUUACUUUUAACUUCUCCUUAAAGCCCUUAAACCAAGAUUAUGUUAAACACAUUUGUGGCUAAACCUGGUUAUUGUUUACUAAAGUUUGUGGCAGGGACACAACCAAUCAAUGCCUUAGCGUUUGUAUUCGAUGGAGUUAACUUUGGAGCAUCUGAUUUUGGUUAUGCCGCAGCUUCAUUAGUUAUGGUGGCUAUAGUUAGCAUUUUGUGUUUGGUCCUACUCUCGUCGACUCAUGGGUUUAUUGGACUUUGGUUUGGUCUCACCAUUUACAUGAGUCUUAGAGCAGCCGUUGGAUUUUGGCGGUAAAAGUCUAUGAAUAUCUCUGUUUCUCGUAGUGGAAAUGGUAAAAAAAAAAAAUUAAUAACAGAAUGUGAUUUGGAACUGUAACAGGAUUGGGACAGCAACAGGACCUUGGUCUUUUCUCAGGAGGUAAAGAAGGAUAAUUAAAGGGGAGGGCAUGUUUUAAUUGUUCUUUAAGCCUUUUCUAAUGAGCUUGUAAUUAAAUAAAAUACGAAGAAUAUGAAUUUGGUGAUGCAAAUGAUUAUACGUGAAUUAGUAAUAUUCUUGAAAAUAUUAAGGGAUGUGGUGUACUAAAUUUGGGAUUUAGAUUGAUGAAAUUUUUAUGUUAUUCAGACAUGAAUUUUUAAAAAGAUAGUGUUGUUAAACUUGAGAUUUUAAUAAUUUUAUAGAAACUAGAUUUUUUAACCGCACUACGCGCGGAUAAGAUAUUAUAUGUAUUUCUAAAUUCUAAAAAAAUAAUGUAUAAUAUUGUAUUACAUUAUUUAAAAAAUAUAAAAUAAGACUACAUAACAUAAAUAUAUUUUUUAAAUUUUCUUUGUGAAAAUCAUUAUGUUGUUUGAUUGUUGUACUUGAUUCACAUAUUUGCAUAGUUAUUUGUGAUAGAUGAAUAACUAUAUUUUAAUUAUCAGUAAAUAAUAUAUAUUUAUUAUAUAAUAUAAGAAAAAUAAAAUUAUUUACUUUUAAAACAAACUUGUCUCAUGUUGGGGACUCGGUUAUAAACAUAACAUAUUCGAAUGAGACAUUUUUACAGUUAUCAAUCUUCUUAAUAGUCAAGAAACAAAUUUGAAUAUCAAAACAAUAUCUCAUACGAUCUCUUUGUAGAAUAACUGCUCUGAAGAAAUUGAAUUUAGGCAUCAAAAAGGACUGGAAAUGGAUGUGCAGAUGUGUUAUCUAAGUCAACUUUACAAAAUACUAUUCAUAGUUCAUAUAUCAUUUAUGUCCAUCCUAUUUUUUGUCCAAUCUUUCUUAAACAUCUUGAAAUAACUGAUGCUAAUUAAUAAUAAACUUUUGGCUGGAAAAAAAAUUUAAAUUUGUCUAAUUAUCGCUUAAUUUGUUUAACUGAUAUAUAUGUAUUUCUCAGUUCUAACAAUAUAAUGUAUAAUAUUGUAUUACAUUAUUUAAAAAAUAUAAAAUAAGACUACCUAACAUAAAUAUAAUUUUUAAAUUUUCUUUGUGGAAAUCAUUAUAUUGUUUUAUUGUUGUACUUGAUUCACAUAUUUGCAUAGAUAUUUGUGAUAGAUGAAUAACUAUAUUUUAUUAUCAGUAAAUAAUAUAUAUUUAUUAUAUAAUAUAAGAAAAAUGAAAUUAUUUACUUUUUAAACAAAGUUGUCUCAUGUUGGAGAUUCGGUUAUAGACAUAUAAUAUUCGAAUGAGAUAUUUUUACAGUUAUCAAUCUUCUUAACAAUCAAGAAACAAAUCUGAAUAUCAAAAUAAUAUCUCAUAUGAUCUCUUUGUGGAAUAACUGCUCUGAAGAAAUUGAAAUUAGGCAUCAAAAAGGACUGGAAAUGAUGUGCAUAUGUGUUAUCUACGUCAGCUUUACAAAGUACUAUUAUUCAUAGUUCAUAUAUCAUUUAUGUCCAUCCUUUCUUAAACAUCUUGAAAUAGCUGAAGCUAAUUAAUAAUAAACUUUAAUGGCAAAAAUAAUCAAAUUUUUUUAAUUAUCGCUUAAAUAUUUUAUUAAUAUUGUCUAAUAAACUUUCAAUUGAUAUCAUAGUUUAAUUUUUAUUAGUUUUUUUUAUUAAUUUUAGAGUUUUUUUGUAUUUAAGAUCUUUAACCAUAUUAAGCUUAUAUUUCUUUCACAUAAUAUAUAUAUGUCACAAAAAUUACCAUCAAAUCAGUUUUACUUAUUUAUUCUUUUGUUUUUAAUAAAAAUACACUUUUUAAAUAAUUUAAUUUAAAAUAAAAUUAUAUAUUAAUUUGUUGUAUUCUAACAAUUUGAUUGAUUUAAUUAAUUUGCUUUGGUGGAUUACUUAAAAAGUUUUCAUAUGAAUCAGGGAAAGCAAGCUUAUGUUGUUAUAUUAUAUUUAUUUGUGGAUAUGAAAUCUAUAUAUAAUGCUAGUGUAAUAAAGAAAGAACAUUAUUUUUUUUGUAACUUCAAAAAGAAACAUUAUUACAAUUUGAAAUUAUUCAAAAUUGAAUAAAAUGGUAAUUAAAUAAAUCUAAUUGUUUUUUUAUCUUGUUUAGUUGGAUUCUCAUGAAAAGAAAUCGAAAGGUUAAACAAAUGUUUCAAAAUUUAUUGUGUUAUUGUUUUGUCUAUAAAUUACAAAAUUUAUUGAAUUGAUAUAUUUAAUUAUUGCACCCUUAAAUAAUAUUUUAUUAAGACAUUAGGGAACUAUAUUUUGAGUUGUUUUGUCAAAAUUAUACAAAAAUCUAUGCUUUUUUAUAUUUGUCACGAAAAUUUAUAUGUUAAACUUAUUUUUACAAAAUUCUUAACUUUGUCACGAAAACAAAAAUUUAUGCUUUUUCAUAUUUAACAAUGUUCUCACACUUUCAAACAAUAUAUUAGCUAAGUCACUUACUUAUUUUUUUUUUUACAAAACCAAGUAUCGGAGUUUGGAAAGUUGAAUCCAUAUUAUUGUAAAUGUACAUAAGAGUUUGUGAUUACAUAUUUAGUGAUUAUUGUAUAUGUGUCCAAGAAAAUUUCAAUGGCUUAGUGGUAUCUGUCCUAUAUUUAUGUCAUACUAACCCGGAUUCGAUCAUUUCCUUUGCAUUGUUUUUUCAUUUUUUUACGAAAAAAUAAAUGAGAUGACGUGGCAACUUCGAACUCUCUGAUUGGACGAUUUUUUUGUGCCUACGUGGACACUCUAAGAAGAGCUUAUAUCCCCCUUUUAGUAUAGUUUAGAUGUUGUUACUAGAGUAUUUAAAAUUGUGAUUUUUGGUAGAUUUUUGUAAUUUUGUGUUGUUCUUCUGAAACCGUUAGUUAAAAUAUAAAAUUCCAUAAUUUGAAAUAGUUUUUAAAUUAUUUUAUCCUAAAUAUCUAAAUUUUAUUAAAGAUAAUUUAUUUAAAAUACUUCCAAAUAUUAAAUUGAAUACAUAAUGUUAUGUUUAUUACCUUAAAAAGUAGAGAACGUUUGUAUAAUAAUAUGUUCCCGUUCUAUUUAUGUUUUUAGUUUCUUUACAAAUUUUAGGCUAAAUAUUAAAUUAUAAAAUUUGAUGAAUUACAAAGAAAAUACGGUUGGUUUCAAAUCAUGUAUCUAGGACCAACAUCAGUUCAACCUAAUUAAUUGGUCUUCUAUAUCAAAAGUCAGAUCAAGAAAAUAACUACAUACAAAACAAAAAUGGUAGAGGAAUUAUCUCUAAUUAAUCAUUUAAAAAGAAGAGAAGUUUAUCCUCAAUAAUGAAUGAAACUAAUAUAGGGACCUAUGUUUUCUUCAACAUGAUUUGGCUAAUAGCCUUUUUUUUUUUAUCAAAUUGCUAUUCUGAAUGAAAGAGAAAAUGAAUAGGAUAGCAUUAAAAAAGUUUUUGUCACAAAUAUAGCCUAUAAGAAUAAAAAUAACCAAAAUAACACUUAAUGUUUUAUCAAAAGAGAUAAAUAUACACUUAUACCCCAAUGAUAAAUUAAUUUAGACAUUAAGAUUUAGAGUUAAGGGUGGAGUUUAGGAUUUAAGGUUUAGAGUUUGGUUUAGAGUUUAGGGUUUAGGGUUUAGAGUUUAGGUUUUAGGGUUUAGAGUUGGGAAGUGGGGUUUUGGGGAUAAGAUUUCAAAUUUUGAAAAAUUAAAAAAUUAAAUUUUUCAAAAGAUAAAAUGCUAUUUUGGUCAUUUUAGUUUUUGAGAGCUAUUUUUGUGACAUAAACUUACAAAUGUGCUAUUUUGGAGAUUUGCUCAUUCUGAAAUGUUAGUUCAAAAAAAGAGAAACCUUUAGGGAACUCUUCUGCCAUUCUUUCCAAUCUAACAGGGGGGGAGGGGAGAGUGAGAGUGCCUAAUUGACGGAGGAGCUAAAUCUUCGCCAUUGCCUCCGCUCUCUCCGAUGCAGAAUGCAGCAACAACAACAGCAUCCUCAUCCAAUCUGCAGCGGCGCUCGGUAGUUUCUUCUGUGUUCCCUGAUCUCAUCGGUCUCUUCACUAAUCCUAGCGAAAAGGUUUAAAGUUGGAAAUUUUAUUAGAAAAGUAGUGUUGGGUCUCUAGAACCAAGCUUUGAACGAUCUUUAGAUUAUACUCUCUAUGAUCAUCCUAGCUUUUAGGAGUUGUGUUAUAAAGGUCAAAGUUCGAAACUUUAUUGACUUUGUAUUAGAAAGUUCUCGAGAAGAAAGCUUGAACAAUUUUUAGAUUAUAUACUAUGUGACAGUGUUUUAAAAAUCGGUUUAGGCUGCGCAUGGGGCAAAUCAGAUCUAAAAGAAAUGAAAAAAAAUAGGUCUAGGUGUCCCCCUAAACAGUAAUCCUCUAUAACACGUAUAACCACCACCGCCUAGCUAUUUCUUGAAUAUUGUUCUGUGAUAAAGCAUUGGCCAUUAGAUAGUUUUGUUGAUCCUCUUUUACAUGUUUAUUAGGUAGAAGAUGUUGGGGCUCGUUCACUGAGAAUGAUAUUUCAGUCUAAAUUAGCUUCCAAAGUACGACUUACUCUAAGAUUCUCUUCUCCUUGUUAAAACAGCAAGAACGAGAACCUUAGUGGCCUCGGUGCAAGCAUCAUCUCUUACGCUUGCGGGACAAGUGCAGAGCAACAGCUUCUAUGUGACGCUGGUGUCUUGGGGAAGCUUGUUGUCCUUCUCGAUGGUUCUCUAAGCCAAAGAGAAGCUUGUCUUGAGUCUUUAGCCACGGUUUUGAAGGGUAACCAUGAUGCUGUUUUGCGCUUUGUUGGACUCGAGGGUGGGAGAUAUUUGAGUUUUGUAACUGAAUUAACAAAGAAAAGAUAUACAAGGACGAGGGUGCACGAGGGUGCUUUCUUGUCUCUGCUUGGUUGCUAUAUACAACACUUCUCCGUCUUGUUUCUUAAACAUGGGAACCAAAUCAAGUUUGAUAACUACUCUGCUUGAGCUUCUUAACGACCCUGGUCAAUCUGGAGAUGAUGCUACGUUGUGUUUGUCUUCUCUCCUCGCCGAAAAAGAGGAUCUACAGCAACUAGCUUACGAGGCCAAUGCAGUCAAGACUAUUGUUGACAUCUUGAAGACAGAAAGUGAGCUUCAACCUAAACGUCUUCAGGGCGGCUUGUUUCAGUCUUUAGCUGAACUGAGUUCUAAGCUUGAGGAUUGCAGGUCUACCUUCCUGUCAUUACAGGUUUUGCUCCCAUCUUUGAGUAAUUUAGUACUUGUGUUCUUAUACUGUUACUUAAUCUGUUUCGUCUUUCUUUAGGUGUUAGACCUUCUAUUUGAUGCGCUAAGACACAAAAACGCUGAUGCAAGAACUGCAGCAUGCAUAUGCUUUAGAAUCACUUCUCGAUCAAUCAAGGUUUGUUAACACAAUUAUGAUUUAAAGCUGUCGUAUAUUAAGUGGUAAGCCCACCUGAGACAUGUCAUUUUAGAAUUUGAGUGCAGGCCUUUUCACCAACGAUCAUGUUAUGCUUCCUUUGGUUCAGUUAUUGCAUGAUCCAUCUCCCUCUGUCCAGGUACAUACUCGCAUUUCUUUAAGUUAAUCUCUGAAGUGAUUUUGUUGUCUGGCAGAACUGAUUUGAAUUUAUAUAUGGCUGAUUAAUUAGGUUGCAGUUCUUGGUGCUCUGAGAAAUAUAGUAUUGGAUUCCUCAUCUCCUAAGUUAACAUUUAUAGAAUAUGGAGAGAUAAAACAGCUUAUUGAGUUAUCAAAUUCAAUGGAUGCAAACACUCGGUGUAGCGCGUUACGGGCUUUAGGGAACCUCAUGUUUCUUGCAGACAAUAAACGUAAAGAGCUCUUUUAUUAAGAUGUCAAGGCUCAAGGACUUGCUUGCCUCAUCAGUAGUAAAUCAUUCCUCUAAACCAAAACCAUAUGAUUUAUUCUUAUGCUCUCAAAUAACAACAAAACAAAACUCAUUGCAACUCAGAUCCUGAGUCUCUGGUGCAAGAGCAAGCUUUGGCCCUUCUUCGUAAUCUUGUUGAUGGAUGCAUCAACUCCAUUGAGUUUGUGUUUGAAGAAGAUGGACUUAUCUUAGAUACUGUUGGAAGACAAUUGAGGAAAGCUCCACAAGCUCAAAUGGCAAUAGAGGGAAUGUAUGUGCUCACAAAUGUGGCGAGUGGCACCAAGUUACAUAAAUAAGCUGUUAUGCUGCACCUGUUUCCUCAAGGGGAAGCUGAAUCAGACAGUUUCAUGGUUAAGUCUUUUGCAGAGCUACGAGAGCCAGUUACGGUUAGCAACAGUCUAGACUAUCAUAAACCUCAUUAGUCCUUCAAGUCCUGGUGCACUUGAUCGGCAUGUGAAACUGUGGAGUGCUGUUAUCAUUCUUCAGUUAAAAAUCAUGGUCAACGAUCCCUGCCUUGAUGUUAAGGUCAUAACAAAGAAGUAAACUUUAUAGCAGUUUCAUUUUUUUAAUACCUUGUUUCCUAUACUCAAGCUGUACUUCGAUCUUUUUUUGCUUGCAGGUUCGCAUCAAAGCCGUGUUAGGCCAGUCAGUAUCUUUUGGUGAUAGUUAACAAACACAGAGAUAUUGCUACACCCAAUCCCACAGACUAUAUACAUUGAACAUAUCAAUAGUUAUUUAGCUUUGAGUCAGUUUUCACCAUGUAGCAAAAGUGAGACAGAGCCUUAGAAGUUAGAAUUUAUGAUCAUGUUCUAUAUAUCCAGUUCCAGACACACUUAGCAUCCAACAGGUACUUACUUUAUCAGGCUUGUUCUUCUCAUUUUUGGUUUCCUGAAUUGGCCAUAGAUGAAACUGCAAUUGGAGCUGUUCAGAAGCAUAAUGCUAAGGGAUUAUCUAUUCAUCUGCUUACCUUUUCUUCAUAUAUCGGAAUAGGACAAGGAGAUUUUGUGUUUCAGUUACUGCUCUGGUUAACAAAACAGUAUUGUGUCUGAUUCUGCGUGCAGGUGAAAGCGGUGAGAAAGGGUUGUAUUGUUGUGCCACACUCACACUUAGAUUAGAUCCACCACAUUUUUUAUUUUAUAUGUUUUUGCCUUUAAAAGAACUUCAAUUGGUUGUAACAUUUGAGUUUAAGAAACCCAUGAUUUUUGUAUCUAUAUUUUUUAUUACUUUCCAGUUUCAGCAUUUUUUUUCAAAAUAACUAAGAGGUUCUGUUUUAUGGUAAGAUUCCGACCAUAGUUAACUCUUUUACGAAGAACAUACAUCUCCCAAUGGAACUUGAACAUGUGAUCUUAAAAUUAUGUUAGGUAAUGGAAGAGAUUUAACCAUUAUGCCAAUUUCUGGUUAGUUUCAGCAUUUUGACAUACUAAAAAUUAGAUUUACUAUAAAUAAUGGAAUAUUGUUCACACUUAACCAAAAUGAUAUGGGCGAUCAUUGGUUUGAUUGACUUUAAACCUUACCAAAUCUCUUCUGGUAAUUAUAUUUUACAAACUUUUUCAAAGAUUCAUUUUUUUCUUCAUUUGGCUGUAGAUAACAGAAACUGGAACACUAAAAUCUUAACUUUGAAAAUUUUAAGAGUAAAAUAUAAAUUAGUUUUUAAACCAAGAAAAAAACUUAAAAUAAAUUAUUAAACUAAGAUAAAGAAAAAAGAAGAAGAGACUAUUGUGUAAUUUGGCCUUUCAGGAUCUAAGUGGCCGUUUGUGUGCAGUGAAUCCAAUGUUUGGAUCCCAUGAUAAGAUCCAGCCUCGACUACUGUGUACUUUCUUUAGGGAAUUAGCAUUUUUAUACUAUAUGUAUAUAUUAUACUAUAUGUAUAUUUCCCCGUAUAUACUCAUCGAAACUACUAAACCCUAAAGGAUUUACUGAGAGAAUCUCAACUAAACCCAAAAGGAGUCGGUUAAAAUAUAUGAAAUGAAUAGUGUUAGUUGGAGUGUAGAAACCCCAUGCAUAUAUAAAAUACAUUGAAUUUAAAUGACAUCCCACGUGAAUUGUUUUUAUAUUACAUCGAAGUUCAACUUUAUAUUGUUGUUCUGCCUGCGUUCUGCAGUGUUUUUGUCUUUGCUUAUUGCUUUAGGGAAAAAAUCGGAAGCCUUAACAGAUGAAUAUGCUAAAUUAUAUAUACCACCUAAUACAUCCAAGGGAAUAAUGUUUUCUGUUUAUCUUAAUAUUAAACUAGAUAUUAACCCGCACAUCCGUGCGGAUAUAUUUAUAUUUUUAAAUUAAUAUUUAAAUUAUAAAAUAUGUUAUAAAGAUAUAUAUCUAAUAUCAAUUUUAUGUAUAUAAUUUUUAUUUUGAAAAUUAUAUUUGUUGAAAUUUGUUUGAUGAUAUUGUACAAAUCAUAUAUUAAUGAAGUAUUUUUGUUUAUUUAUUUAAAAUGCAAGAUCAAUAUUAAUAGUUCAAUUUUAAACAUUAGUUUUAAAAGAAUUAAUAAAAACAAUUAUUAGCUUCUUUGUUUAGAAAUGUUUAUUCUCGAAAUGUUUUUAUGUGAAUAAAUUAAAUUAUUUUCGUUAUAUUUUAAAAUAUUAUUUUAUUUAAUAUUUUAUAUUUCAGUUUAAUGUUUUUAUUUUUACUAAACAUAUCAACAUAAAAUGUUACAACUAAUAACAUAUUAUUUAUUUUGUCUUAUAUAAAAAUUUAAUUUGAUAAUUUAAAAAGAAUUGGACUAUACUAUUUAAUUUCAAAAUUAGUUACUGGAAUAUAAAAAAUAUAGUCUAUAUUAAAUAUGAGAAACAGUCAAAUGAUGAUUACCUAAUGAUAAUAUAUUUAUGUUUUUUUUUAGAAAUGUUAUUGUUUAGAUAUAUAUUGUUUUUGUUAGGAGAAUAUUAUAUAUGAGUAAUUUUAGGAUGUUUAGUUAAAUUUCUAAUGAAUGGUCUAACAUAAACUUGUGUAUGGUAGAUAAAAAAUAGGUCUCUAUUUUAAUAGAGUAGAUGUGUGACUUGUAUAUAUCUUGUCUAGUGAAAUAAUACAUGUUUUAAAUGGGUAUAAUUUGUUAUUGUAAAUAGCAGAUGAAUAAGAAAAAUUAUAUAUACCACCUUAUACAUCCAAAGGAAUAGUGUUUUAUUUUAAUACUAGAUUUUGGAUUAUAAACAAAUUUUGAUAUAAAAUUGUAUUUUAUGAUUGUUUUAGAUUAUUAUGUUACUAAAGUCGUAUUAAAUCAAAAAGUAAUUUUUUUAAGUUGUAUAAUUUAUAAAUUAGUUUAUUUAAAGUUUUAUACAUAUAAUUUUGUGUAAUUGUUUCUUAAGCCUAUGUAUUUUACCUGGAUCAGAAAAACUGAAUCAAAACUACCCAAAAAUACAUGUUCAGUUUGGUUCAGAUCCAGGACAAAAUACAUAUUGGGUAUUUUUUGGACCCGCGAGUCUUUGUCGAGUUCAGAUCCUAUCCAGGAUUCGAUCAGGUAUCCAAAAUAUCAGAAUAUUUUAUGUAUAUUAGAUAUAUUUAGAUAUUUAAAAUAUGAUUUUGGUAUUACGGAUAAUUUUUUUAUUUCCAGGUUUGGGUCUUCGGUUAGAGUUUCGAAUUUUGGGUUCAAUUUCAAAUUUUAUAAAAUAUAUUUUAGAUAUUCGGAUAAAAUGUUAGAUAUUUUUGUUUCUUCAGAUCAAAUUUCACGUAAAAUGUUUGGUCUUUUGGAUAUUUGAAUAUUUUAGAUAUUUAUUUUGAUUUUUCAGGUAUUUCAAGUCUAUUUCAGAUUUUAAAUAUCUGAACCGAUUUGAACUCAUUAUUUACCCAAAAAUUAUUUGUGGUUUACAGGUGUUUAAAUUAUGGAUUGAAUCCAAAAUAAAUUAACCCAAACUUAAACCGAAAAUUUUCAAAUACCUAACUAGAUCCAAAUGUAUACGAACCCAAAAUGAAAUGCACAUACUUAAACUGUUUAUUCAUAGAUGUAUAUACAUAAAUUAAUAUACGAUUAUGUCUGUAAUUUUAGUUUUGGUUAUGUAUUAGCCGUCCGUCAGGAUUAGAAUAGGGACACUACUAUAUAAUUCACGCGAAAUAGUAGUGUAUUAUAUGGUACCUAUAUUUUAUAGUAAAAAGGUAAUAACAUAAAAGCAUAUUUACGUAGUUGCCGUAGAUUGUUACUAUAAUAAUAUUCUAAGGAUAUUAAUGAUAUUCUAAAUAAGAAGCGUAAGUAUAGAAUUAAUAUUAAGAGAUGUUACAAAGAUUAUUUUAGCUUGCCUUAUUUUGAAAUAUUAAUGAAAAAGUGCAGUAACUUUUCAUAAAUAGAUUUUUUAAUAUUCUUUCAUUUUUAAUAGUAUAAAUUAAAUGUGUGACUUGUAUAUAUCUUGUCUAGUGAAAUAAUACACGUAUGUUUAGAUGUUUUAAAUGGGUAUAAUUUGUUAUUGUAAAUAGUGGGUGUGAUAUAAUUUCUACUCUAAUUUAUAAAAUAUUUGUGUUAGUUGGAAUCCACAUGCAUGUAUAUGAAUUGCAUUGAAGUUAAAUGUCAUCCGACGUGAAUUAUUUUUAUAUUACAUGGAAGUUUUGCUUCAGUUUUCUUUUUAUUCUGCCUGCAUUCUGCAAUUUACUUUUCUUUUAAACAAAUAAUAAGGCUAAAUAGAUAAAUAAGCAAAAUUAUAUACUGCACCUAAUACCUCCAAAUAGUGUUUUAAGACAAUUAUCUUCAUCAUCAAAUGGGAGACUAUUGUCUUAUUUUUAGUUUAACAAAACACUUAUGUUUAAAUGUUUUAAUCUGUGUAUAAUUGAAUUUGUUUUUGUAAAUAGUAUAAUAGUAAGAAUGAACUAACGUAUAUGUUCUGCAUAAUUACGUUCACUUGCAUUUGAAUGUACAUAGCUCACAAAAAAUUGCAAAUAAAAUAUGAAUUAUUAUGUGUUGUCUUUAACCGCGAAUCUAAAAAUGCAUUUGAAACAACAACACAAUUAAAUAAUUUCUUCGGUACUAUGAUAUUCUCUUUUCGGGAAAAGGUUUUCUUCUUCGAUAACUGAUUUUAUCUAUUUAUUUCUUUUACUUUAUUAUGGGACAUAAAAAACUAUACAUUUAUUUUUAAACAUCCCACUUCGGUACAAAUGAUUUUAAUCAAUUAGGAUUUUAUUAUUAAUUAUGAACCGAGAUCUUCUAUAUUUACUUUAAAUCAUUGAUAAAUUUAUAACAUGCAUGAAGAGAUAAAUCAUGGAAAUUACAUGGUGAUAAACUACAAGUUUUGAUAAAAUGUCCAUGAAUUGAGAUAAUCGUAAAAUUAAAAUAUUACCAUUAUUUUGCUCUUGUUUUAUUUUAUGAAUAUUUAAGUAAAAUAAAGCGUACCCAUUUCACACUUCACAGUGACUUAUUACAUGCAUUGAUAUCCUCUACCAAAAAGAAACCCUUUUUCUUUAGUUUCCAAAUACUUAUCAAUCUCUUUUUUCUUGGCUUUAUCUGCUCUCCUGAGAAACUUUUUCCAGUCAAAAUUAAGAGCUUUAAAGUAAAACUUCCAAUAAUGUUUAUAAUACAUAUAUAUGCUCCUCAGAUACAAUAGUUUCACAGUUUUUCUUUUCUCUCUAUCGUCUCUUCUCUCUUAGUUUUGUCUUAAAAUGGCAUCAAAAGGAAAGAAACCAAUAAGAAGAACAACUACAAGAGGAAGAAAAGGAAUUAAGAACCCAUCUCCUCCAUGUAGUAUCAGUAGUGACGUCACUUCAACGUCGACGAUUCCAGCCAGUGGAUGUUGUACUCCGAUAUCUAAGAAGUCACGAAUACCGGAGAUGCUGACGUGUCCGCCGGCGCCAAAGAAGCAAAAGGUGGCUCAGAACUUUGCUUUGAGUAGGAGACAAAUCUCUUUCUUUGCUCCUCCAGAUGUAGAGCUUUUCUUUCUUUUCGCACAUGGUCAACAAAUCAAAAAAAUAAGUUAAGUUUAUAGUUAGGGCUUAGUGGAUGUUCUCAUGGUAUGAUCAAUCUCAAGCUUAUGGUUUGGUUCAAAUACAAUAAUUGAAGGUAUAUUAUAGGGAGUGUAGUGUGAUGUUUUGCUUCUUUUCUUUUUGACUUGCUUUUUUCGCUCUCUCUUUGGUAUUUUCUAGGUUCUGAUAAUUUUGAAUUUGUGGUAGGUUCUGAUAAUUAAUCGAACACCCUAUCUAUUUUUAAUUAGUUAUUUUGUAACUUUCAAAUUAUGUUUGCUGUAAUGGAAUGAUGCUUGCUAACAUUUCGGGAUUGUUAGCUUUGCAGUUUUGUUUGUAUUUUGGUUUGAGUUAAUGACGAGCUGGGUUGAUGUUUUACAUACUUUACUGGCUUUAGCUACUAGCUAGGCAUCAAUUUUAUUCGUUAGCUCUUCGACAACGUCCUUGAUAUCUAUAUCCUUUCUAUUGUUUGAAAAAGUCCUGACUUGAUACUGUUUUUAUCAGAGUGAUAGCUCAAAUUUAAAUCUUUAAUAAGUUCGUUAGGAAAAGAGUGGAUGCAAAAUACGUAGACAAAAGUUCUGAUUAUUGGAUAUAAUCGAAAACUUUUACAAGAACGAUUCCAAUAUUGGAUUUAGUUAAUAAAAUUUGAAAUAAGUACUGUGUAGAUCUAUCUGAAAGUUAAAGAAAUUACUUUAUUAAUGUAUACUGAAAAUUUUAAAAGGUUUAAUUCAGUUAGUGAAAAAGACGAUAAAGAAUAUGUUAAGAAGUUUACAAAAAAAAAAAAGAAUAUGUUAAAGACAUGUACAAAAUGUUGGAAUAGAUGAUACCAUCUUUGAAGGGAAUCCAAUGAAAUGACUCGUGCGGCAUUUUUCAUCAUUUUCUCUCUUUUCCUCUCACUUCCUUUUAAGGAAAAAAAUAAUAAUUACGAGUUACGAAGAAUUGUAUAGACUUAUUCUACUGUAUAAAAGGAACUAAACUCUAGUUUUUCUAGAGGUGCCACAUAAGCAAAAUAAUCUCACCUAUCAAACAGUCAUGUUACUUGAAAAAAAAAUAUUGUCCAUGCUCCUUAAUUUAUAUCACGUAACAUCACUGAAUAUCCCACUCAGACCAGUCCGAACGCUAUAAAACCAAAGAAAAAUAUAUAAUAGGAUGCAAAAAUAUUUGCCGGUGGGCCAGGUAAAUAAAAAUAUCGCAGCCCAAAAAUAUUCUCAUCCAAAAAAAAUUAGUAAUAGACGUCAUUUAGAAAAUAAUUAACUAACAUAUGACUUUUGAUAUUUCUAGAAAUUUCAAAUUUGUAACUGCUAAUUUAUUAAUAGAAUCAUAUAUCUAUAUUGAAUUAUGUUCUAUUUUUAAUCGUUAGACUUCAAGAGUAAAUAAAUUAUUAAUUUAUAAUAUAUAUAGUUCAUAACUUUAUAUUGUAGUUAUAAAUAAAGAGAAAAUAACCGGAGAGGAUGAAGAAGCUCAUGUAAAAUUAUGUAAUUAAAAUGGUAAAAUGGUGAGUAUGAUGAGGUGAAUCUAAGAAAAUUUGUUGUACAAAUUAUGGUGCUUUCUUCGUCCACUAUAAUGAUUUAAAAUAAAAUAUAUAUUCACAUAAAUAAGUCAAUAUUUGUUGUUUUUUUUUGGUAAGAUGUUAAGAUUAUCAUUUUCUGAAAGGUUACACUGUUGUUUUUAAACAACUUAUUACAGCAAGGAAACAAAAACAACCAACAACAACUCAAGGUAAAAAAAGCAUUAAGGAGGUCUUAUACAAGAAAGAUAAAAAGAAGUAGAGAAGAGGAGAAAGAAGAACUUGCCGGGUAAGAGAGGAGACGGUCACGAAUCAUACGGUCGAGAGAGGCAAGGAUGACUGAUGAAGGUGAGGAGACAGCUGUGAACACACGAGCAUUGCGCUCUUUCCACAGCAGGUAGAUGGCUGACUGAAAGUAGAGCUUGAUGACUGGAGUAGCAUGCACAUCUGCGUUGACGCGAGGUUGAUUGAUCCAGGCUGCAAUAGAGUGUAGAUCAGCCGGAGGAGAAAUCCAAACUUCAGCAGCAAAAGGUUCCCAUAUCAAGCGAGAGAAAGAGCACUCAAAAAAGAGAUGAUGGUGAAUCUCUAUUUCCAGAUUACAAAGGACGCACGUUCCUGAGACAUUUAACCCCCAAUGCUUCAAGCGAUCCUUGGUUGGCAGUUUUCUCCGCAAAGCCAGCCAUGAUAUAAACGCAUUACGUGGAAUAUGUUCCUUGAACCAAAUAGUCUUGUGCCAAUAUUUGUUGUUGAUAGUGUUUAUAUUCUUUUCUGACAUUAGUAUCCAUAUUUUUUAGUAAACUGAUCCAAAGAGAUUAGUUUGUGGAGCUAACCAAACGAGGAUUAUAGUGUUUACUUUGGAAAAAGUAAUAGGUUGAAUGAUAGAUGGCGUGUGUGCUUUUUCACAUGGAAAUUUGCACAUAUAUUAAAAUUGUAAGAUUUGAAUCAUAGAGAAAUAUAGUGGAUAUGACUGAAGUUGGUACAUUCUGAAACUUAAGAUGUCUAAAAAUUUUCUUUGUCAAAAUGCAUAGAUGUGAAUCUUAUAUGAAUAGAGUUCUCCAUUGCUGAUAGCAGUGUAAUAAACUAUGUGUGUAAACGAGAAGAAAUGUUAUAUAAGUGAAAACAAAAAUUAUAAUUUUUUUUUCUUGUGCCUAUAGGCUCUUCGCAAUUUGAAAAAAAAAGAACAUAUUGUGUGAAAAUCUUUGGUUCGGUCAAAUUUUAUCCAGUUGUUUAUAAAACUGUUGUUAUCUGAAUCAUGUAAUUUUUCAGUGUUGAUUUAAAAGCUCAAAAAACCCAUUUAUACUGACUUUUUGAUAUUUUUUUCUGUGAUUUGAAUUUAAAAAGAGAUAAAACUUUCGAUAAGUUAUGUAAACUCAGAACAAGUAUUUAGCUUUAGAAAGCAUUUACAUGUUUCAAACUUAUAAUAUAUACAUAUAUAAUGUUUAAAAUUAUGCAUAUAAAACCUGUGUAAAAUGUGCUUAAAUAUGUUUCUCUUCUUUAAUGUGUUAAUCGUACUAUAUAUAACAUUAUUUUAAAAUUUCAAAAAGUUUAUGUCACAUACAAAAAACCAUCAAUAAAAAAUAUAAUUCUCCAUCUACAACAAGAAAAAUGAAAAAUUAUAAAAAUAUAAAUUUAAAUUAAGAAAAACUAACAUUGGAAAAACAAGAAGUUAAUGUAAAAGAAAAAACCAAUAAAUAAUAUUAUAAAUAAAAUAAAUUUAUAAGACACAAUCUGCGCGAAACGCGGAAAAAAAUCUCUAGUAUCGAUAAAUUGAGUAGGUAAGAAGGCCACAUAUUGACCAAAAAAAUAAAAAAGGCCACAUAUUGACCAAAAAAAUAAAGAAGGCCACAUAAUAGCUAUAAAUAAUUUUACAAUUAAUUUUCUCAUCAUUUUAUUUCUUUCGAUUUAUUGUUAUAAUAUUUUUGAAUAAAAAUAUAUUUUGCUAUAAUAUAUUCAAACUGCACUAAUUUAGCAUAAGGACGCACGCAUCAUAUGAUUGAAAUUAUAAACUCACGCCCAUCCGUGCACUAUUUAUUCGUUCCUACGUCACUAAUGUUAGGAUGUACAACGCCGAUCGAUAAUAAAUCCAAUUUCGAAUUUAGUCUUUUUUUUAGAAAAACUUUGACUAGAAAAUAAAUUAUAUUUUUGAAUUUACAUAGUUAUUUUUGGGCUGUAUCAUUUACAGUGAUAACUCUAAUAUCUUUAUAUAUAAAAGAGGCUUUGUUUCUCUCUUAGAGUGUCCACAUCGGAUGACAGGUCACUAAUUCGAAGCAUGUAUGCGCGACACGUGUUCAAGUGACUUAAACUCACCAUUUCAUUUAAUCUUUUACGUGAUGGGCUUCGUCGUUUAACAUGUGGGUGUGUUCGAGGCUCUUUUACGUGAUAGACUUGAUCAAUUAUAUCUCACAGAAUAUGUAUUAACUAAGCCCAUUAUUGUUUCAUUCUAGGUCAACUGACUCGCUUCGUCUUCUCCGCAAGCAUCUUGAUCGUUCGGUCGUUAGAUCUUCUGGACAUUGAAUUUGUAGUUAGUGAUGCGUACUGCUAACGUAUGGAUUCAGUGAACAAUAUUAAAGUUUUCAUUAACAUCACUGAUCCACUCAUCCCACAACUUUUCAUUCAAUGCACCUCUAAUCUCAAUGUUUGUAGAUCUCGAUCUAUAAAAAGCGAGUUUGGAGUUGUGAAGAUCAUCACUUUCUUCUUAGUCAUUGUAAUCUUCACAAAUUCGUCAUCCCGGAAUGGCUAUUUCUUCCCAUCUGCUCGCCCACUUGAAGGCAUGAAGUCGUAACACCACAGUCCGUCGAAGUCCAGUUUUUGACAAACCUUAGCAGAUAAUCAAUGAUGACUGGCGUUCAUGUUGGAUCAAUCUUCUAAACUCCGAUUAGGCCAGAUUGGUGAAUGGCACCUCAAUUGCCGCAAAAAUCUACCUAACUUGAUCCAUGAAUUUCUAAAACAGGGUCAUCGGGACAAUCACUGACUGUUACACUUCCUCUCGAUUUGUAAGCAACCACAUACAAAUCUUCGGCAAACCCAUGAUUCAGGUUCCUUCUUGGCUUCUUUUUUUUCAGUUGUGUUUCGACUGCGAUGUUUCAUGUUUGUAGCUCAACGUUUCAAAAUAUUCAACUUUAACAUUUGUUCUUGAACAGAGAACUUGGGAGAGUUUGGUGUUACCUCUACUCUCGAUGACUUUGGUAAUAUUGCUCCUCUCUACUCUUUUUGGUUACAUACAUAAGAAAGUUAUGAACUUUAUGAAUCAAAGGCCUUUUUUUGUAAACUAAUUGGUAGUAGCUCAGAUAAGAAGAACACAUGGAUGAUGGUUCUGAACAAAAGUUUCAAUGGCCACCGCUUCUAUUAUUAUGACUGAGUGAACGUGUCCACCUUAUCUGUGACACUUUUCACCCCUUCCACCUAUACAUGCGCUUCCUUCGAGAUCGUUUAAUCAUCGUGAUUGCUCAUUGAACGCAACAUCAACAUACCACCGAUGACAUUCUGUCAGGGAGAGAGAUCAAUGGCUCCCAUUUGUGAGGUGGAUGAGACGAUGAUAAAGGUUGCUUCAAGGUGUGAAUUGUUUUCUGAACUGUUAUGUUUUGCAAAUCGGUUAUUCAGCAAAAUAUGAUUUUUCCGUGGGAUGCUGAUACAACAUGUUAGAAUUUUCUGAUCUUGCAUUUUAUUUCCUAUUUUCAGUAAUAUUUACCGCCGUUUGAUUAAUCAACUACUUUGCAUGGGCUGUGGUUAGAAAUAUGCUAAUUUGUUAAUGGGUUUGCAUGUUCUUAUAUGCAUCUCAAAUGUUCUUAAUCAUGUGUUUGUUGAAAGAAAAAUAUUCUAGAAAGAAGUUUUCCUGAGUUGUAGUGAAGAUUUUUUUCUUUUGGCUGCGAGCAAAUAAUAAAAGUAUGGAUCUAUACUCAAUUAAUGAGAUAAGCGCAGUUGAGAGGUGUCGGAAUGAGAGGCUUUUACUUCGGAGAGCAAGCCAGAAACCAUAUACGGCGGAUGGUUUUGGGGCAUUGAAAAAAAAAAUGCUAUUGAGGAAGAUGUAAUUAUUACUUUUGUAUUGUUAGUGUUACUGAGACUUAAUUGUUAAAUUAAUCUUUUAAGUUCUGAAUUACUUUAUCUCUUGAACUGUCUAAACAUAAAGAAGAAACGUCGUCAUCCUCUUUACAUGUAAAACAUAUGAUUAUACUCUCAAGUUAAGGUGUACAUUUCUAAUUUUCCAGACACUACUGUGUAUAGUUUGGUAUGUAUUGUCUUUCUUUUGUUUUUAUGAGUUCCCCUCCACGGUCAGCUCAAGCUAUUUACUGUCUGAGUAUAUGAUAGUGUUACUCAUUUACAAGUGUACUCCAAAAAAAAAAAAAAAGAAACAAAAACAAAUAUAAAAAUGAUGGCCCUGAUGUUGGAUCGACCAACUAACUUCAAAUAUAUUCAAGACUUUCAAUAUAUUGAGUGUUUCGUGUUCCAUUCGUAAUUUUGGUUUUGUUUGUAAAAGUUGAAAUUAACCAUCAAAAAUUUGAGAAGUUAACAUAGAUAAUAAUAAGCGUUCCAAAAAAAGCAUAGAUAGUAUGAAAUAUAAUUUCCAAUUAAGAUGAAUUACAUUUGUUAAACUGUGUUGUUUAAUUACUUUGCUACAAUAUUUUUCACCAAAAAUAUUGUUGCAUGUUACGGAGAUACACAAUAUAUAUACACAUAAUGUAAUUCAAAAAUAUACAAUGUAAUAUAAAAUCAUUAUUGUUUCAUUCUAGGUCAACUGACUCGCUUCGUCUUCUCCGCAAGCAUCUUGAUCGUUCGGUCGUUAGAUCUUCUGGACAUUGAAUUUGUAGUUAGUGAUGCGUACUGCUAACGUAUGGAUUCAGUGAACAAUAUUAAAAUUUUCAUUAACAUCACUGAUCCACUCAUCCCACAACUUUUCAUUCAAUGCACCUCUAAUCUCAAUGUUUGUAGAUCUCGAUCUAUAAAAAGCGAGUUUGGAGUUGUGAAGAUCAUCACUUUCUUCUUAGUCAUUGUAAUCUUCACAAAUUCGUCAUCCCGGAAUGGCUAUUUCUUCCCAUCUGCUCGCCCACUUGAAGGCAUGAAGUCGUAACACCACAGUCCGUCGAAGUCCAGUUUUUGACAAACCUUAGCAGAUAAUCAAUGAUGACUGGCGUUCAUGUUGGAUCAAUCUUCUAAACUCCGAUUAGGCCAGAUUGGUGAAUGGCACCUCAAUUGCCGCAAAAAUCUACCUAACUUGAUCCAUGAAUUUCUAAAACAGGGUCAUCGGGACAAUCACUGACUGUUACACUUCCUCUCGAUUUGUAAGCAACCACAUACAAAUCUUCGGCAAACCCAUGAUUCAGGUUCCUUCUUGGCUUCUUUUUUUUUCAGUUGUGUUUCGACUGCGAUGUUUCAUGUUUGUAGCUCAACGUUUCAAAAUAUUCAACUUUAACAUUUGUUCUUGAACAGAGAACUUGGGAGAGUUUGGUGUUACCUCUACUCUCGAUGACUUUGGUAAUAUUGCUCCUCUCUACUCUUUUUGGUUACAUACAUAAGAAAGUUAUGAACUUUAUGAAUCAAAGGCCUUUUUUUGUAAACUAAUUGGUAGUAGCUCAGAUAAGAAGAACACAUGGAUGAUGGUUCUGAACAAAAGUUUCAAUGGCCACCGCUUCUGUUAUUAUGACUGAGUGAACGUGUCCACCUUAUCUGUGACACUUUUCACCCCUUCCACCUAUACAUGCGCUUCCUUCGAGAUCGUUUAAUCAUCGUGAUUGCUCAUUGAACGCAACAUCAACAUACCACCGAUGACAUUCUGUCAGGGAGAGAGAUCAAUGGCUCCCAUUUGUGAGGUGGAUGAGACGAUGAUAAAGGUUGCUUCAAGGUGUGAAUUGUUUUCUGAACUGUUAUGUUUUGCAAAUCGGUUAUUCAGCAAAAUAUGAUUUUUCCGUGGGAUGCUGAUACAACAUGUUAGAAUUUUCUGAUCUUGCAUUUUAUUUCCUAUUUUCAGUAAUAUUUACCGCCGUUUGAUUAAUCAACUACUUUGCAUGGGCUGUGGUUAGAAAUAUGCUAAUUUGUUAAUGGGUUUGCAUGUUCUUAUAUGCAUCUCAAAUGUUCUUAAUCAUGUGUUUGUUGAAAGAAAAAUAUUCUAGAAAGAAGUUUUCCUGAGUUGUAGUGAAGAUUUUUUUCUUUUGGCUGCGAGCAAAUAAUAAAAGUAUGGAUCUAUACUCAAUUAAUGAGAUAAGCGCAGUUGAGAGGUGUCGGAAUGAGAGGCUUUUACUUCGGAGAGCAAGCCAGAAACCAUAUACGGCGGAUGGUUUUGGGGCAUUGAAAAAAAAAAUGCUAUUGAGGAAGAUGUAAUUAUUACUUUUGUAUUGUUAGUGUUACUGAGACUUAAUUGUUAAAUUAAUCUUUUAAGUUCUGAAUUACUUUAUCUCUUGAACUGUCUAAACAUAAAGAAGAAACGUCGUCAUCCUCUUUACAUGUAAAACAUAUGAUUAUACUCUCAAGUUAAGGUGUACAUUUCUAAUUUUCCAGACACUACUGUGUAUAGUUUGGUAUGUAUUGUCUUUCUUUUGUUUUUAUGAGUUCCCCUCCACGGUCAGCUCAAGCUAUUUACUGUCUGAGUAUAUGAUAGUGUUACUCAUUUACAAGUGUACUCCAAAAAAAAAAAAAAAGAAACAAAAACAAAUAUAAAAAUGAUGGCCCUGAUGUUGGAUCGACCAACUAACUUCAAAUAUAUUCAAGACUUUCAAUAUAUUGAGUGUUUCGUGUUCCAUUCGUAAUUUUGGUUUUGUUUGUAAAAGUUGAAAUUAACCAUCAAAAAUUUGAGAAGUUAACAUAGAUAAUAAUAAGCGUUCCAAAAAAAGCAUAGAUAGUAUGAAAUAUAAUUUCCAAUUAAGAUGAAUUACAUUUGUUAAACUGUGUUGUUUAAUUACUUUGCUACAAUAUUUUUCACCAAAAAUAUUGUUGCAUGUUACGGAGAUACACAAUAUAUAUACACAUAAUGUAAUUCAAAAAUAUACAAUGUAAUAUAAAAUCAUUAUUGUUUCAUUCUAGGUCAACUGACUCGCUUCGUCUUCUCCGCAAGCAUCUUGAUCGUUCGGUCGUUAGAUCUUCUGGACAUUGAAUUUGUAGUUAGUGAUGCGUACUGCUAACGUAUGGAUUCAGUGAACAAUAUUAAAAUUUUCAUUAACAUCACUGAUCCACUCAUCCCACAACUUUUCAUUCAAUGCACCUCUAAUCUCAAUGUUUGUAGAUCUCGAUCUAUAAAAAGCGAGUUUGGAGUUGUGAAGAUCAUCACUUUCUUCUUAGUCAUUGUAAUCUUCACAAAUUCGUCAUCCCGGAAUGGCUAUUUCUUCCCAUCUGCUCGCCCACUUGAAGGCAUGAAGUCGUAACACCACAGUCCGUCGAAGUCCAGUUUUUGACAAACCUUAGCAGAUAAUCAAUGAUGACUGGCGUUCAUGUUGGAUCAAUCUUCUAAACUCCGAUUAGGCCAGAUUGGUGAAUGGCACCUCAAUUGCCGCAAAAAUCUACCUAACUUGAUCCAUGAAUUUCUAAAACAGGGUCAUCGGGACAAUCACUGACUGUUACACUUCCUCUCGAUUUGUAAGCAACCACAUACAAAUCUUCGGCAAACCCAUGAUUCAGGUUCCUUCUUGGCUUCUUUUUUUUUCAGUUGUGUUUCGACUGCGAUGUUUCAUGUUUGUAGCUCAACGUUUCAAAAUAUUCAACUUUAACAUUUGUUCUUGAACAGAGAACUUGGGAGAGUUUGGUGUUACCUCUACUCUCGAUGACUUUGGUAAUAUUGCUCCUCUCUACUCUUUUUGGUUACAUACAUAAGAAAGUUAUGAACUUUAUGAAUCAAAGGCCUUUUUUUGUAAACUAAUUGGUAGUAGCUCAGAUAAGAAGAACACAUGGAUGAUGGUUCUGAACAAAAGUUUCAAUGGCCACCGCUUCUGUUAUUAUGACUGAGUGAACGUGUCCACCUUAUCUGUGACACUUUUCACCCCUUCCACCUAUACAUGCGCUUCCUUCGAGAUCGUUUAAUCAUCGUGAUUGCUCAUUGAACGCAACAUCAACAUACCACCGAUGACAUUCUGUCAGGGAGAGAGAUCAAUGGCUCCCAUUUGUGAGGUGGAUGAGACGAUGAUAAAGGUUGCUUCAAGGUGUGAAUUGUUUUCUGAACUGUUAUGUUUUGCAAAUCGGUUAUUCAGCAAAAUAUGAUUUUUCCGUGGGAUGCUGAUACAACAUGUUAGAAUUUUCUGAUCUUGCAUUUUAUUUCCUAUUUUCAGUAAUAUUUACCGCCGUUUGAUUAAUCAACUACUUUGCAUGGGCUGUGGUUAGAAAUAUGCUAAUUUGUUAAUGGGUUUGCAUGUUCUUAUAUGCAUCUCAAAUGUUCUUAAUCAUGUGUUUGUUGAAAGAAAAAUAUUCUAGAAAGAAGUUUUCCUGAGUUGUAGUGAAGAUUUUUUUCUUUUGGCUGCGAGCAAAUAAUAAAAGUAUGGAUCUAUACUCAAUUAAUGAGAUAAGCGCAGUUGAGAGGUGUCGGAAUGAGAGGCUUUUACUUCGGAGAGCAAGCCAGAAACCAUAUACGGCGGAUGGUUUUGGGGCAUUGAAAAAAAAAAUGCUAUUGAGGAAGAUGUAAUUAUUACUUUUGUAUUGUUAGUGUUACUGAGACUUAAUUGUUAAAUUAAUCUUUUAAGUUCUGAAUUACUUUAUCUCUUGAACUGUCUAAACAUAAAGAAGAAACGUCGUCAUCCUCUUUACAUGUAAAACAUAUGAUUAUACUCUCAAGUUAAGGUGUACAUUUCUAAUUUUCCAGACACUACUGUGUAUAGUUUGGUAUGUAUUGUCUUUCUUUUGUUUUUAUGAGUUCCCCUCCACGGUCAGCUCAAGCUAUUUACUGUCUGAGUAUAUGAUAGUGUUACUCAUUGACAAGUGUACUCCAAAAAAAAAAAAAAAAGAAACAAAAACAAAUAUAAAAAUGAUGGCCCUGAUGUUGGAUCGACCAACUAACUUCAAAUAUAUUCAAGACUUUCAAUAUAUUGAGUGUUUCGUGUUCCAUUCGUAAUUUUGGUUUUGUUUGUAAAAGUUGAAAUUAACCAUCAAAAAUUUGAGAAGUUAACAUAGAUAAUAAUAAGCGUUCCAAAAAAAGCAUAGAUAGUAUGAAAUAUAAUUUCCAAUUAAGAUGAAUUACAUUUGUUAAACUGUGUUGUUUAAUUACUUUGCUACAAUAUUUUUCACCAAAAAUAUUGUUGCAUGUUACGGAGAUACACAAUAUAUAUACACAUAAUGUAAUUCAAAAAUAUACAAUGUAAUAUAAAAUAUUAAUUUUAAGAAUAAAUAAGAAGGAUUCAUAAAAAAAAGAUGAAAAUGGUGGAUUCAUGAAUAGUUUUGUUAUAAUUUCGAGAACGUUUAUGUAAUAUUUCAAGAAAAAUAUAUCUUAUCGCAUAUAAUAUCUUAUCACCUAAAACUUUUUAAAAACCCAAAAUCAUUAUCAUACACAUUUUUUGCAAAUGCAAAUUCAAAACACAAAUCACAAAAUUAUACAAAAAAUAAUAAAUAAAAUACAUCCCGCCCGUAGGGCGGACCGACCCUAGUAACGUAAUAAAACUAACAUUUAUAAGAAAACCUGUUAUCUUUUGGCCAUGCAUUUGGCAAAUCCUUACUCUUUUUAUGAAGUUUAUUAACUCAAUUUUUAUCAGAAAUUAUGAGUUUAUGAUUAAUUAGUUUUUAGGGUUUAUUUGUGAAAUAGCUAAAAAAAAAGAGAAUUUAGUUUUGUAGAGAGAAUAUAGAGAGAGAUAGGAAGAGAAAAGAGGAAAGAGGGUGUAAUUUUAGUUAGUUAGUGAAUUAUGAUUUUUUUUAUAGUUAUCUCACCAAAUUUCUCUAGUUUUUAACCCUUUUUGAUCUGGGGCUUUAGUUUUUAGCCCCUUUUUACGUCAUAUGUAGUUGAAGUGAAUACGUAUAGGAGGUGUGAUAUGUAUUCGUACAGUUUAUAUAUGUAUGUACACGUGUGACGUUAUCAGACACGUACGUACAAACAAAAACAUAAUUAGGUAAAGGUCCAAAUCACCUUGGAAUGAGGAUUUGAUUUGAUCCAUCAAUUUCUUUUGGUUUUCUCUUUUUGUCUUAUCCCCUAUAUAUUAAAAGAGAAGUCACUUUAGUGAGGUUUGGUGACGUGUCGCUUAUACAUGAAGUUUCAAAAAAAUUGUUAUAAUUUGAUUGGUUGAUUUUUAUUUAUUUUUAUUUAUUUAAAUUAGAUCUAAAAAUUUAAGGUAAGUCUAAAAACAUUUAACAUCACUUGCUAUAUAAUCUAAAGAAUAUUACAAAUAACAAUUUAUGAUAACAAAAUAUCGAAAUUAUAGAAAGAUUAAUAAUGUUAUAUUUAUUACUUUUAAUAUUUAUAAACUAUAAAAUAUAAUGAACGAAUUUUUAUAUAAGAUAAUUAUAAUAGUUUUAUACUCUACUUGAUGAAUUGUAUUCGAAUAUAAUUAUAUAAUAACUAUUUUAAAUAUUACAAAAUCCAAACAUGUUUAUUAACAUCAUUUUUAAAUUAUUUAUCGUUGUUUACAGAAUAAAUUUAUCAGAAUUUUAAAAUUAUUUAUAUAAUGUUACAAAUUAUUUAUAAAAUUUAAAUCCUACUAUAUAUUGAUUGAGAAGUCACAUAAAUGAUUUUUUAUUACGUGUUGAUCAUAAAUGAACUCUUCAAAUUGUUAUAAUUUGAUUGACCGGUGAUUUUUAAUUAUAUCGAAAAGUAAAGGAUAAUUCAAUUACCACUUUCCAAAUAAUCUACAUAAUUUAGAAAUAAUUAUUUAUGGUAACUAAUUGUUGAAACUAUGAAAGAGUAAUAAUGCGAUCAAUUUUUUUAUAUAUUUAUAAAUUACAUAAAAUAAUAAAAAAGUGUUUAUUUGAAUUGAUAUAAUGAUUUUAUAUUCGUAUAGAAAGAAUUACAUUUGUAUAUAAAGUAUCAUAAUAACUAUUAAUGUCUAAUAAUUCAGUGCAUGCUUUAUAAAUCAUUUAUAAAAUUAUAAAUACAUUUAUAAAAAUCAGACGUUUUAAAUUAUUAUAAGAGGUUAUAAGUCAUUUAUAGAAGCUUAUACAUUAAUUUAUAAAAUGUAUUUUGAAAAUUUAUCCUCAUAUUACUGUAUUUUGAUUUUUUUUCAUUUUAAUGGUAAAAUUCCUCAACUAUGUUUACUUAGUGUAGAAACCCCUACACUAAAGAUUUACUGGUAGUAAUAGUAUGGAUUUUUAAUGUUAAAACCUCUCAACUAAGUUUAUUUUGGGUAAAAAAACUCCAAACUAAGUACGGACGUUCCAGUUGCAAUCAACUGACGAGAUAUCUUCUUUCCUAAUAUCAUGCAUUUAAUAUUUAAAUAUAUAUAUAUAUAUAUAUAUAUAGCAACAUUUGAGUUACCAAAAUUAUGUAUAUAUUAUAGCAAGAAUAUCUUUAAAAAUUUAUUAGAAGAUAUUCUAUUUCAUAGCUAAAUUAAAAUUUAUUAGAGGAUAUUCUAUCUCAUAGCUUCUCUUGAAAACUAGGUCAUUUAGAAACUUAAACUAAUUUGCUAUAUAAAUAUCACACCACCCCUAUUAGUUUCACGCAUCUAUCUUUUAAGUUUUCAUAUGUUUUUGAUCGUUAUAAUUUAAAUUCUACUUUUGUGAUCUUGCGCAGGUGUAUGAUAAUCAAUAAGUAAUUCAUAGACGGGAACACCAUUACUGGUAAUUUUAUGGGGGAUUUUUCUUCUCCGUUUAUUUUUGUUCUCUUCCUCUCCAUGUUGUAUAUUUAUCUAUAUUUUUGCAUCAGUAGUAAUUCAACUAACAAAAAGAGACGACUCUUUUUAUCCAGGAACUGAUCAUCCCUUUCGAAAAAGGUCAUUCUUUUUUUAUAAAGUUAAAUCACUUAUCAAGAAUAUAAUAUAAGAUAUGUAUGCUAAUCAAGUGCAAUUUGUUUAUUGUGUGUGAUCCUCUUCAGUACGUCUGAGAGCCAAAGGUAAUCUCAAAGCUUUUUAAAAACUUUGAAACUCAUUGACGUUGUCCUAUCAAUUAUAUAAUUUGUUAUCUUUUGGAGAUUGUUUACAUCUUUAAAUAUUUUUGUUAGAAUUACCUCUUUUCUGACUCAAGGCUUAGAGAAGAAAACCGUAAAUCAUUUAUGUUGUUACAAUGAAACCGAUGAUAAUAAAUCUCAAAUAAUUCAAAUCUUUCUUUUAUAUUUUAUGGCUAAUUUUUUUAUUGAGGUUAUGCGUGAAAUAUUUAUUUUUUCUCAAUUAUAUUUUUCUGGUGUUUUAAGAUUAGUGUUAAAUGUGAUCGUUUUCUAAACGUUCUAAUAUAUUCUUUGUUCAUAUGAACAUAGUAUAAAUAUCAAUAUGUAACAUCGAAUCUUUCAUAUUAACCAUAUACAUGUAACAUAAGUAUUAUAUAGUUGUAAAUAUAAUAUCAAUUUAAUAUUAAUGUUAAUGUCCGCAGAUGCGUGCGGGCAGUCCACCUAGUUAAAUUUUAAUUAAAGAGUUAAAUGUCAUCCCAAAAUUAAUUGUAUUUAAAUUCACUAAAUUCGUUAAAGCAUAGCAUAAAAUAUUUUAAAUACAACUUGCUAGGAUAAUCGAUCUAAUCAAAGAUAAAAUCGUACGUUUAUGUCAAAGCUGAUUUAACUUUAUAGGAAUCCUAGAAAAUGUUCAAAAAAAAAGAAAAAAAAAACUUUAUAGGAAUCCUAGGUUCAUCUCCCCCACAAGCAAACACACACACGUUGUAGGUUCGUCUGAUGGGCUGUAAUAAGGUACGGAGGAUAUAACCGUUAAGGCCCAUUAUAGUUUGAUCUAAUCUAAGUUUAGAAGUACCUCUACUACUAAUUGUCUAGAAACAAUGAUAGCAAUAAAAAAAAAUAUAAUAUUGUUUGGAAAUAUUUAUACCAAUAUAUUAAAAAAAAUAUAUAUUAGAUUUAUGUUAUUGAAAAAAUUGAAAGUCCAUUAUGUUAUAUUACAAAGUAAUAGGUUUAUAUUAUUUGAUAUACAUAUCUAUCUUAUUAAAAUAGAAAUUGUUUGGAAACAACGAUAACAACAAAAAAAAUAUAUAAUGUUGUUUGGAAACAUGUUUAGCAGUAUAUUAAGAAAAAAUAUAAUAGACUUAUGUUAUUAAAAAAAAUUAGAAGUCUAUUAUAUUAUAUUACAAAAUAAUGAACUUAUGUUACUUGAUAUACAUAUUUCAAAUCAAAAUAAUAAUUUAAAAUUGAUAUAUAUCAAAAUUUCAUUCAAAAAUAUACAUAUAUUAAAAAUUGAAUAUUACUAAAAUAUUUUCCAAUAAAAAUUAUAAAAAACGUUUUCAAUACAUAUAAGAAAAAUACAAUACAAAACCCAAUUUCAAACAUCUAUCUUAUUAAAAUAGAAGUACCUUUAGGAAUUGUUUGGAAGCAAUGAUAGCAAUAAAAAAAGAAUAUAAUGUUGUUUGAAAACAUAUAUAGCAAUAUAUUAAGAAAAAAUUGUAAUAGGCUUAGGUUAUUAAAAAAAAAUGAAAGUCCUUAUACUAUAUUACAAGUAAUGGGCUUAUGUUACUUGAUAUACAUAUUUCAAAUCAAAAUAAUAAUUUAAAAUUGAUUUAUAUCAAAAUUUCAUUCAAAAAUAUACAUAUAUUCAAAAUUGAAUUUUACUAAAAUAUUUUCUAAUAAAAAUUAUAAAAAAUGUUUUCAAUACAUAUAAGAAAAAUAGAAUACAAAGCCCAAUUUCAAACACCAACUUAAAUUAUUGGUUUUAUAUUUCACAUUAAAAUUUUAAAAUAUGAUAUAAUUAUUUAUAUGAUGGUACAUAUAAAAUGCUAUUAAUUAUAUUAUUAUUUAUAUGAUGGUACGUAUAAAAUAAGACUGAUUAUAUGAUGACACAUAUAUCAUAUAUAAUAGUGACUAGGGAUGGGUGUUGAGAUACCCAUUCAGGUUCAGUUCGGGUCUCUUUGGGUUUUGGAUUUUUGGAAUCAAAGAUUUUAACAUUCGGAUAUUUCAAAAGUUUGUUUUGUGGUUUGGAUCUUUGCGGGUUUGGUUUGGAUUGAAAUAACCUAUUUAAUUUUUUAAUUUCUUUUUUAAAAUUCACUAUAUAGUUUAAAUUUCUCAAAAUAUAUAAGCAAAUUAAUAUAUUCAUAUAAAUUUGAAUAACAUAUGUAACAGUACCUAAACUUAACAUAUAAAUUGGUUUGGUUUAAAUAUUUGGAUAGAGAAUCAAUAAUUCUUUUAAAUGUUUUUGGUGUUUUGAAUAUACUUUAACUAUCUUAGAUAUUUACUUUUGACUAUUUGUAUAUAUUUUCAAAUAUUUAAACCAAUUUAAAAGUAUCAUAUAAAUUCUGGAUGUUUUUAUAUACAUUAAAUCUAAAAAUAAUUAAUAUAUAUAUAAGUAUAUAAAUCUAUUUCAUAUACAUUUGGAUACUCGAAAAUUUUUGGUUUAGAUCGGAUUAGGUUUCAGUUUAAAUAACAAAAUUUUGAAUAAUUCAGAUAUUUGAUCAAUUCCGGUUUGGGUUUGGUACUAUUUUUUCGGAUUGGAAUCGGUUAGGUUCUUCAGAUUUGUUUUUUUUUUCAAUCUUAAAUAGUGAAAUGAAAAAUAAAUAACAACAUAUUUUGAACAUCCGCACAUGCGCGCAUAUCGAAAUCUAGUUAUUCUUAAUUUUCGUUAACCGUAGAUAAAUUUGGAUUUGUAAAAUAUUUCGCUUUAGUGUGUAGAUAAAAAUUCAUAUUUAGUAUUUAAGAAAGUUUUGUAUUCUUUAAUUUUGUGGAGCACUUGUUUCCUUUAUGGACUAUCUUGAUCACUAAAGAUUUACUUCUUUUAUUCCAUUCCCAAUCAAUUUUGUGGACAUUAAUCUGAUAUGGACCAAAAGACAAAAAAAUAAUCUCUUACCACCUAUUUUAAUCUAUAUGGACCAAUUCAUGUGAAUUUAUGCUAAUACCCUUAAUGAGUUUUUGUCAAGUACUUCCCCAACCAACCAAUUAUCAAACACUUGGGCCCACUCAUUCUUCUUCGGGACAUUUGCUAAAACCAACCCAAAUAUUCAAGUCAAAUGUAAAAGUGUACCCCACUUUCAGUCAAAUGCAAAACCAACCUAAAGAAGUAGUGAAAGUACUAUUUAACCCUUAUGACCAAACAAAAAACAAAAAUAUAUUUUACGUUUCUAUCCUUUGGAAGUCUACACGUAAUAAAAGAAGUCUACAUAUAUAUAGACUUCCUACGAAGUCUACUUUAUAGACUUGUUUUGUAGUCUACACUCUAAUUUGAUCUACUAAUUUAAUUUUGAAAAUGUAUAAAAAUAAUUAUUGUGAUAUUUUUAACUAAUCAUCAAUAUAAUGGAUAAUAUGAAGUAAAUAAAUUAAAAUUUCAUAUAAUCAAACAAUUUUGAAGAAUAUAUACUAAUUUGGUUAUCAUGUGUUAGACUAUGUUCAUAGUUUAGAAACAAAAGGUUCUAACAUGUUAUGUCUUUUAGUAGUUGAUUUCAUAGGGUUAGAUUUUAGAUUUUGUUUUUUUUUUUUGUUUUAUUAACUUAAAUCUGCAUAUUAAUGUUUAGUAGUUUAUAUUUUGUAUAAAUGAGAUUUUUUUAUUAUCAAGCAAAACAUUUAGGGUUUGAUAUUUGUGGUUUAGGGUUUCGUAGACCUACAAUAAAGUCUAUUUAUCUGAAGACAUCUUUUUCAGUCUAUAUUUUUCAAUUUGUUUUACAAAAAAUUAUUAUAUUUAAACUAAGUUAAGUUCCUUACGAAUAAAAAACUGAAAUCAUAUACUAUAACUAUUAAAAAAUAAAGAAAUAAAUUUAAUAAAUCAUAUAUUAAAAUUAUUAAAAUAAUAAAGAAUAAACAACAAUAAUUAAAUUAUUAUAGUAGACUUCCAAAAAGGUCUACUAUGUUAUAGUAAGAUCUACUCCAAAAUUUUAAUUUUAGUAGACUUCAAACGAAGUCUACAGUAUCGUAAAUUUUAACCUAGUUACAUUUUUCUCCCUAUAUAAACAAAAUUUAUACAAUCUCUCUCUAAAGUGGCUGCACAAGUUUUUAAAACUCUCUCUCUUCUCUCUAAAACUUUCUCUCUUCUCUCUAAAAUUCUCUCAAUUGUUUCUAAAUCUCUCUCAUUAUCUUCUUUCUCUCUAAAAUUUUCUCAAGUCUUUCUCACAAUAUUAUCUUGUCAUUUUAGAUAUUAUGAUUCAUGGUUUUCAUCUUCUCCUUUAAAAAAUGUAAGUUUUAGAUCUAUAGAUUUUAAAUGUGUAUUUUUAUGUUUAUUUCUCACAAUAUUAUUUUUUUUUGGUAGGUAUUAUCACUCAUGGAUUUCAUCAUCUCCUCUAAAAAUGUAAGUUUUAGAUUAAUAAAUUUUAAAUAUGUAUUUACAUGUUUAUAUUCAAAUAAAUUUAUAGAUCAAGCUCUCUACAUUAAUUUGCUACUAGUUUACCUUAUAAAUUCUAUUAUGUAAAGUAUUUUCAGAUUUAAAAUUAUUUUCAUAUUUCAAAAUAUAUAGAUUUUUUCAGAUCUGAAAAUUAUCAGACAGUGUAGACUUUACCACAAAGUUUAAGCAGACUUCAUUGGAAGUCUACAAAAAUAUGACUUUAAUUUUUUUCUAUGUUUUUUAAUAAUUUUAUCUUAUUUUGCAGGUAUUUUCUUCCAUAGUUGUUCUCUUCUCCUCCUAGAAAUGUAAGGUUUACAUCUAUAGAUUUAAAACAUGUGUUCUAGUAUUUAUAUUCAAAUAAAGUUACAUAUUAAAAUUCAUAUUAAUAUGUCUUUAAUUUAUAACUAUUUUGUCUAUUAAAUCAUAUUUUUAAAAGUUUUUUAGAUUUAAACUUAUUUCAUAUUUUUAAUGUAUUAUUUUUCAGAUCUAUUUUUUUUUUAUAGAGUAGACUUCAUUUGAAAUCUACUUAAAACUUACGGCUGGUAGACUUCAAAUGAAGUCUACUAGCCUUGACUUUUAAGCAUAUUUCAUUAGAAGUUUACUCAAAUAUGAUUUUAAUUUUUAUCUUAUUUUUCAAAAUUUUAUUUUAUUUUGCAGGUAUUCUCUUCCAAUGUUUUCAAAUCAUCUUCCCAAAAAUGUAAGCUUUCCAUAUAUUCAUUAUAAGAUAUUUUGUGUUUAUAAUGAACUAAAUUUAUAGAUUCAUACAUUAUCUUUUUGCUUUGUUACAAGGAUGACAAAAAACCAUUUUUGAAAUAUUUUCCAGAACAAAGUAUUUUCAAAUUUUCUAAAUGCACACUUUUAGAUAUGAAAAUUUUCCAUUAGUGUAGACUUCAACUAAAGUCUACUAAACAAUAACUUUACGUAGACUUGAUAAAAAGUCUACUAAAAUAUGAUUUCAUUUUUUAUCUUAUGUUUUUCUCAUAACUCUAUCUUAUUUUGCAGGUACUUUUUCCAAGACUUUAUUUGAAGCAUCAAGAUUAUGAAAAAUCAAACAUACUCAAGAAUAAUUUUUAAUAUAUUGCUCUGUAAUAACUUUCAUAAUAAAAUAUUAAUUUUUAAAUAAUUUUUUAAUGCAUAAUCUUUUUUUUUUUGAAAGAAUUUUAAAUUUAUUCAAAUAAAAAAAAACCUUUGUACAGAGUUUUAUCUGCUACCAUAUUUAAAUACAAUGAAAUGCAAACCAAAAGAAAAUAUGCUUCUAUAUCUCUCAAGCUAUACUAGCCUCUGUUAAACCAAUCCUCCAUCAUCUUCUCAUAUUUACCUCCUACCCUCCUUCUCAAAGAAGAUAUUCUGUUUCUAAUGAGCUUAUCAAGCCUUGCAAUCAGACAGGUAGCUGGCUGCGAUGCCUCACCCACUCUUCUCACAUUCCUCUCAUGCCAUAACGCAUAAGCCACGGCCUGAAAGCAAUAACGCAGUAACACAGUCGAACUCCACUUAUGUAAACCCUUCUCAACAAUCCGAAGCACUCUAUCCCAUUUAUACACUUCUCCACGCCCUGCCAAAUGUUUUAUGGUUCCAAUCCAGACUUCCUUAGAGAACGAGCACUCGAAAAAUAGGUGAUCACGAGUCUCAGCUUCCGUGUUACACAACCAGCAUGUAGAAACGGCUUGUGGAUUCCACCUAAGAAUCCUAUCUCCUGUUGCUAGUCUGUCAUGAAUAGCAAGCCAAACUAAGAAAGAAAAUCGCGGGGUAGCUUCAGUGAACCACACUCCUUUUACCCAAGAUACCUUUGGAGAUGAACUUCUUACAAGAUUCCAAGUAUGAGAUGUUCUGAAAUCUGUUUUAAAAUCCCCAUUCUCCCUCUUCCAAAGGCAUAUAUCAUCUAGCUGGUUGAGACCUUUAUUUUUGAGAACCAUAAUCUUGCGAUCAACCUGCCUAAGAGAGUGAGCACGAUGCCUUCUCACUCGGUACAACUGAAUAGCUUUCUCCACCGUAGAGUUUAUAGGAAUACCAAGGUCCAUACACCCUCUUGCUCCUGUUAGCUCAAUCAGUUGGCCAAUUGAUGACCAUUUCUCAAACCAGAAAGAGGUGGUGGCUCCACUGUUGACUUCCUUCUUAGUUAAUUGCAUAGCCAAAGGCCGCAGUUUCAAAAGCUUCUUCCACAUCCACGAUCCACUGUUACUCUUCUCAUUAACACUCCAAAAAGAACCCUUUCGAAUGAGAUAUUUCCAUAUCCAUUUAACCCAUAAAGAAGACCUAGUAGAGAUAAUACGCCAAAUAAGCUUCAAACAAGACACUUUAUUCGCAUCUGCCAGAUUUUUCAAGCCUAAACCACCUUCAUCUUUUGGUUUGCACACAUCCACCCAAGCUACUUUAGCUUUAUGCGUUGAUAACACCGGUCCAGACCAAAGAAAUGCAGCACAGAUGCUAUUUAUUUCUUGAAUGCACUGGUUUGGGAGCCUAUAAGCUGACAUCCAAAAAUUUGUUAUGCUAUAGAGAACAGAACCAAUUAACUGAAGCCGUCCAGCAAAGGAGAGAUGCCUCGCUGUCCAAGAAGAGAUGCGAUUCCGAAUUCUUGAGAUAAGAGGGCUAUAGUCAUGUACAUUCAUCCGUUUUGUCAGAAGAGGGAGGCCCAAAUAUCGUACCGGAAGAGAUCCUCUUUCAAAAGGAAACUGGUCUAAAAUAGCCUCACUAUCUGUUUCCUGAACACCAGCCAGAUACAAUGUAGACUUCUCAAGACUAAUACUCAAACCCGAUAUCUUUUCAAAUCUCUGAAAGACCUCCAGUAUACCCUCAACCGACUUCUUCUUCCCGUCAGAGAAUACUAAAACAUCAUCAGCAAAACAUAUGUGUGUCAAAUGAAGCUCUUUGCAGUACGGAUGAAAACCCAUCUGUUUCUCUGUUGCUGCUUUAUCCAGGAGCUUUGAAAGAACUUGCAUACUAAUAACAAACAGAUAUGGAGACAAAGCACACCCCUGCCUAAGUCCUCGCUUGCUAUUAAAAUAGCCAGCCAAUUCCCCAUUUAUCUGUAUCGAGAAUGAAGCCAACUCUAUGCAUUUCUUAAUCCACACAAUGAACUUCUCCGGGAAAUUUAAUGCCGCAAGCACUGAUACUAAAAAAGACCACUGGACAGAAUCAAAGGCCUUUGAAAUAUCUAUCUUGACUGCACACCGCUCGGUAACAGAAUCCUUGUGAUAACUCUUGACUAGCUCUGAAGCUAACAAGACAUUCUCCAUUAGUAGCCUAUCCUUCACAAACGCAGACUGGUUCAAAGAUAUGAAAAGAGGGAGAAUCCUUUUCAUCCGAUUUGCUAGGAGCUUUGAUAUUACCUUAUAGAUAACGUUGCAGCAUGAAAUAGGCCGAUAGUCCUUCAUGUAUACAGCAUCAUUCUUCUUCGGAAUAAGCGCUAAGAUGGUUGAGUUAAUUCCCUUAGGCAGAAACCCCUUAUCAAAGAAGGACUUAACUGCUGUAACGAAAUCUCCUCCUGUUACCGCCCAAGAGGCCUUAAAAAACUCACUUGUGAACCCGUCUGGACCCGGUGAUUUGUCUCGUGGCAUAGAGAAAAGAACUUUUCGAAUCUCUUCCGAAGAUACCUCCCUCAUCAAACUGCUUCUAUCAUCCUCCGAACACUCAUAGUUUACCAGCGACUUUAACUCAUCAACACUUAUUCCCUCAUACUCUGAAGGCGUAUGAGUAAGAAAUUGAUGGAAGUGACUUACUGCUUCUUGUUUAAUAUCAUCUUGCGAGUCUGCUACAGAACCAUCCAAUCUCUUAAUCUCCCUUAUAGAAUUCCUUAUCUCCCUUACUGUAGCCGCCCUGUGAAAACUUUUAUUGUUACCGUCUCCAACAUCAAGCCAAUGAAUUUUUGCCUUCUGACUAAGAACUUUCUCCUCCAGAGUAGAUAAAAAAAUCCAUCUUCUAUAUGCUUCUGAUUCUGCUUCAAUGUUGGCUUGGAUGGGAUUUUCCAAAGUCUUCACUUGAGCAUCACAAAGCUUAGCAUAUGCCUCUCUUGUCUUCUUUACUAUCUCCCCCACCUUUUCUUUACUCAGUUGCUUCAAAACCGGCUUCAGGGCCUUGAGCUUCUUUGACAAUCGAAAUAAAGCAGAAGUGGAAUUGAACAACACCUCUGUCUCAGACCAGAACUUCUCAACCACAGGAAUGAAUUCUGGCAUAUCCACUAGUGCAUUUACAAACUUAAACGGCUUUCUUGGUUUCAUUAUCUCAGCUUUAAUCACUACCCGACAUCUUUGAUGAUCCGAACAACCUCCAGCUUCAAAUACACAAUAAGACUGCGGAAAAGAUCUCACCCAUACCUCAUUAAUCAAAGUACGAUCCAACUUCUUGCAGAUCAAGCCAGUAUCUCUCUUAUUGCACCAAGUAAACCUAGGCCCUUGGUAUGACAUAUCUACAAUAGAGCAGUAUUGAACCACUUCUUGAAAAUCCUUCAUACCCAACGAGUCUUGUGAACCCGACACUGAAUGCUCCACUCCACUAAGAAUCUCGUUAAAAUCCCCUUGAACAAUCCAUGGUGAUUUCCUUAUUAUAGGAGAAUCAUGAUGGUCUUUAAGAUCCCUCCAAAGCUCCUUUCUCUCUUCCUCCAAAUUAAAUCCAUAUACAAAGGAACAAAAAAUCUCCUCUACCAUCCCUUCCAACAACACAGAACACGUAACCAACUGUGCGCUUUGAAAGCAGGGAGUAACCCUUACUCUCGGACUCCAAGUGACCCAAAUUCUACCCAACCGGUGAUGAUCAUAGUUUGUGAUAUAUGACCAUCCUGGAAAUACAGUCUCCAAAAUCUUCUUUGCUUUAUUCUCCUUCACUCUUGUCUCAAUUAAACAUCCAAACUGAAAACCACGUUUCCUGACCCAUUCCUGAACCACCAAAUGCUUAGAAAACUUGUUGAAACCUCUUAUGUUCCAAUAAAACCCAGACAUAUUAAUGACGACGGGUUUUCUUCUUGUUCAGACAACCAGGAUCUGCAUCCUGAGUUUUCUGGCCCGCUUUAUCUCUGAGAUAUCUGUGGUUAACCUUAGACUCUCGAGGUAACAUUUUCCUUGUAAGGUUAUCUUCUUCCUGCAUUACCUCAUGUUCUUCUUCUGUCUGCUCCAGAUUCUCUUCUUCUUCUUGUUCCUCUUCCGUUGGUGAUAACACUUCAAAUCUCGAUUUAGUAAGUAUUGAUACCUGCCCAAACUUCAAAGGACUCGAAGGCCGACUAGAUUUCCCUGGCGAGACAUCCAACCAUUCUUUUUCUUUCUCACUCUCAAUGUCUUGUGACUUUUCUUUUAUGGAGGCUUGAUUGUCCUCAGCUUGUAUCUCUACAUGUACUACUCCACCACCUUUAUCACCACUCUCAAUUUUCUGAACUUCAAUUCUUUCUAUCUCUUCCUCCUUGUUAUUCUCCCCGCAUAUUUCUCCUUCUUUUAGCUCCUUUUGAGCUGCUUUCUCCAUAGGGCAAGUUUUGACAGCAUGACCCCACUUAUCACAUUUUUGACAUUUUGUUGGUAGCCGUGGAUACCCAUACUCCACCAUUACAUCCUCUCCCAGAACAUUAAAAUUCAUCCUCUUUGGCAGCUCCUUUGUGAGAUCAACAUUAACAAAAAUCUUUGCCACAUCAAGAUUUAAACAUUGAGCUGUCUCAAGAUGCAACCUACUUGGGUUCCCAAUUGGACUAGUCAGGAAGCUUAGCCCUUGCCAUGAGAACAUCGAUAUUGGAACAUGCUUUAUGUGAACCCACAUUGGAAUAGAUUGCGUAGGUGGCUUCUCCUUUUCAACCACCGGCGACCAUUUCGUCAUCACCACCGGGAUUCCUGCUAGAUUCCACAUUCCUCUUCUCAAAAUCCUUCUUCUAUCAGCUUGGUUGGGAAUACGAAACUUCAUCGUAGUCUGAUUGACCUCAUACACUUCUAUCUUCUGGGCUUUGUCAUUCAGAUUCCAUAUUUUGUUCACUAUCGCAUGAACUUUCGCUAUAUGCGGAGCUGUAUCCAAAAACUUUCCCACCAGAAAAUCAUCCCAUAGCGGUGGCACAUCCUUCGUGAUCUCUUCUGGAACCUUUACCGAUCCGAUACCGUCUUUCAUCGUGACCUCAACAUCAUACUUUCUCAGAAUUUUUUGACCUUGAACCGCACCAAUCCACGAGCCUUUAGAUCCUCCCACCUGAUCCUUUGGACUCUGAAUCGAUCCUCCAUUUUGUACCUCCAAAUUUGAAAUCUCCUGAAUCGCCUUCUCACCCACAUUCUCCAGAACCUUCGUCGAAAUCUGACUUGAUACCAAAAUCUCCUGAUCGCUUCUUAUUUCUUGCUCCGAACCCUGCGCUUCCCCCUGAGACAGACCCUCCCCCGUCGGAGGUGGAUCAGAUCCCGGCGGAUCCGCCGUACUCAUGCCGCGUCGAACGAGAGAUACCCCAGUCGCCAAAUCGCCUUUUUGAUCGCCUACCAAAACGGAGCGUUUUUAGUUUAUGUGUUUUUCCUCGCAUAAGCUUUUCAAGCUAGGCACUCGAUUGAAUCUUUCCAUGUCUUUUUUUUUUUUUUUUUUAAUGGAAAUACAUUCCUAUUAAAUACCUCUUGAGGCCAAAACAAAAAGGUUUCUUUGCAAACAAAAAAAAAAUCACAUACGUAAGAAAAGCAUCACCAAGAAUCAAUUCCCUAACUUUUGACACUACAUCAAGCUGGUUUCAAGAUGAUGGUGGAUCCACCUCCGGCUCUGCGCUAUCAUCUUCCAUUUCAUCUUCCCCUGCAGAGUCCCUGUCUAUAAACAUUGUAUUCAUUUUUAGUUGUUUUCACUUGUAUGAUAUUAUUAAUUUUUUGUUAGAUAUCAAUUUUUUCACAAGAUCUAACCAACCAAACAAGUAAAACCACCAUAAGCUAAAAUAAUAACUAACACACAUGUGAGAAGAAGAAAAUCUAUACAAAAUUUUCCCAAAAAUUUUCAAGAAUAACACUAAUCAAAACAAUUUGCAAUAAGUAUCAAGUGUAUAAUUAUAACACAUUAAAUUGUGAAAUUCAUCCAAGACCAUUAAAAUUUUACUAACAUACACUGUAAAAUAAUUAAAUCAUGAAAAAUAUGAUGAAUAAUACACAAAUACACUUUUAAUAGAAUUUACGACGUAGAUUUCAACUGCAGUCUACAUUUGUAGAUUUACAAAAACGUCUACACUUAUUAUCUAACAUAUAGUCAAUCCAAAAAAAUUUAGUGUAUUGGUGCAGGCUUGAUAAACAAAGGCGUACAAAGUGUGUCUUAGAUAACUCGAUCAAGUUCCGUACUUGUCGAUUAUUCGUGACAGGCAUAAGAGGAGUAUAUUCCUAUUCGGAGUCAUUUGUUUUAAAUGAUGUUUGGUAAGGAAUAGGUUAGCACCAUCUUCUCAAUUUUGUUGUCCAGAUCAUAAUCUUCUUGUGUCAUUUCAAGAAGUUUACCAUGUGUACAGCCAUCAUGCACAAGGAACAUUCUUCAACCUUUCUGAUUCUUCAUCCUUUGCGAAUAUUUUGGGUGUCUUUGGCCCAUGGUUCACACUCGCUCUAAGUUUUCCACCACAUCCUUGAACACGACACUUAGCCACAUACAGAGUUUUUGUUGUCUUAUAUGCUGAAAAUGUAAAUUUAUAUUUCACAGUACUUCAGCUUUGAAACAAGCUCAGCCUUACUAGCAAAACUAUAAACGAAGACUUACAAAUACGUCUACAAUUAUUAGCUAACAACAUUGUCAAAUCAAAUGAAUUAUACCUUCAUAAUUAUAAAAAAAAAAUUUUUCAAAAUCACUCAAACCCAUUAGGAUUAACUAAUACACACUGUCAAACAAAAAAACUAGAAAAAAUUUAAUGAAUAAUACACAAAUUCUCAUUUUUAUAGAUUUUUCUAUGAAGACUUAAUAUUUAGUCUCUGAAGAUGUUGACGUUCUUUUCAGUUUACAGACGUAGACUGUCAAAUAGGUCUACUAUUUGGGUUGGUUUUUGCAAUUGACCAUUUUACGGGUUGAUUUCUAUAGUUGAAUAAAAGUUGUAAUUUUGUAUAUGUAGACUUUCAUUUCAGUCUACAAUUUAAAAAUGUUACUUUUUGCAAUUGACCAGAAUUCAUCCAAGAUUUGACUUUGAGAACUAGACUUCAUAUGCAGUCUACAUGUUUGAAUUUUUUAGAAAGAGGUUAGUUUUGCAAUUGACCAAGUUUGACUUCAAAUCAGUAGAUUAAAAUGAACGUCUACGGGUGUGUAGACUUCUUGUGAAGUCUACUCUCAAAUCCGACGGGUUGGUUUUGUAUUUGACCAAAAUAAAAAAGUAGACUUUAUAGGCAGUCUACAUUUUUUUUUUAAGAUAAGAAGACUGCAUAUGAAGUCUACAAUUUAAUAAAUUUUUUAAUGCUUUUUAAACUUUUUGGUCAAACACAAAACUAACCUAUUCCACGAAGUCAAAGUUUUGGUCAAAUGCAAAACUGACCUUUUAUAGACUUCGUUGGCAGUCUACAUUUUGUAGACUUCUGUUGAAGUCUAUUUUAAAAAGUCAAAAGUUCGGUCAAAUGAAAAACUAACCUCUUUUAGGUAGACGUCUUAGUAAGUCUACCGAAAGUUUUAUUUUUGUUGUCAAAGGUAAAGACGGAGACUACUGGGGAAGUCUGCGUUAGAAAAAAAAUUUGUCUGGUCAAUUGCAAAACUAACCCGUGCGUUGACAAGUCUCAACGGAGGCGUAGACAUACAAAACAGUCUACCGUCGCGACACAGAUCUGAAAAAGAACGAAAACCAUGUAAAUAAUUACAUUUUUCAUGUGUAAAGCUCGUUUCCAACCUUUUCAACCGUCCAAACUCCAAAUAUGAGCAAAAAGAAGCAUCUUUAACGAUUCACUAAUGAAGAAACUCGAAAAUAUGAAGUUUGUGAUUAUGAAAAUGAUAGUUAUGAGAGUUUUUUAGAUGGAAAUGUAGAGGAGAUAAGAGGAAAUGAAGUUUUUUGGGUUAUAAUUGAAUUCUAGAGCUUUAGAGCUCAAAAAUGAUGGUUCAUGGUGGUUGGAAAAAUUGAUGAUAGUGGCAUUUUUGUAAAUAAGAAGAAAUGGUUAGGGUGUAUUUGAUUUUUUGUUAAUUUCGAAAUUAAUAAAAAAAUAAAUAAAAAUGGCAAUUUUGUGAAUAAUUCAAAAAUAUAAGGAUAGUAUGGAAAUUUUAUUGAUGAAUAGUAUGGACAAAAAAAAAGGGGUUGGUUUUGGGUUUGACUUGAAAAUAUGGAUUGGUUUUGAAAAACACCCUUCUUCUUCCUCAUCAACCAUCGUUUUUUUUUUUUUUUUUGUAAACUAUCAACCAUGGUUUCUUCCUCUCAUCUUCUAAUCAUUCUCUUUGACUUUCUCCAUUAAUGCAUUAUGUUUCCUUAAAGGUUAUCAAUAUUUGACCACUGGCUCCAGUAAUGUAGUUACUUCUCCGAUGGCAUGAGAUGUACGUCCGGUGGUGCAUGUUGGUGGUUGGCAGUGACAGCUCCAGUUCGUGUACUUCUUCUCUCUACGUAAAAACUGCUCGACUUCAUUAUAUAUCAUAUCACAAACGAGGGCAUUAAUAAUGGCUUCAGAUGGCACGGCUCCUCCAAGGCUCCAACGGUCACCGUCAAAACUUCUUCAUUGUAUAUCACCAGCGAGAGCGUCAAUGAUGGCUUCCGAUGGCACUCCUCCUCCUACGGUGAUGUAUGACAAAUCCAGUCCGGUUUGAUGGCAUGGCUCUCCGGUAGUGAAAAACAGUGACCGUGGUGAUAAGAUGCGGCAGCUCCGAGUAGUUUCUUCCUCCAUGCACUAACAUAUUAUAAUUAUGUAAGAAAAAGAAGAAAAGAGGAACGAAAGAAAAGAGGAAAGAGAGGAAGAGAGGAAUUGAAGUAGUACAUCAAAACCAUCUAAUCACCCUUGACAAAAGUGGUGCGGCUAGGUUAGCGUAGUGAGGAAGAUGCAUACAUUGUAUAUAUAAAUGAUGCACAGUUUGACCAAAAGAAAAGAAGAGGGUUUUAGCUAAUUGUAGUAAAAUUGCUGAACAUUAUUGUUCAAAGUAUUAUUGAAUAGAUCAACGGACUUUGGCAUAUUACAUGACAAUAUAUUCAGUGCUUCAUCGUUCAUCAUGGAAGACUAUAUAUCAAACAAUACAUGUUCGGCUAGUAUAACUAAUACAAUUAUUUCUUAUUUAGCAGACUAGUGAUACUGAUAUAACUAGUACAACUACGCAUGUUCUGAAAUUUAAAUAUUCCUUUGAGUAUGUCAUAUGAAAAAAAAUCAAUAAAGUGGCUAAACUGGAAAGUAUUUAUAAAGGUUCCUUAUGAAAUUUAAUGGGGUUUUUUUUGUUUUUGCAAAUCUAACACAAUCACAUAAGUUUGCAUGAUCUACCUUAUACUUUUAAGGUUUGCAUGUUAACUUAUUUGUCCACAUAAUUUUUGAAAAACAUACAUGAAAUAUAUUUUAACAAAAUUUAUGAUUUCAUUUUAUUGGGGCAAAGACAUGUACACAUAAAGAAGUGGUACAACUGAAGUAAGUUUAAAUUUUAUGUCGUACAACUAGUUUUUUCAAUUUUACUGCCAAAAUACAACUAUGUACAAACUCGUACAACUCAAAAACUAGUACAACUAUGUACAAACCGGUACAACUCGAAUAUUAGUACAACUAUGUUAUUUCAUUUUAUAUUGUGCAUCACGUUUUAAAUGUGUAUCAUAUUCUAAACAUUAUGGUUAAAUAUUAAAUCAAGUAGUUGUACUAUUCCUAGAUAUUUUUGUGUAGUUUAUCCUGCUAUCUAUUUUUUUGGGGUAAAAAUACAUUAAAUCAAAGUCUAUAAAAUUAAGAGAAAAAUUUGUUAGGUACGUAAAUAUCAAAAUGUAAAACUAAAUAAUAUUUCUAAAAUUUGUAGAUAUUAAAAAGAAACUGAUGGUAUUGAGUUUAUAAAUUUCAUAAAAUUUUGAAAACUUCAUAAAAUUUUGAAGAUUUGUUUUAGUAGGAAAAAUAUAUAAUUAUAAAUUGAAUUAAAUAAUAUUUCAAAAAUUGUAAAAUAUAUUAUAUUUCUAUAUCUAAAAUUAUUUGAUUUAUUGCUAUAUUAAUGAUGUUGUGUGAGCUAUUACCAUAUUUUAAAAAAUUUACCAAAAAUAUAAAUUAUCAUUAAAUAUAAAUGUCCAUGUGAACUGACCAAAUUGGUGUGUGUUUAUAAUGAUCUCUCCUAACUAUUUUAAUGUUUUUAAUGUUUUUAGCAAUUGUUACAAUAUCUCAUAGUUGUACUAUUUAUACCGAUCAUAUUAAUCUACUUUUCUUUUAAUUUUGUGACUUUUAAAUUUCCUCUUCUUCACCACGGCUUCACUCUUCUUCUUCACGACGUCUUUUUUUUCUUUUUGGAUGUAGUAUAUCUCUUCUUCACAGCAGAGUCCUUCUUGUUUAUGCAAAUAUAUACUAAUGAUGAAAAUUAUAUAUAUAUAUAUCAUCACUUAUCAUUGCUUAUUUAUGUGAAUAUAUUUUAUUUAAUCAAAAGUGUUAUGAUAAACUGAGUGGAAUUUACUAAUUUGCAAACAUAAGAAUCAAAAACUAUUUGAAACCAAAUUUGUAGAUACAACAAACAUGAAUCAAAAACUAUUUGAAAUCAAAUUUGUAGAUACAACAAACAUAUGUAUAUCAUGUUUUAUAUCAAAAUAUGCAAGUUUCACCAUGUUCUUGUUGUGUAUGUGAUUACAAUUUCUCUAUUUCUUAUAUUAUUUUCAUGUACAUAUCAAAAAAUGAACUUUGGGGCGAGAAACCUACCAACCAGCACUAGAAAAACACAAAUCAAGUGUUGCCACAAUUAAACUAGUUAAAGUACUACUGUAGUUAAACCAGUUAUACCAGUUAAAUUAUUAUUGUUGUGGUCCAAAUACCAAACAUUAAUGCUUAUGCAUUCUUUUCAAACUCGUGAUGGAUUAUGUAUUAUCUUUUGGAGUAUACUCUUCCAGAUCUUAAACUGCAAGGCUCGGCAGUUGUUUUCUUCGGCUUCGGGAGUAAAAACAUGAAGAUGAUCUUUUCUCGUAUAUAGUACUGUGAGGCUUUGGUGCCUCUUGGGCCAUCCGGGACUGGGCUGGUUAAUGGGCUUCGACUGGACCUGAAAGAUAAAACAAGAUGGGCUUAGUCUUGUGCAAUAAGAAGUCCAAGUUCUAAUAGGAAACAAGAUCAGAUGCAUAUGACGGUGGAUUGAUAAAUCCUUCUCCAACUAGAACUAGCUCAAAUCAGGUUGUAUAAAUAUAGGUCUCAUCUCUUCAUUGUAGUUACAGAAACAUAUAAACUCUCUAAAGCAUAGAACACGCAACUAGUGCGAAGCUUGUAACGUUUUCGAUUCAUAGUGAUAUAGAGUUUGUCUCCGGUUUGGAGAGGACUCGCCCAACAUAUUGUUGUGUCGAUUUACUUGUUACGAGAAACAGCCAAGGUCGAUUCUCUACAAGUGGUAUCAGAGCCAGGUUAACAGAGAUCCUAGUUACAGAGAUUCGAAGGCAAGAUUCAAUAAACAAGCAAGGAGAAUUCUUAUCUGGUGCUGAGAAGAAGACUCAGCUCGUUGGUGAUUGAAGCUUGAAAGACUACGGCGUGUUACAGCAACCUGCAAACAAAGGAAAACAAGUUUACAGGUUAUAAAGAAGAUGGAGGCAAUUUCAAAGAAAUUUGAAGUGGAAAAAUUCGAUGGCAAAGGUGAUUUUGGUCUAUGGAAGUAUAAGAUGCUGUGAGAGCUAGAGAUCUUUGGUUUGGGGUCUGUUCUUAAGGAGAAGACUCCUUCUACGGAUGUUGAAGGUGAAGAACAGAAAGAUGAAAAACCUGAUCCUAAGGAGCAAGACCGGGAAUUGCGUACAAAGAAUCUGAUCAGUUUGUGUCUAUCUGACCUUAUUUUGCGCAAGGUUAUGCAAGAGCCUACAGCACUGGCUAUGUGGAAGGCUCUAGAAGCUGAGUAUCAGACCAAGACAUUACCUAAUCGAAUCUACAUGAAGCAGAGAUAUGCAGGUUUUAGAAUGGAAGAGCACAAGUCCAUUGAGGAAAAUAUGGAUGUGUUUCUGAAACUUGUGGCUGAUCUAGCAAGUCUGGAUAUUAAGAUCAGUGAAGAAGAUCAAGCAAUUCAGAUCUUAACCAGCUUGCCCAAGCAAUACGAGUCUCUCGUUGAUGCAUUAAAAUACGGCAGCGGCAAAGAAAUUUUAACGGUUCGUGAUGUUACAAGCUCAGCUUAUUCUAAGGAAGUAGAAUUAAGAGAGAAGGGACUUCUCAACAAGUCCAAAGGUAACUCGGAGGGGCUGUUUGCUGGCGAAAACAGAGGCAGAGGUGAGAAGAAGAGCGAUAAAACUUGGAGAGCUAGAUCUAAAAGCAAUAACAGAUCAAAAUCAAGACCUAAGUUCUCUAAAGAAUGUUGGACGUGUGGCAAGGAAGGACAUUUUAAAAAGCAGUGUCCAGAAAGAAAGAAGCCAUCAAAUUCGGUCAACAUAGCAGAAGAGAAGGAGGAACCAUUGGUAUUAGUGGCUAGCCAGCAAGCUACUAAGGACGAGUGGGUACUUGAUUCUGGCUGUACAUUCCAUAUCACUCCAAAUAAAGAUGUCUUAUUUGAUCUUGAAGACAUAGAAGGAGGAAAGGUUUUGAUGGGAAAUAACACUAUCAGCGAGAUUAAAGGGAUCGGGAAGAUCAGGAUCAUGAAUAAUGAUGGAUCGAGCGUAAUUCUCACUGAUGUUCGUUACAUGCCUACAAUGGGCAGAAACCUUAUCUCCUACGGUUUAUUGGAGAAGAUGGGAUGCAGAUACGAAGGCAAAGACUUCAUGGUGCAGUUUUACAAAGGAGAUAAGAAGGUUAUUUCUGGAAAAUACUGUGAUGGUCUGUACUACUUACAAGGGACAGUAUUGGAUGGUGAAGCUGCAGUCGCAAGGCCUGAUAUCGAUUUGACUAAAAGGUGGCACUCUAGGCUUGGACAUAUGAGUCUAAAGGGCAUGAAUAUUUUAGUCAAGGACGGAUAUUUAAACGCAAAGGAUGUGAAGACGUUAGAGUUUUGCGAGAAUUGCGUUUUGGGUAAAGCACACAAGCUAAGCUUUCCAAAAGGCAAGCACACGUCUAAGGAAGUCCUAGAGUACAUCCAUUCAGAUUUAUGGGGUUCACCUUCGGUGGUAGAGAGUCUCGGAGGAUGUUUCUACUUUGUUACAUUCAUUGAUGAUUUUUCUAGGAAAGUUUGGAUCUAUUUCCUAAAAUCAAAAAAUGAAGUGUUUCAAAACUUCAAGGAAUGGAAAACAUGCGUGGAAACUGAGACAGGAAAGAAGGUGAAGUGUCUUAGGACGGAUAACGGAUUAGAGUUCUGCAAUACACAGAUGGACACAUUGUGUAAGGAAGCAGGGAUUAAAAGACAUAGAACAUGCGUCUAUACUCCACAGCAAAACGGAGUAUCAGAACGCAUGAACCGUACGAUUAUGGAGAAGGUGAGAUGUAUGUUGACAGAGGCAGGCUUAGAGCAAAAGUUCUGGGCGGAAGCAGCUUCUACAGCUGUCUACUUAAUCAACCGAUCUCCCAGUACAGCUAUUAACUUCAAACUACCGGCAGAGGUGUGGUCUGGAACCAAAACAGACUUAAAUCAUCUAAGAAAGUUCGGAUGUACAGCUUAUGUUCACGUGACUCAAGCCAAAACCAGUCCAAGAGCGAUGAAAGGAGUUUUCAUGGGAUAUCCAGACGGGACUAAAGGUUAUCGAGUUUGGUUACCAGAAGAACUAAGAUGUACAGUAAGCAGAAACGUGAUUUUCAAUGAGGAAGAGAUGUUUAAAGACAUUAAAGGAAUCAGCGAGAAGAAGAGGAAAACGAAAAAGGUAACGUUCAAUCCUGUGCUGAUUCAAGGACCUUCAAACACAACUACAGACACUGAAACAGAGGAUACAGUUCAAGGUGGAGUUUCUCCAGCAUCAGAAAACUCGGAAUCUGAAUCCUCAAGCUCAGAAAGUGAAGAAGAAGUUGUGGGAGCUCAACAUGAAAAUCUAGACAACUACAUUCUUGCUAGAGAUAGAAUCAGGAGGGAAGUAAAGAAACCUUCUAGGUUUGAUGAUUCAGAUUGCGUGGCUUAUGCUCUAGCUACAGCAGAAGAAAUAAAUAAGGAUGAGCCUAAAUCCUAUUUGGAAGCAAAAAGAAGUAAGAGCUGGAAGUUAUGGAACGAGGGAAUGCAAGAAGAGAUGGUUUCGUUGGAGAAAAAUCAGACUUGGAAACUGGUUGAGAAACCAGAGAAAAAGAAGAUUAUUGGCAGCAAGUGGGUUUUCAAGCUGAAAGAAGGCAUUCCUGGAGUAGAGAAGCCGAGAUACAAAGCUAGAUUAGUAGCUAAAGGGUUUUCACAAGUUGAAGGGAUCGACUACACAGAGGUGUUUGCACCAGUGGUGAAACACGUGUCGAUUAGAAUUAUGCUGUCACUUGUUGCAAAUUAUGAUCUUGAUUUGGAACAACUAGACGUGAAAACGGCUUUCCUGUACGGAACGUUAGACGAGGAGAUUUAUAUGGCACAGCCAGAAGGUUUCGUUGAGGAGGGAAAAGAAGAUCAAGUUUGUCUCCUGUUGAAAUCACUUUACGGAUUAAAACAAUCACCAAGACAGUGGAAUAGGAGAUUUGAUAGUUUCAUGAAGCAACAAGGCUUCGAAAGAAGUGCAUAUGAUCCUUGUGUCUACAUGAAAGGUUCAGACUUAUCUCAUAUGGUUUAUCUCUUGAUCUAUGUUGAUGACAUGCUCAUAGCAUCUAAGGAUUCUAAAGAAAUUAAAAGAAUCAAAGAUAGCUUGAAGAGAGAGUUUGAGAUGAAGGACCUUGGAGCAGCUUCAAGAAUACUUGGAAUGGAUAUUAUUAGAGACAGGAAGAAAGGAACUCUAAAACUAUCGCAAGAGAAGUAUCUACAGAAGGUGCUGGAAACUUUUAACAUGGCAGAGAGCAAAGCUGUGGUUACUCCUAUCGGACCACAAUUCAAGCUUAAAAGUUUGACACAAAAAGAAGAGCACGAGGAAGCAAGGUUCAUGAAUGUGAUUCCAUACGCAUCAGCCGUUGGAAGUUUAAUGUAUGCAAUGGUAGGAUCUAGACCAGACUUAUGUUUCGCAGUGGGCUUAAUCAGCCGUUAUAUGAGCAAGCCAGGAAGAAUACACUGGGAAGCUGUUAAGUGGGUGAUGAGAUAUCUUAAAGGAGCUCUAGAUUCGGAUCUAUUGUUUACUAAAGGAGAAGAUUUCAAAGUACGAGGAUUCUGUGACGCAGACUACGCAACCGAUUUGGACAGAAGAAGAUCCGUGACAGGAUAUGUGUUUCAAGUCGGAGGCAACACAAUAAGCUGGAGAUCAGGUCUCCAACAUAUUGUCGCACUAUCAACGACAGAAUCAGAAUACAUGGCAUUAGCCGAAGCUUUUAAAGAAGCAUUAUGGCUUAAGGGGUUUGUUAGUGAAUUGGGAUUCAAGCAAGAUGAUGUGAGAGUGUUUUCAGAUUCACAGAGUGCUAUACACUUAGCUAAGAAUGGAGGAUUCCAUGAAAGGACUAAGCAUAUAGAUACUAGACUACACUUUAUGAGAGACGUAAUUGAGGCUGGCGACGUUACGGUUCACAAGAUUCACACAUCUAUCAACCCUGCAGAUUUUCUAACUAAGUGUGUACCUGGACAGAAGUUCGAGACAUGCUUGGAGAUCCUCAAGGUUCUGCCUUAGAAGGUCUCGCGUGGCUGCAGGUGACAAUGCUGUCGAGUUGAUCACCUCGCGGAAAAGCCACAAAAGAAAAUAUCAGCUUCAGGAAAAGUAAACUGAUGGUUCAACAGGGUUAGUAAAAAGCUCAGGAAGAAGAUGAAUUUGAGUGUAGAAGAUUACCUUUGAAAAAUGACAG
RNAcentral lists this long non-coding RNA (113005 nucleotides) under Brassica rapa (field mustard). RNAcentral describes it as "long non-coding RNA (BRAP_LNC005654)". Lineage: Eukaryota; Viridiplantae; Streptophyta; Magnoliopsida; Brassicales; Brassicaceae. The record is from RNAcentral.